AAUCCCAUCCAUCCGUCCUCAAUGCCUGAUGCUGGCACGAUCUACAAACAUCCACAUUACAUACUUUGCUCAGAACACAAAAGCUAUAGAAAAAUUAAAUAUUUAACAUUUCUGCUUCUCACAUCUCUCUUUUAGGAUCAUCAAGCAAUAACAAACCACACGAGUUUACAUAGAGCACCAGGCUUAAACAGGAGCACAACUUACUGACUUCUCAAAAUUUCUUUUAUAAGACACACAUAUAGCUAACAUAGGGUUCCCAUAAGAAUUUAAAACUCAGCUUUUGAAGGAGCAACUCUUUUCUCUUUUUCUUUUAUAUUAAGUAGGCCAGUCAAAAGGGUUUUUGUCUAAAAACCUCAGCAGAGAAAAUUCUUACAAAAAUACAUUUCCCAUUUUUCGUUUUACUAUCAUCACCCAAGAAGUUAAAUUGCCAAGCUUUAAGCAAUGGCGAGAUAAGAGAGACAUACCUUGCUGUUUGCAUCAGGAGCAAAUUUGUCAGCAACCACAACAUCUGUUGGCAACAAAAGAGAGACUCCUUUGGCCUUAGCUUUGGCAAGGAGUUCUGUAGCCAAUUCAAGUUUGUCUUCUUCAACAAGGGAGGAACCAACUGAAAGACCUUGUGCCUUGUAGAAUGUAAAGAUCAUUCCACCACCAAGAAGAAGGAUAUCACACUUCUCCAGAAGCGAUUCAAUAACUCCAAUUUUGGACGAGACCUUGGAUCCACCCACUAUGGCUGCAAAUGGUCUCUUUGGGUUUGAAACAGCGCCAACAAGGUAGUCCAGCUCCUGUAGUUGUAGAGAGAAAUAAACAAAUAAGCCCAUGGUACCAUUUGUAGAGACGAUGCUUUGACGCAGAAUUGGCAAUCAAAGGAAAGUAGAAUCUCUAUCAAUAAAUCACCUUCUGCAGAAGGAAACCAGCAACUGAAGGCUUCAAGAACUUAGUGACUCCUUCGGUAGAAGCAUGAGCUCUGUGAGCAGUUCCGAAAGCAUCAUUAACAUAGAGGUCAGCUAAUGCAGCAAGCUUCUUGGCAAACUCAGGAUCGUUCUUUUCUUCCUCCUUGUAAAACCUGACGUUCUCAAGAAGCAAAACUCCACCUUCAGGAAGAGAAGCGACAAGGCUUUCCACUUCCGGACCGAUACAAUCAUCAGCUUUGGUGACCUGCAAAACCCACCGUAAAAAAAUGCUCUCAAGCAAAGGAAGAAGAUUUAUAAGUGAGACAAAACACGAAUUUUACCUGAAUACCAAGAAGCUCGGAGAGCCUAGGGACAAGAGGAGCCAAACUGAACUUUGGUGUGACUCCCUUUGGCCUUCCCUGAAAGAAAGAUCAAAACGCACAAAGUGUUGUAAUUUAGUUCAGGGGCGAUGGAUAAUUCGAAUGUAUAGUGUGUGGGUGUGGGAAUAUUACCAGAUGAGUGGAGAGGAUGACUUUAGCACCAUUUUCAAUCAAAUACUUGAUUGUUGGAAUAGCUGCACGGAUUCUGGUAUCAUCGGUGAUAGUCUGGUUAUCAUCGAGAGGUACAUUGAGAUCAGCUCUCACGAAAACCUUCUUCCCCUUUAAAUCAGCUGAGGUCAGAUCUCCGACGCUCUUCUUCGCCAUAGAAACCACUCCUUUGCUCCCCUUCCCCCGCACUGAUUCAACCUUGGAAGCAACGUGGAGGGAGAAACGACGGGAAUCGAGAGUGGCGGAGAAGCCAAGAGGACGCGCGGAUACAGAGGUAGAGGGAAUUGGCAAGAGAGAGGCGCGUGCACGAGUUGCGUCGGAGGAAGCUACGCCGCCGGUGGACUUAAAGAAGGAAAAGGCGCGACUUGCGGCGGUUGAAGCCAUGUGGAUCAAAGGAGAUAAAAUGGAUUAGGAGAUGAGAAACAGAGAGUGUGACUCAAAGGAGAUAAAAUGGAUCAAGGGAGAUAUAUGGCCAUUGGGUUUUUAGGGAGCUUGCAAUAUUUUUUUCUUAUCACUGAUGAGAGGUUCAGAAGCUUUGAGGAAUACUUGGGUUACUCUUGUUCAUCUCUACUGAUUAGCCAAUCAAAAUAAAAUAAUAUGUCAUCUCAUAUUAUAUUUAAAAAAUAAAUCAAAAAUAAAACAAACUUUAACCAUUCUUUUAUAAAACCAAACCGAAGUACAAUUUUGUUUAGUUACAAAAUAUAAACCUAACCACAAUUUUAUCAACCCAAACCAAAAUAUAAUUUCGUCUAAUUACAAAAUCUAAACUUUAACUACUAUUUUGUCAACCCAAACCGAAAUAUAAUUUCUUUAAUUACAAAAUCUAAAUCUUAACCAUUAUUUUGUCAACCCAAACCGACAAUAUAAUUUCGUUUAAUUACAAACUCUAAAUCUUAACUACCAUUUUGUCAACCCAAACCGAAAUAUAAUUUCUAUUAAUUACAAAUCGAAAUCUUAAAUACUAAUCUGUCAACCCAAACCGAAUUAUAUUUUCUUAAUAAAAAUCUUAUUUUGUAUCCUUAAUUUGCUUUAUUUUAUUAUUUUAAUUUUAAUUUACUUUUUAAAUAAAAAAUGACGUGACAUAUUGUCGUAUUUUGAUUGGUUAAUUAAGAGGAGAUAAAUGAGAAAGGGGUGAACCCAAGUAUUUUCACCUUUUAUUAUCACAUAUUCUCGAUUACUGUUUUGGCCACUGAAAUAUUUUUCUGCCUGAUCGUGCAACUAACAAAAAAAUGUAAAAAACUCACCCAUAUCCACAUUUUUGUAAAGAAUGUACUAAUUUUAUUGUGCAUAUGAUAGUUUGAUCUACAUAAUCUUAGUUCCUCUGUCUCCAUUGUAAUUCAAUAACCCAAUACAUUUUUAAUUGAGAUCUGAAACCCAAAUGAUCUAAAGUUUGCUGGUUGGCAGACCAACAGGCUUGGCCCUGGACCUCUUCUCCACAGCACGAGAGAGUUGCUUCACCGCUUCUUUUGGCAAAUGGCGAGGUUUGCUAAGCCACAGUCCUCCAUCUACUACCAUUGUCAGUCCAUUUACAAAUUUCCCUGUUUAACCAAACAAUGUGUCAUCAGCAUCUACCAUUUAUAUGUUAUAUACUAAAGACAGUGAUUUAACUCAACAUACCAGAAUCACAGCUCAGAUAAAGUGCAGCCAUAGCGAUAUCCCACUUCUCACCGAGCUUAUAGAGAGGCAUGUACUCCCGGGUUUUGUUUUCAAUCUCCUCAGGUACAAGUUUACUCAUCCCCGGGGUACCUCCAAUGGGACCUGGUGCAAUCCCGUUCACUCUGAUAUCGUAGUCUGUUCCCCAUUCUAACGCCAAGUUUCUUGUCGUAGCAUCAACAGCAGCCUGUUUCAAGUUUCAGACUCAUAAGAUCCCAUUUGCUACAUCUGAUUGUUCCUAUAACUCAGUUCUUGAUUUCAUAACCAAAACUCGAGACACUGAAUGAAUUUACCAUAAAAAUGGGAUUACCUUGGCUGCAGAAACAUGUAUUUGGUACCAAGAAGCUGUGUAGUGCAAAGUAGCACUUAUGUUAAUAAUCGAACCACCACCAGUUGAUGAGUCUCUCCCAGGCCCAUCUUUCUUAAGAUACUUAAGUGCUGCGUGACACAUGUUGAAUGUUCCUACUGCAUCAAUGUCCAAGACUACACAGCAACAACAACAACAACAACAAAAAAAAACGUUUCCUUCAGCUAAAGCAACACUCAAAAUGACGAAAUCUCAGGCACAAUUCCUCUCAAAUCAUUAUAAAAAAAAAUAGAUGAUGAACAAAGUAUGAACCUGUUCUGAAGCCAUUAGGAGACAAAUCCUCAGCAGCAGCCAGGAAAUUUCCAGCAGCAGCGUUAACAAGAAGAUCAAUUUUACCAAAAUGCUGAAAAGUGGAUUCCACAACUCUUCUUGCAUCCUCUUGCUUACGAACAUCACCUUCCAAUCCAAUAGCCUAAAACAAGGAAGCAGCAAUAUCAGACAAAUCCAAGGAGAAAAAACAAAAAAUCGGGGAAGGAGAGAAGGAAUCACCUGAAUCCCAAGAGAGCGGAGAGCAGAAACGGCGUCGUCGAGAACUUGUUUCCGGCGUCCCAUGAUGGCGACAGAAGCUCCAUGUUUGCCGAACUGAGAGGAGAUCUCAAAACCGAUACCGGAUCCGCCGCCGGUGAUGAGAGCUACCUUACCUUUGAUCACAUCAGGUUUGAACGGAGACUCCAUAACCACCACACACACGCAAACUCGGUAAAAGCACAAUCUAACUAAACCAACAAAUAAAAAAACUAUAGAGCCACUCAACCUCUCACCUACUCACCAAAAUCAAAUUUAAAUAUCUCCUCCGCUUUUUUCUUUUAAUUUAUAAAAUUACAAAAUUUAAUUUAUUUGUACUAAUCACAAAUUUGUUGCCUAAUGACGACGAUUUACAGUCAAAAGUUUGGUUAACUCGGGAAUUAAAUAAUAAUAAACCACGAAACUAUGUAAUUAGUUUUAUUUUUAAUUAAUUACAUAAAAGUAUUAUCAAUAAAUAAUUAAUUUUAAGAAAGAAAAAAAAAAGGGAAACGAGACCCAGCCCCCUUUUUAUUUUAUUUUUUGGUUGGCUUGAUCUAUCUGCGCCGCGAGCUCGCUUCCAUCUCCCAAGCUCCUUGUCGAUUAAAGAUUCUCACCCCCCCCCAAACCAAAGCUUCAGACUUGCGUAUCUCUCAUUUUUAUCUCGAUCUCAAAUCACGUCCUCUUAACUAAGACUGAAGUGAAGAGAUUUGAUACAAAACCUAAUUCGUCUCCUUUCGAAUCGAGAUACUUUUUUUUUUUAACAUAGAUUAGUGGGUUAAAGUUUUGAGAUUUGGAAACUUAACUGUGAUGUUUCUGGCGAGUGAUGAAAUCGUUACGUUUGUUUUAUUGCUCUGAAGUGGAAAACCCUAGUUUCGGGGACUUUGUGGAGUGGCUAACUUUGCACUCUGCAGUCAUCUUCUUAUUCGCCCUCUUUGGCGGUUUCUUUGAAGACUUUGCACAGAGGCGUUAGUAAUGGCGUCUAAAGGUGGGAAAUCUAAACCUGACAUGGUAAUGGCGUCCAAAGGUGGGAAAUCCAAACCUGACAAUGAGUCUAGAGCUAAGCGCCAGAAGGUUAGCUUCCAAGUUUUCGUCUUUACGUUUUUGACUUCAUCUUCCGAGCUUAGUGUUAACGGGUUUUUUGUAUUUGUUUUCAGACGCUCGAAGCUCCUAAAGAACCACGUCGCCCUAAAACUCACUGGGACCAUGUUUUGGAAGAGAUGGCUUGGCUGUCCAAGGUAAUACAAGACUGCCAUUCUUCUUUAUCAUUCAGCAAGGAUGGGUAUGCAUGCAUGCUGUUUCCCUUUCUUCUAAUUGGUGACGUUUUGUAGGACUUUGAGUCUGAGAGGAAAUGGAAGCUGGCGCAGGCCAAGAAGGUUGCUUUGAGGGCCAGCAAAGGCAUGCUUGAUCAGGCAUCUAGGGAAGAAAGGAAGCUAAAGGUUCUUUCCUCUUUUUCUCUUUCUCUUUCAGACUACUUACACACUCCAGCAUUAGUUUUAUUUUACAUUAUUGCUUUCUUACAGGAAGAAGAACAACGAUUAAAGAAAGUAGCCCUCAAUAUCUCGAAAGACAUGAAGAAGUUUUGGAUGAAAGUUGAGAAGCUGGUAAUUCUUUUACUCUUCUUCCCGGGACUUGAAAUUUAAGGUUUGGUAUAACUUCUGUGUAUCUGAAACUUGUUAUUCUGUGUGGUCUGGCAACUUUGUAGGUGCUUUACAAGCAUCAGCUGGCACGCAAUGAGAAAAAGAAGAAGGCUAUGGACAAGCAGCUUGAGUUUCUGUUAGGCCAAACCGAGAGGUUACUAUGGAAUGUUUCUUACGUACUUUUGUAAACCUGGAACAUGUUUAAAAUAUUUGAAUUUGACCUGUUUGUUUAUGUUAGGUACUCAACCAUGUUGGCAGAAAAUUUAGUGGAGCCUUAUAAACAGGGCGAAAAUGCUUCUCCAAAAGCACUGCUUGCUAUCGAAUCAAAAACUGAUGAGGAGAGGGCAGAACAGAGACCUCCAGAGAUAAAUUCUUGUGAGCACCCUAUUACUCAACACAGCAUUAUUGUUAAGUGUAAGCAAGUGAACUGGAUCCUAACAAUAUAUGACGCGGUAACUGCAGGUCUUGAAUCAGGAAGUCCUGAAAUUGAUGAGGAUUAUGAUCUAAAAUCCGAGGAUGAGACCGUGAGUUUCAAUUUAUCAUCUUUUUAUUUUUGUUUUACCACUUAUUGGCAGUUACUGUGUAUCACAGCUUGAAUAUACCUGCACCUCAAAGAAAAUAUGAAAAAUAGCUUGAUCUUUUUGUCAAAGAAAUUGAUAUGUUUUGUCAUGACACCACCCUGCACCCAACAUAUAGGCUAUACUCUAGUUUUCGAUAGUUUAUGUGAAGAUAGGAUUAUCGUACGUUCAGUUAUACCUGAUCUUUUGAGGAGUGAUAUGUUCCAUAUCUCAUUUUAAACCCACAAUUACACUUAGGAAGAUGAUGAAAAUACUAUUGAGGAGGAUGAAAAACACUUUACCAAACGGGAAAGACAGGAAGAGUUGGAAGCUUUGCGAGAUGAAGUGGAUCUACCAGUUGAGGAGCUGCUCAGACGUUAUACUGCUGGGAGAGGUUGGCAUAACUCUGCGCUUGCUAUUUGUUGACCUUUUAUUGCUCAUUUACUUUGAAUUAUACAAGUUGAAUCCUCAAUAACUGUCAACUAUUUGAAUUGCAUCCUCUUUUGUAUAAGAGUUUUAUUUUGAUUCCUCAGUCAGCCAAGAAAUCAGCCCAGAAAAUGAUGAAAGUGGAGACAAAGUGGCCGCAGUAGAUCAAAAUCAUGGAGAGGGUUAGUGGUCUUAAGCCCCUAUAAUUUAUUGAAAGCAAUGCAACUUCUCUUUGACUUCAUCAUCCCAUUUGACAUUUGCAGCAGACAUGAACAAUCUUACUGCUUCUGAAGAAACUGAAGAGAGCCCUAGUGUUCGUCGUUCUGUAAGUUGUAUGUCUUUUUAAAAUCCCAUUGUCCGAUUUGUCAUCACAAUUCUGGCUCAAAUGUAAUAUAUAUCAUUCACUUGCAGAAUGAUAGUUUCGGUCAUUUGACAAUACCCAAGACCCAUUCUCAUGACGUUGAGCCAGGCAUGACGACUGCCUCUGCGAAGUCCAGAAAGGAAGAUCAUACUUAUGAUUUUAACGAUGAACAGGUAACUAGAUCUGAUAUCAUUUGUGGAUCAUUUGUCAGAAGAUCUUAACGAUGUUCUUCGCUGCAAUUGGCACAAGGUCUCUGAUUCUGACUAAUGAUGAACUUGAUGUGUCACUGAUUGUAUUAUGUGCAGGAAGAUGUUGACUUUGUUGUUGCCACUGGUGAGGAAAAGGUCAGCCAUCUCAUCAAAUGCCUGAGAUUGUCAUUUUAAAUUAUUUUUUUUCUUUUAACUUGAUUCUCUUAGCCUAGGCUCUAGUCAGUAAAAGUAUUGAACAAGCAUAUAGAUUGAAGUUGGAUAUCUGCUCUUUUGGUGCAGGAUGAUGAGACAACACUUUCUGUUGAAGAGGAAUUAGCGAAAGCAGAUAAUGAAGACCAUGUUGAAGAGGUGACAAGUCUAUUAAUUAUUCUGUUUUCUUGUAACAUGAAAAUCGUUUUCAGCUAGAGAGUUUACAAACAGAAAUUUCCCCUUGUACUGCAGAUUGCUCUGCUGCAAAAAGAAAGUGAAAUGCCUAUUGAAGUACUGCUCGCAAGGUAUAAGGAGGUAUGCUUUUUAAGUCUCAUGUGUGCAUGUGUUCAGUAGUAUUUACCGGCUUUUUUCUGAAACUCAAGUUUCCUGUAAUAGGAUUUCGGUGACAAGAAUAUUUCUGAGGAUGAAUCUGAUUAUUCAUGUGCUCAGUCUGAAGAGUCUGUUGUAGACUCUGGCGAAAAUAGGCAGCAAGCUAAUUCAGAUGAUGAGAACGUUGAUUCAACAGAAUGUAAUCAAGAUCCAAAGCCUUGCUCAGAAAAAGUUGUUAACACAGCCCAUGAAAUAACAGAGGAUAAUGGUAAAGAUAGUAGUGAUAAAAUUGCUGAUGCAGCAGCAGCAGCAAGAUCUGCGCAGCCAACUGGAUUUACGUACUCUACAACAAAAGUUAGAACGAAACUGCCGUUUCUUCUCAAGCAUUCUCUGCGUGAGUACCAACACAUUGGUCUGGAUUGGCUUGUCACGAUGUAUGAGAAAAGGUUGAACGGGAUUCUGGCUGAUGAAAUGGGUCUUGGAAAAACAAUUAUGACCAUUGCUCUUCUAGCACACCUUGCAUGUGAUAAGGGAAUUUGGGGUCCCCAUCUGAUCGUAGUUCCAACAAGUGUGAUGCUUAAUUGGGAAACUGAGUUUCUUAAAUGGUGUCCUGCAUUUAAAAUUCUCACCUACUUCGGGAGUGCAAAGGAGAGGAAAAUCAAGAGACAAGGAUGGAUGAAGCUUAACUCAUUUCAUGUAUGCAUAACAACCUAUAGGCUAGUUAUUCAGGACAGCAAGAUGUUCAAGCGCAAGAAAUGGAAGUACUUGAUUCUUGACGAAGCCCAUUUAAUUAAGAAUUGGAAGUCUCAGAGAUGGCAAACACUAUUGAACUUCAAUUCUAAACGCAGAAUUUUGUUGACUGGUACACCGCUGCAGAAUGAUCUUAUGGAAUUGUGGUCACUGAUGCAUUUUCUGAUGCCUCAUGUCUUUCAGUCUCACCAGGAAUUCAAAGAUUGGUUCUGUAACCCUAUAGCAGGGAUGGUUGAGGGACAAGAAAAGAUCAACAAAGAAGUUAUUGAUCGCUUACAUAAUGUCCUCCGUCCUUUUCUUCUACGGCGUUUAAAAAGGGAUGUGGAGAAGCAACUUCCAUCGAAACAUGAGCAUGUUAUUUUCUGUAGACUGUCUAAGAGGCAGCGCAACUUGUAUGAAGACUUCAUAGCAAGCACAGAAACACAGGCUACGCUUAACAGUGGAAGCUUUUUUGGGAUGAUAAGUAUCAUUAUGCAGUUGCGGAAAGUGUGUAAUCAUCCUGAUCUCUUUGAGGGUCGUCCUAUUGUAAGUUCUUUUGAUAUGGCUGGCAUUGAUGUGCAGUUGAGCUCAACUGUCUGUUCGUUGCUUUUGGAAAAUCCGUUUUCCAAGGUUGAUCUCGAGGCUUUGGGAUUCUUGUUCACACAUCUUGAUUUUUCUAUGAAUUCUUGGGAAGGGGAUGAGAUUAAAGUUAUUUCAACGCCCUCAGAAUUAAUCAAGCAACGUGCCGACUUGAAGAAUAAUCCAGAAGGAAUCCCUUUGAGUUCGAAAAACCACAAAAAUCUGCAAGGGACAAAUAUUUUUGAAGAGAUUCGUAAGGCCGUCUUUGAGGAAAGGGUUAAAGAAACUAAGGAUCGGGCUGCGGCCAUUGCAUGGUGGAAUUCUUUGAGAUGUCAGAGAAAGCCGACUUACUCUACAUCUCUAAGAACUCUUUUAACCCUAAAGAGUCCUAUCGAUGAUAUACACCAUCUUAAAGCUAAUCGUUCAUCUUACAUGUAUUCAACAAUCCUCGCUGACAUAGUUCUUUCACCGAUCGAGCGCUUUAAGAAGAUAAUUGACCUAGUCGAAGCUUUCACACUUGCGAUUCCAGCAGCACGAGUAUCUUCACCUGCUUGCUGGUGUAGCCGGCGUGACUCUCCUGUUUUUCUUAGUCCAUCUUACAAGGAGGAAGUUAGAGAUUUAUUGUCACCUCUUUUGUCUCCAAUUAGACCUGCAAUCGUUCGGAGACAAGUAUAUUUUCCAGAUAGGCGACUGAUACAGUUUGAUUGUGGUAAGCUGCAGGAGCUUGCUAUGUUGUUGAGGAAAUUAAAAUUUGGGGGUCACAGAGCGUUGAUAUUCACACAAAUGACCAAGAUGCUUGACAUCUUGGAGGCUUUCAUUAAUUUAUAUGGUUAUACCUACAUGCGUCUUGAUGGCUCCACUCCUCCAGAAGAGAGGCAGACGUUAAUGCAGCGGUUUAAUACAAAUCCCAAAAUCUUUCUUUUCAUUUUGUCAACCCGAAGUGGUGGCGUUGGCAUCAAUCUUGUGGGUGCAGACACAGUUAUAUUCUAUGACAGUGACUGGAAUCCUGCUAUGGAUCAACAAGCUCAAGAUCGCUGCCACAGGAUAGGUCAGACACGUGAAGUCCAUAUUUACCGGUUGAUAAGUGAGAGCACCAUUGAAGAGAAUAUCUUAAAGAAAGCAAAUCAGAAGCGUGCGCUUGAUAACCUUGUAAUUCAAAACGGUGAGUAUAACACCGAAUUUUUCAAGAAGCUUGAUCCCAUGGAGUUGUUCUCUGGGCAUAAGGCUCUGACUACAAAGGAUGAGAAGGAAGCAAGCAAGACUUCUGGGGCGGAGGUACCUCUGUCAAAUGCAGAUGUUGAGGCUGCUUUGAAACAGGCUGAAGAUGAGGCAGAUUAUAUGGCUCUAAAAAGAGUAGAACAAGAAGAAGCUGUGGACAAUCAAGAGUUUACAGAAGAACCUGUAGAGAGACCAGAAGAAGAUGAGCUAGUAAAUGAAGAUGACCUAAAGGCUGAUGAGCCUACUGAUCAAGGUUUAGUUGCAUCAGGGUCGACCAAAGAAGAAAUUCCAUUGUUACAUGGUGAUACCAGGGAUGAGAUAGCUGUUAUCACUACUUCAAGCCAAGAAGAUGAUGCUGAUGUAUUAGAUGAUGUCAAGCAAAUGGCUGUAGCAGCUGCUGCUGCUGGACAAGCUAUCUCAUCUUUUGAGAAUCAGUUACGUCCUAUUGAUAGAUAUGCGAUUAGAUUUUUAGAGCUUUGGGACCCCAUCAUUGUUGAGACUGCAAUGGAAAAUGAAGCGGGGUUCGAAGAGAAAGAAUGGGAACUUGACCAUAUUGAAAAGUACAAGGAGGAAAUGGAAGCUGAGAUUGAUGAUGGGGAAGAGCCUCUUGUUUAUGAGAGUAUGUGUACCCUUUUUUGCAUAUUCAGUCCAAUAAUUUAACUUAAUAAAGAACCUUGCCGAUGAUGUAUCUUUAUAUAGUGUAAACCCAUGACUUGGUUUUUAACUGACGUGAGAUGUUAAUGCUAUUUUCAGAAUGGGAUGCUGAUUUUGCAACUGAAGCAUACAGGCAGCAAGUGGAAGUCUUAGCUCAGCACCAGGUGAGAUUAAUUACUGCAUCUAUCAUGUCAUGCAUUUCAGCUUGGUCACGUAUUUACUUAUAUGUUUUGUAGUUGAUGGAAGAUUUGGAAAAUGAAGCUAGAGAGAGGGAAGCUGCUGAGAUGGCCGAAAUGGAUCUGAUACAGUAUGACACUUCUGAACCCACACAGUUCAUUGUCUAUAUGAUUAUCUAGGACAAUGCUGUUGAAAAUUAUAUUUCAUCAUAGAUAAACAAACACUGGAUUCUAGUUAUUGGGAUAGUGAUCAAAACAAGUAGAUUAAUUGAACCAUUCUUUUCCUCAGGAACGAAACUCCUCUUGUACUGAAGUCUAAGAAGAAGAAAAAAGUGAAGAAAGCCAAAUUUAAAUCCCUGAAGAAAGGAUCACUGGCUGCUGAAUCAAAACAUGUGAAGUCCGUUGUGAAAGUUGAAGAUUUGACUGAUGAUGAUAAUGAAGAAUUCGCCUAUGUGAGUAGCAGUGACUCAGAUUUGGUUACACCGCUUUCGCGAAUGCAUAUGAAAGGCAAGAAAAGAGAUUUAAUUGUUGACACAGAAGAAGAGAAGACCUCGAAGAAGAAAGCAAAGAAGCAUAAGAAGUCUCAUCUGAAUUCAGAUAUCAAAUACAAACAACCAAGGGCUCUACAUGAUGAACUGGAACCAUCAAAGCCGCCUGAUAGUAUGGUCGUUGAUAAUGAAUUGAAACUGACGAACAGGAGUAAAACUAUAGGGAAAAAAUUCAUCACUUCCAUGCCAAUAAAGCGUGUUCUUAUGAUCAAGCCAGAGAAGCUGAAAAAAGGGAAUCUGUGGUCUAGAGACUGUGUUCCCUCGCCUGAUUCUUGGCUGCCUCAGGAAGAUGCUAUAUUGUGUGCCAUGGUUCAUGAAUAUGGGCCUAAUUGGAGUUUAGUUAGCGGAACUCUUUAUGGAAUGACAGCUGGUGGGGCUUACAGGGGACGGUAUCGCCAUCCUGCAUAUUGUUGUGAGAGAUAUAGAGAGCUUGUCCAGCGACAUAUUAUGUCUGCUUCCGACAGUGCAGUGAACGAGAAGAACCUCAACGCAGGUUCUGGGAAGGCGCUCCUUAAAGUCACCGAGGUAAGGUUGAUUAUGUCAUAGCGCUAGGUUAGCUUAGCUACUCACUAGCAUGCAUGAAAGUUGUGAUGAUUUAGGGAACGAUGAAAACUUUUCUUGUAAAUAGGUUCUUUUAAUCAAGUGAAGAAGAUUAUAAUGGAAAGGAGAUGCUUUUCACUAAUAUCACAAUUUUGGUGCAGGAAAAUAUUCGGACACUCCUAAAUGUGGCAGCUGAGCAGCCAGAUACGGAAAUGCUCCUACAAAAACAUUUUUCUUGCUUGCUGUCAUCAAUUUGGAGGACGUCGACCCGUACAGGGAAUGAACAACUGCUCUGCUUAAACAAUCCCAUUUUUAAUAGACAGUUUAUGGGCUCCGUGAACCACUCCCAAGAUAUGGCCAGAAAGCCUUGGCAGGGGAUGAAGAUCACCAACUUAAGUAGAAAGUUGUUAGAAGCCGCUCUCCAGGAUUCCAGCACGAGUCAGCCAAACAAUACGGUUUCCCAUUCUAGGUUGCAGGAGAAUCAACCUAUCAAUAAAGUGGGAUUAGACUUAACCUUGGAAUUCCCAGGUGGCAAUGAUGAUUCCCUGCCUCAGUUUCCACCCAUGAUAAGUCUGUCCAUUGAUGAGUCAGAUUCAUUAAAUUAUGUGAACGAGCCCCCAGGGGAAGAUGUUCUUAAAGGUUCUAGGGUUGCUGCAGAAGACCGUUACAGGUUUGGAAAGCUGAGAUAGUUGAUUUUUCUUCCGAUGAUUCUGAGCAGUAAUAUUCACUAAAGAAUUGGUGAUUUUGUUUUGUAGGAAUGCUGCAAAUGCUUGUAUUGAAGAUUCAUUUGGAUGGGCUUCAAACACAUUCCCAGCCAACGACCUGAAGUCAAGAAUAGGCUCGAAAGCACAGUCCCUGGGGAAACAUAAGCCAUCUGUCGCAGACUCAGCCAAGUCUUCAAAAAGCAAACAGCGCAAACUCUUAGCAGAGCAAACAGAAGUGGCAUGGGUUAGGCCAAAUGACCCAAAUCUCAAGUUUGAUUUCACACCUGCGGAUAGGGAGGAUGAGGAGGUGGAGGUGGAGGAGAAGGCGGUUUUAGAAGAGAUAGAGAUGAUAAGUUGUUCACAGUGGUAUGAUCCAUCCUUCACUGCAGGCCUUGAUGAUUGCUCAUUAGCUUCGGAAAUCUCAGAAUUAGAGUAGGAAAAGCCUUUUGUAAAAGUAUAACUGGUGAUGAUUGUGGAUGACCAUUUUGUUAACCACUAUUGAUGGGCAAAAUCUUUUGUAAAGCAGAAAGUGACAGCUUCGUAGGUUUUUUGUGUUUCCAAAGUUCAUCUAAUAUCUAAUCUCAAGUAUGAUUUUUAUCCCCACCGUAUGGUAUAAUUAUACCAACAUCUGCUUACUGCUUCCGACUCGUUUAUAUCUAGUUUCCAAAAUCUCUAGCUUUCAGAAUAAUACAGUGUGUCCUCAGAUUCUAAAAUUGUCUAAAAGAAAGAAAAAGACGAUGCAACAAUACAUGACGGAUCAACUCCUACAAAGUUUGGUUAUCCAAAAAAUUGAGCCACUCAUUGUAAUCAUCAAACCCUGGUUCAACCAGUAGUCGGCUCCAAAACUCGUUAUCUGAUUUCCCAUUGAUCUCUAGCAAGUCUGGUUUAGAUGUAGGAGGAGGAAUAUGGCUAUCUUCAAAGAGACAUUCUAGUGAUUGUGGUGCAUUCACCUCAAAUCCACAUGCAAUUUGCUCCACCAAGAUUUCCUCAAACUCCUCUUCCUGGUUUGGCUUCUCACUGCUUCUAAUAACGUCCUUCAAGACUGAUGAGAUCGAGGAAGAGGAAGAAGACGUUGAGGACAAUGACUGAUUAGUAGCAUCAGAUGAUGAUGAUAAUGAGUUGCUCUUCAUCAAUCGCUUCUUGAGAUGAGUGUUCCACACGUUCUUGAUCUCAUUGUCUGUUCUUCCCGGAAAGUGGGAUGCGAUCAUAGACCACCUGAUUACAUAAUGCUCUAUAGUUAAUACUACUUUCCUGCUUAUAAAUGUAUGUAUGUACAUAAAGAUUGAGAUGAAGGAGACACGAUUACUUGUUUCCAUGAGCUUGGUGAAGGUGGAUAAUGGUAUCUUCCUCUUCUUUGGUGAAGUUGCCUCGUUUGAGGCCUGGUCUCAGAUAGUUUAUCCAUCUUAGGCGACAACUCUUUCCGCAUCUCAUCAAUCCUAUGAAGUUACAACACAAUUAAUUUUGCACAACCAAAACUACAAGUUAAACAUAUAAAAACUAGGAAUAAAGACAAGGUUUCAUAGUAUUUUAAUUGAAAGCAAUUUAACCAUGAAUUCCAAGAUUGAACCCCCCAUCUUCUGGAAGAUUUUGUAUGAGAGACUAUAUACUGUAUUCAACUUUAACAUUUAGAAGACAAAAAUAAUAAUAGAUAAUAAACACGAACGUUACAGAUUCUGGUCAAACUUCUCUCCUCGUAUUUUCUAUGCAUCAAAGAAAUAUAUGCCACCUUUAUGAGAGAUAGUCACCGAAACAUUCACUAAUUUGUAACAGAUCAAAGAAUCGAUAAGUGACCAAAGGAGAAUAAGAAUCAUCGAUGAAGGAGAAUAAGGUUUUGUUAUGUAUCAUCCUCAGAUUAAAGAACAUUAUAUAUGCAUCCGAGAGAAAAAGAGAGAGAUGUUGAAAGCUCUCACAAACAGAUUAAUGCUAAAAACAUGAAAAAGAGAAAGAGAGUGAAGCAUGCAGACCAGCGAGUUUGGGAAGAGAUCUCCAAUUGUGAUGACCAUUUUUUUCGAUAAAAGCUCUGAGUCUUUCGCUUUCUUCAUCACUCCAUGGCCCUCUCCUCACUUGGCUCUUGUCACAGCAUGGUGCUCUUUUCUUCCCCAUCACCACCACCGACUUUAAUUUUUUAGAGAAUCUUAUCGACAAGUUUCAUGUACUUGUCAUCAUCUCAUCGAUCAUAUAUAUAUAAGGGUUAAUUAAUUACUGAUGAGACCACAAGGGCCAUGCCACUAUUUCAUUUCAUGUACGAGUAAACCUACUUGAAUAAAUUAUAGUAAAUGGUAUACAAUAAUCCAUUUUAGCAUAUAAUUUUUUUUUGAUUUUUUUUCUUUCUUUCUUUUGAUAAUAUUCGUCUAUAUCUACUUUCUUUUCAUAUUCAAACCUAUUCUCAAGCGUUUAUAGCAUAUUAAUUAAUUCAAUAUAUUUUUCUUUAANNNNNNNNNNNNNNNNNNNNNNNNNNNNNNNNNNNNNNNNNNNNNNNNNNNNNNNNNNNNNNNNNNNNNNNNNNNNNNNNNNNNNNNNNNNNNNNNNNNNNNNNNNNNNNNNNNNNNNNNNNNNNNNNNNNNNNNNNNNNNNNNNNNNNNNNNNNNNNNNNNNNNNNNNNNNNNNNNNNNNNNNNNNNNNNNNNNNNNNNNNNNNNNNAUUAGUAUUUCGUUCUAUCACCAUUGACUAUCAUUUGGAUCGCAACUUGACUUUAUGAUAUUUAUGCAAUGACGACUGAUAUAGAAAUAUGUUUUUUCUUUUUUCUUUGUUACAAAGUAUGCAAUAUGCAAUUUAAAGGAAACGUUAAAAUCUGUAAGAUUUUAUUCUAAAAGUAGAGAAUGUAAAUAGCAGUCAAGAAAACCAAAAAUGUAGAAUAAGUAUAUAGAUAUGGUAUAUAACUAUAUAUGUUUUAAUUUUAAUUAGUCCAUUAUAUUUAUGCAGUGACAGCCGCAAUAUUAGCCUGUAAAUUAACACUUAUUAGAUUUCAACAGGAUGAAUACACGAACGUAGUGAAUGUGUCAAUGUAUCAUCAAACAAUUGAAUGUAAAUAAAAGUAAAAUAUAUACAAAAUUUGAAUCGAUGGACAAAAAUGUAUUAUGAUAUGAGUGGAGAGAAGAUAAGCGUAGAAGAAUACUAUGAUGCAUGAUACCUUACACAAACUUCAACUUUAUAUUUUAUUUUCUUUUAUUUAUUCAUUUAUUUUACAAAACAAAUAAGUCAUAAGUGAUGUGUGCUUGUGUUUGUGUCUUCUUUGUUCAGAACACACGACGUCGUUUGACAUGUUCAUGUCUCCACGCGACUGAAAUUGAAGAUUCUUAUUUUCGAGAGUAAGUUUCGAGNNNNNNNNNNNNNNNNNNNNNNNNNNNNNNNNNNNNNNNNNNNNNNNNNNNNNNNNUUAUGGGCUUUGUAACCAAAAUGGGUCCUAAGGCCUUUUCGGAGAAGAGUUGGUCUCUACGACAGAUCAGGUAAAAAUAUGGUACAACGUGCCACUCUUCAGAAGUCAGUUAUCGAUGCAAUCAGCAAGACAGCAAUCAUGGUGGAAUUUGUGCAUGCAAACUCUCAGUCCCAACAUAACCAAAACCUAUAGUGAGAUCUUCGAGAGAGAUUGGUACAAACUUCUUCUUUGUCUUCUUUCCCUAAACUCUUCUUUGUUCUUCUCCACCACAUCUCUCUCUAACUUCUGUGAAACUCCAAAAGGGUGAAGCAACCUUUAGGCUCCUGAAUCAUCUCAGCUUUAUACAGGUACAACGACGUAAUUUUUUGUGGAUAAGUAAACGGUGAAGCAACCAUAAGUAAGGGCCUAGAACUAGCAAACAAAAUACUGAAGGCUCUUCUCUGGAAUCCGGCUCGUCUAGAACUAGGAUGAGCCAUCAAAAGAUUUGAUGAAGCAAGAAAAGAAAAAAGAUAGCCAAAUAUUAAUGCAAGUACUCAAGUCAAUCUAAAUCUAGUUAGAUGCCUCUUUCUAUUUUUUUCAUACAGAACGUACGUACAUGAUCUAAUCAUCUAAAUAAAUCCAAUUUGAGAAAUGCCAUAAAAAUGUGUCUGUUGGCUUUUAUGUGAUAGAAGAAGACUCGCUCACUCAUAUAGCAUAUAUGGAAUAGUCGGGAUUACUGNNNNNNNNNNNNNNNNNNNNNNNNNNNNNNNNNNNNNNNNNNNNNNNNNNNNNNNNNNNNNNNNNNNNNNNNNNNNNNNNNNNNNNNNNNNNNNNNNNNNNNNNNNNNNNNNNNNNNNNNNNNNNNNNNNNNNNNNNNNNNNNNNNNNNNNNNNNNNNNNNNNNNNNNNNNNNNNNNNNNNNNNNNNNNNNNNNNNNNNNNNNNNNNNNNNNNNNNNNNNNNNNNNNNNNNNNNNNNNNNNNNNNNNNNNNNNNNNNNNNNNNNNNNNNNNNNNNNNNNNNNNNNNNNNNNNNNNNNNNNNNNNNNNNNNNNNNNNNNNNNNNNNNNNNNNNNNNNNNNNNNNNNNNNNNNNNNNNNNNNNNNNNNNNNNNNNNNNNNNNNNNNNNNNNNNNNNNNNNNNNNNNNNNNNNNNNNNNNNNNNNNNNNNNNNNNNNNNNNNNNNNNNNNNNNNNNNNNNNNNNNNNNNNNNNNNNNNNNNNNNNNNNNNNNNNNNNNNNNNNNNNNNNNNNNNNNNNNNNNNNNNNNNNNNNNNNNNNNNNNNNNNNNNNNNNNNNNNNNNNNNNNNNNNNNNNNNNNNNNNNNNNNNNNNNNNNNNNNNNNNNNNNNNNNNNNNNNNNNNNNNNNNNNNNNNNNNNNNNNNNNNNNNNNNNNNNNNNNNNNNNNNNNNNNNNNNNNNNNNNNNNNNNNNNNNNNNNNNNNNNNNNNNNNNNNNNNNNNNNNNNNNNNNNNNNNNNNNNNNNNNNNNNNNNNNNNNNNNNNNNNNNNNNNNNNNNNNNNNNNNNNNNNNNNNNNNNNNNNNNNNNNNNNNNNNNNNNNNNNNNNNNNNNNNNNNNNNNNNNNNNNNNNNNNNNNNNNNNNNNNNNNNNNNNNNNNNNNNNNNNNNNNNNNNNNNNNNNNNNNNNNNNNNNNNNNNNNNNNNNNNNNNNNNNNNNNNNNNNNNNNNNNNNNNNNNNNNNNNNNNNNNNNNNNNNNNNNNNNNNNNNNNNNNNNNNNNNNNNNNNNNNNNNNNNNNNNNNNNNNNNNNNNNNNNNNNNNNNNNNNNNNNNNNNNNNNNNNNNNNNNNNNNNNNNNNNNNNNNNNNNNNNNNNNNNNNNNNNNNNNNNNNNNNNNNNNNNNNNNNNNNNNNNNNNNNNNNNNNNNNNNNNNNNNNNNNNNNNNNNNNNNNNNNNNNNNNNNNNNNNNNNNNNNNNNNNNNNNNNNNNNNNNNNNNNNNNNNNNNNNNNNNNNNNNNNNNNNNNNNNNNNNNNNNNNNNNNNNNNNNNNNNNNNNNNNNNNNNNNNNNNNNNNNNNNNNNNNNNNNNNNNNNNNNNNNNNNNNNNNNNNNNNNNNNNNNNNNNNNNNNNNNNNNNNNNNNNNNNNNNNNNNNNNNNNNNNNNNNNNNNNNNNNNNNNNNNNNNNNNNNNNNNNNNNNNNNNNNNNNNNNNNNNNNNNNNNNNNNNNNNNNNNNNNNNNNNNNNNNNNNNNNNNNNNNNNNNNNNNNNNNNNNNNNNNNNNNNNNNNNNNNNNNNNNNNNNNNNNNNNNNNNNNNNNNNNNNNNNNNNNNNNNNNNNNNNNNNNNNNNNNNNNNNNNNNNNNNNNNNNNNNNNNNNNNNNNNNNNNNNNNNNNNNNNNNNNNNNNNNNNNNNNNNNNNNNNNNNNNNNNNNNNNNNNNNNNNNNNNNNNNNNNNNNNNNNNNNNNNNNNNNNNNNNNNNNNNNNNNNNNNNNNNNNNNNNNNNNNNNNNNNNNNNNNNNNNNNNNNNNNNNNNNNNNNNNNNNNNNNNNNNNNNNNNNNNNNNNNNNNNNNNNNNNNNNNNNNNNNNNNNNNNNNUAGAAUGAAUGGUAUUAAUCAAUAUCCUUCCUAAGUACCGUACAUUGACGUAUUUACCCUUCCGGUAAUCUCGGUAAAACAUCACACUCCGAUCUUACUGGCUCAAUCCAAACAAAUUGAAUCAAUGUCCUAUAAACCCAUAAAUUACGAAUACAUAAAUUUAAAAAAAAAAAAUCCAAAUUGCUGCAAAUAUUUCCAUUAAUAAUAAAAUCUUCACAAGAAUUUCAAACCGAUCCUCAAACCGGCGAAAAAAAAUCAGAAAAAAUCUGCAACAACAAAUUGUUUUAAAAAAGAAAAACUCUAAACUUGUUUCCUUCUUCUUCAAUUUUUUUCAACAUCAUCAAACGAAUCUAGAAAAAAAGAAAAAUUAUAUACCUAUUUACAUCCAAAACGACGAAGUAUUACUCAGUAUCUGAACAAAAACCACCAGAUCUAGAAAAAAAAAAACUUUGUCUAACUACCAAGAUUUCUUCUAAGAAAAAAAAAAGCUUCUUCUUCUUCUUAUUCUUCAAAUCGUCUCGUCUCCGAUUAGAUCAAUCGACACAGGAAGUCCAAGACGAAGCGACUCCAUGAUCCUUUCGAAGACAAGGACAUGGCAUGNNNNNNNNNNNNNNNNNNNNNNNNNNNNNNNNNNNNNNNNNNNNNNNNNNNNNNNNNNNNNNNNNNNNNNNNNNNNNNNNNNNNNNNNNNNNNNNNNNNNNNNNNNNNNNNNNNNNNNNNNNNNNNNNUGUCCUUCGGGUACGGAAGAGCUCUGCUUCUUCGACCGACGAGCCACCGAUGAACGGAGGAAUGAUUCUGUACGGCGCCGGUUACUAGGUCGCUGCGAAUCUGAACGGAGGAGACUGUAUUGAGCCGAAUCAGCCACGCGUGAGAGACGGCGGAUCAAUUGCUUCAUCGUCUUCUUUGCUUGAGAUUGAAUACUUUUGCUCAAAGAGUGGUUGAUAACGAGAAUUGUGAGAUUUUUUUUUUGCUUGUGAAGGACAAGUGAAGGGGGAGAUUCUUAUUAUAUAUCGAAGUCGAGGGUACUUUGGGGAUUUCUUAUCUUUUUUAUAUAUAAAUAAAGUUGGUACAAGGAAGGAGUACUUGCCAGGUACACACACUUACUUCGUAAUUUUCCACUGACUUUCAAAUCACUAUUUUUCAAAUAAGAAAAAGAAAAUUAAAACGAAUAAAUAUCUUUGAUUUUUCUUUUUGAAAAAGGAAAUAAUAUUAUAUAUAUUUAACUUAGGAUUGAUUUUACCAAUUAUAUCAUUGGUGUGAUUCUUUUAAAACUAUAUUCUUAUUGGAUGAUUUUUUUUUUAUUCUUUUAGAUAACUGUUUGGAUUUCCAUUAACUAUAUCCUGCAUUAUCUUAAACAUAAUGCACAAUUAAAUGAUUGUGAUAAUAUUAUAUCCUCCAAUUAAUGAUAGGAUUUAGAUACCAAUUUUUAAUUUCACUUGGUUAUUCCUAUUCUAUCAAUUAUUAUAAUUAUCAGAUAUACUCUUUUCCUUAUUUAUUACACGCAAGGUUCAUGAAGCAACUCAAAAUAUAUAUUUUUUAUUCCCCAUGCUGUAACAUUAUUAGUUUAUCAGAAGAAGAAGGAAAAAUUAUAAUUCUUCAUUCUAAGCAAAAAGAAAACAAUUUUUUUUUUAACUAACUAAAUAAGUCUACAUAUAUUUGUUUACAUGCUUCCAUAUAGUUCCAUGCAGGCGUUGUAAUCAUAUACAUUAUGUAGUUAAUAACUUAAGAUCGGAUAAUCCAAUUUUACUUUGGAAACUUUUGAGAUAUUAAUCUGGCAUUCUUUCUCUAAUCCUAUUCGAAAUAUAAAAAGGGGUAGAAUAAAGACCGCCUCGUUAAUGUUUAAUAUUUUCAAUUUAUUAAAUUGUAAUCUAGAAAAUAUCAAUGAAGUGUGGUAACAAUAGUUAUUUUUGUGGAAGUUGUUAAUUACAUACAACUUUAUCCUGUAACUUUGUAAGCUAUCAUAUGUAAUUUCGCUAAUGAUUUUCAUCGACCUAAUAUGAUAACUUUCUAAGCUAUCAUAUUGAUGCAAUUUCUACUUCUCUAAUUUUAUUGUUAAUGACGCAUCAAAGACACUUAUAUGUUGCCAUAAUCACAUCAAUAUAUAUACUGACAAUGAUUAAUAAUCUCUCUAACUAAUUAAUAUGAUUUCAUAAUCAUAACAAUACUAAUGCUUUUUAUUAGAUAUACAUGUGAGAUCUAUUAUAAUUUCGCUAAUGAUUUAUCAUUGACCUAAUACGUCUUAUAUCCACAUUUGUUAGGAAUAAUGAAGCCUUCAGAAUCUGGAAACAAAGUCUAAUAUAGAGGCUGGAUUUCAAAUAAAUGACAUACAAAUUAUUUCUGGAUGGAAAAUUUACGAAACAAAAUGUGGAGCUUCAACGUCUGUUGACCCCAUAAGAUGACAUUAAGGUUUCUAGAACUUGGACCAAAGUAAUUUAAUAUGAGCCAUUAAUUUCUGUAAUGUUACGAUUUUUCUUUUUUUUCUUCUUUUGAACAAGUAUAUAUAAGAUUAUACAAAUAAGUCCAUACUCACCCCGACGACUUCAAAGACUUCAAUAUUCAUAUUGUUUAUUCUGGUCAUUCAUUCCCUCACGUAAACAUCAUUGAAAAAACUAUAACCAUUUUUAAGUUACUUGUAAGUUUCCAUUAUGUAAUGUACUUUUCUCAAGCCUAAUCAGUGUAGUUCAAUUAGUUUCAGAUUAUAAUCAAUUAAAUGAUAAGCUUGCAUGUUAUCGUUUUCAUUGUGUAAACAUAAAAAAAGAUCUAUCACUUUCAUAAUAUAAACACAACUACACAAGCCAUUCAUAUAGAUUAACGUGAUCAUAUAACUAAUGCAGAGACUACAUAUAUAAAUAUAUAUAGUUUGUAUUGUAACCAAACUUCAUGCAUAGAAAAUAAUGUCGUGCGUGGAUAUCAUGAAGGACCAUCACCAUGUGUGUGUGAGUUAGACUAGAUAGAGAAUAAAAGUAAAGCAGAAUUGUUGAAAGGAUCAGUCUCCGUUCUGUAAAGGUUAAAACUUUAAAAGACAAAGAUACGAUGUGACCUCAUUUUCUCUGGUUAUCAAAAAAGUUGUCUGACCCCUAACUUAUCUUAGGGGGGUUGCAACUUUAGACCACUUUAGGCUCUUCAUUAACUUUUUUAUUUUGAUUUUUAUACAUAAUAAUAAUAUGACUAUUCCACUGUGGAAUUUCCACAUAUAGAUUAAUCAAACUAAAAUAGUCUCGUACUACUGCCAUGCAUCUUUGGUAUGUUUCGUCCGAUGCAGAAAUGUCGAACCCCAACUUAGGUACGUCCCAAGUUUUACGUCACAACUAGAUAAAUGUCAACGCGAAGAUAUGUCUGUGUAUAUAAGUAUAAGAUGUAAUGGUAAACUAGUUUGAUUUGUUAGAUCUAAAAGGAAACAAUAUAAAAGCAAAAGAAGCAAACUUUUGAGUUUUGAUGGAGUGUUAAGAAAAACUAAAACAAAGUCUCAAGUGGUUAAGUCCCUUACGACUCCUUGUCGUCAAGUUUCCGUGGAAGUCCCUGAUCUCUUAUACAUGUUUCGUAAUACAGUUUAGAUGGUUUUGUUAGUUUCUUGUGGGAUUGGAAGUGUUCAAGUGCCGUCACGUAGUUGCCCAUUCUCUCUCAUUAAUAUCUAUCACUAAUAAAAGUUUGGAUAAAAUCAUCAUAAACUGAUCGACUUAGUAACUAUAUAUGUUUAUAUAUCUGAAUCCAAUACAGGAAAAUCCACACCUAGGCGGCAUUAAACACAAUAAUUUAUAACUAAAGAAGGCUAGAAUCAAUAUCUAAUUUCUGCGUUGUUAGUUAUAUAUGUAAAUAAAAAUCAUGCAUGUAAAGAAUCGGUUACAUUACUAAUGAUAGCUAAUAUUUAGUCAUUGAUAUUUUGAUUAAUAGCUAAAUAAUUAAGUUGUACUAGCCUACAUUUCAAAGAAUCGAAAUAUAAACAUAUAUAAACAAAUGCAUAUAGAAAGAAGCAUAUGAUGCUCAAAAUACAUGUUAUAAAAUGAUAAAAUAAUAAGAGAAAAAGGAAAGGAUGAUCAAUGAUAUAUGUGAUUAAGAAAUAGUAAAAGACAGCUGAUCAUCAUCAUAUAAUAAUACUAAAUAUUUAUGAAAAAGAAUAAAAAAAAAACAGAGAUAGAAGAGCAAAGAGAGAAUAUUCCUGCAACGGCAAAGGUUACAACACAUAAGAGAGGCCAUGACCUCAAAAAUAUCCAAUGAUUGAGAGAAACACGUCAAAAAAAAGAUUGAAACACUCUGAUUUGAUUAUUACAUAGCUGUAACGCGUUACGCGCUAUUGCAUCCUUCCAUCAUUAAACUAUAUGGAAUUAUAUAUGUCGUCACCGCUUCCAUAUAGUAUUAUACUAAAUAAUUUACAUUGCUGAUUGCUCUCUGUAUCUCCGAAUGUGAUAACUGAAGUACUUAUAAUUACACACUAUGCUGAGUAAUCUUAAUUCCACCUUGAGAUUUAUGAGUAUAUUAUUUUUAUGGGAAAACAUAAGAUAAGAUAAGUGGGUAAUUUUUAUAAUUGCUAAGUUAAGUAGUAUGGAUUAUAAAAGUGGUGUGGUCGUAAAAAGCAUGCAUUGGAUAAAAGAAAAAGAGUAGUGAGUCGUCACGUGAAAGGAGUUGAGUUUCGGUGGUGUGGGAAUUUAAUAAAUAAAAAAUAAAUGAGAAUGAAAUGAGAAAAGUCCGUACGGGUGCAGUCGUACAGGAUAACCUACCCACUCCUACCUCCUUUUUAUUUUUUAUUUUUUAUUUUUUAUUUGGUUGCUCUCUUACGUGUCAUACCGUACAAACCAACUUGACUUUUCUUGACGAUUUUUGAAUUUUAAAAAAUCAGAUAAAUGAAGACAGAUAUUUUAUUUAUUAUUCUCCACCAUUCACAAUUUCCCGUUACACGCCGUUUGCUUUUCUCCCGUUAAUCUAUUUAUCUAUCUCUCUCCCACGCCACUAUUUUUUAAAAAAAAUCUUGAAUUGUUUAUAUAAAUAAACGUCUAUCUCACUACUGAGUGAAAAAAAAAGAAGGCAAAAAAAAAAAACGUCUAUCUCAAUUAGUCGGCUAAAAUAAAUCACUAAUAUUAAACUGGACUCAUCUUUGGAAAAGAAAAUUUAAAACCAUCAGAUAUUCCUUUCUUUUAUGUCCUUGAAUUAUAGUUUAGUUUGUAGGCAAAAGAUGAUAAUAAUAUGAAGAAAUACCUAUCAAUAUCUUUUAAAUUCAUCCUCCUACAAAAGAUGAUAAAAAAAUUAUAUUUAUAAAUAUAAUGUUAUCCAAGUAUUAUUCUUAUCAUUCUCUUAAAAAUAUGUAUACAUCAAGCAAUACACUAGUAUAUUUUACUUUAAAAACAUUUUUGUAUUAAAUGAAUUGAAACAAAAUAGUUAGAACAAACAUCAAUGCUCUUUUGGCUAAGUCACAACUUUUCAAGUUGUUGUUAAAUGUGUUCUUUUACAAGUUUGGUCCAAUUGCAACUUAUACAUUUGUAAUUGCUCAUAAUGUUCUUUGUUUUUCAAUUAUUUACAUAAUUUUAUUUUUAAAACAAUUACGAUCACAUAGAAAACCCCUACGGCAGUGUACAAAACAAAACUCAAUAUUAUAUCAGAUUAUGAAUGACUUAUUCUGUUUUUUAAUUUUAUUUUUAAGAUUGACUAAUUACCAUUGUAAUUCUUUUUAGUUCUCUUUUCUAAGAAUAACUACUAGUUACAAUAUGGACCAUAUUUGAGUGAUUUUUUUUUCUCUCUCUAAAAUCCUUUGGAAAAUCAUGUCAAAUGAAAAUUAAUUGAGUAGCAGUAGGUGAACGAAGAAACAUGAAUCUUUUGGAACUAUAGCAUUGGUUAUUGGUUAAUAUAGUGUUUACAAGCAAAUUAAACUAGAAAGAAAGUCAAAGUGUUUGGCUCCAACUUAAAGAGACACUAGCCUUAAAAGGGACCAGCCGUACGCAGGACAGCCACACGACACUCUCGUUCCUACUUUUCCGUGUUUGACACAUUAAUAUGCUUAAUGAGAACUAUAGAGAGUCAUAACACCAUUAAACGUAACUAUAGAGAGUCAUAACACCAUUAGUAGUUAUAUGUCUCUCUGCAUUAAACGUAAUAGAAAAUAUAUAAAUGCAAUGUUUUCCAAUGUGGUCCAUUUUAAGAUGAUUCGAUUUCAAAGUGGAGGGUGCCCACAUUGCACAUUGGUCUUAGCUUUUAGGGUAUACUGACCUCACUCUUGGCUCCACCUUUGUCUUUUUGUUUUCUUCUUUUCAAUCUUUUGGUAUGGAAAUGACGUUUAAUGACUCAUNNNNNNNNNNNNNNNNNNNNNNNNNNNNNNNNNNNNNNNNNNNNNNNNNNNNNNNNNNNNNNNNNNNNNNNNNNNNNNNNNNNNNNNNNNNNNNNNNNNNNNNNNNNNNNNNNNNNNNNNNNNNNNNNNNNNNNNNNNNNNNNNNNNNNNNNNNNNNNNNNNNNNNNNNNNNNNNNNNNNNNNNNNNNNNNNNNNNNNNNNNNNNNNNNNNNNNNNNNNNNNNNNNNNNNNNNNNNNNNNNNNNNNNNNNNNNNNNNNNNNNNNNNNNNNNNNNNNNNNNNNNNNNNNNNNNNNNNNNNNNNNNNNNNNNNNNNNNNNNNNNNNNNNNNNNNNNNNNNNNNNNNNNNNNNNNNNNNNNNNNNNNNNNNNNNNNNNNNNNNNNNNNNNNNNNNNNNNNNNNNNNNNNNNNNNNNNNNNNNNNNNNNNNNNNNNNAAUAGACCAGAACUAAAGGUAGAGAAGUAAUAAUCACAAAAUGGCUUUUUGUAGGGAUUAUAAAAUUUCAAUGAUCGUUUGGGAUAUGUUUUAUUGACAUUGUUUCAGGUUAUAGCAUAUUUUUCCCUUGCAUAAAGGACAAAGGCCCAUAUGAGUUGAUUUAUUUUUGCGUAGUAGGAAUAUAAGUACAAUAUUAAUGGGCCAGUCCCAUUAAAGAUAAGCACAAAACCUUCCAUGCCAAAGCCGAUGGUAGUUGAUCCAUGCCGGUCCUCCAUGAGGCCAGCUUGUGACCAGUUAAAACACUUCUUGUGAGACUAGUCAGUCAGUCAAUACAAACUUUUCAUCAUCCGAAAAUCUACCAAUAAAUCAAGAGAAGCAAAGACCACGUGCGUAUGUAGAUUUUUGAUAUAGAUGUGAUCGUAUUAAACAGAGAUGCAAAACAUCAAAAAAAGGAAAUUAGUACGCUUAAGAGAUGUGAGAGUAAAAAAAAAAAGAGAGUCAAAGCUCAAACCUCAAAUCAUAAAGUGUAAUAGAAAGGUGACAUCUGAUAGAGUUCUUGGAGAUGCGACCAAAGUCAAAAAGUAUGCAAGUGUUGUCUUCAGACGUGUUGGACGUUGAGGAUGUAAUAGCCAUCAUCUUUCUUUAGGUUGCCUGCACUCCGGCAAAUAUUUGGAUUCUAUUUAGCAAGAAAACGAUAAGACAACGAUGUUCGAUAAACGAAGGCAAAAGGGAUUUGCUGUUGAAUGACAUCUUGACCAUGUUAAGCAAGAAAGGUUCUAGCCUAGCCAUCACAAAAAUAAUUUUGGUAGCUUAAUAAAGAGAGAGAAAAAUAAAUACAAGAGAAAAAUAAAUACAAGAUCAUAUCAAGGAUCCAUUGAAACGUAGCAUCGGCCAGAAUUCGUCCGGAUGCACGCUAAGUCAGCCAGUAUGAUAGUAUUUUCAUCAUAAGUGUUGGAUGUUGAGGCUGUAAUAGCCAUGCUCUCGAGGUUGCAUGCAUUAUGUAAGAUGUAGAUCGCCGCUUUUCUCUCUGUAUCUCUUCUUCCUUUAUACCCAAUCCACUCAACAGCUUCCAGACUCCUGUACAAACUUAGAGGCAAAAAAUCCGGUUCCUUCCACUUUCCUCUUAAACGGUUGCCGCAACAUCUAUGUUGUUUGAACCUGAGAACUCGCAAGUUAGAGCUAUGCAUUAGAAUGUAAGGAAAACAAUCGAGAGCGCAUAUAGCACAUAGCUCUACACACUCUCUCUCAAGGUUUAGAAACAUUUUCCAAACAUGACGCCAUCUUUUUGACAAAACACUUGUCUUUGCCGCUUCUUUUGUCCGAAGGAAUGACAAAAUCUGCACCAAUAACUCGUCAGGUAAAUCACUUAUUCUUCCCAAGGUUGAACCAACUCUGGUUGCUUUCCGAUACAUUGAGAUAUCAAACAAAAUUUGUGGAAAACUGAAAAAGAAAGAAAACAACUUCGUAAAAGACAGCCUUUUGCUAAUAAACGAAUUAGAGAACCCUAAUCAAAUAUGCGCUUCUCUUUCGGUUUUGAUAAUUACAAACCCUAAUAGAUUAUGAUAUUUAUAUAUGAACCCAUAAUGGAAGUAGGAACCCUUAUAUUAAAAGGAAUAUUUAAAAUUACAAAAGCGUACAGUAUGUGCCUUUUUCACAAACUUAAUCCCAAUAUAAUUUGUAUUACAAUUUAUUACCUAUAAUACAAAUUAUUAAAAGAGCGUAUAUGCCUUUUUCACAAACUAAUCCCAAAAAAAAUUCACAAACAAAAGCGUAUUGGAUCCAAUAUAAUUUUUGAGUUGCAACUUGCAAUUAUAAUAGUCAUCAAAAUUUGACUAAAUUUCCCAUAAUACGUAGAAUGUCCAAAUUGUGUUUUUUUUGUUCAAUAAAAUUAAACCAGAAUAUUUUUCUCAUAAAGAAUUUAUGAAAAUUUAUUCGAGAAAUACACUCACCUUAACUGCACUUAAACCGUAAUAUAUAAUUUGGACCACACUUCGCAGAGGCUAAGAUUACUUAAUGGGCUAGGCCCAUGGAGUUAAUAUAAUAGCAAAGCCCUCAUCAUCUUCCUUACGAAGUAACCUUAAACCUAGUCUCUUUGAAAAUUCUCCGAAUCGGAAACUGCAUAAAUACUCGACUUUUUAAUUUCAAAAAGGCGGCUAGGGUUUUUUCGCUUCUAGCUACAAUGUCAUUGUAUCUUCUUAGCGAAUCAUCCUCCGGCUACGCAUUGUUCCAGGUACAAGGUGUAGAUGAGAUUGGACAGAACACGGAGGCGGUUCGGAGCUCCGUCUCGGACCUUAGUCGGUUCGGGCGGGUCGUCCAGCUCACUGCGUUUCACCCAUCACAGUCUGCACUCGAUGCUCUCAACCAAAUCAGCGCCAUCUCUGAAGGUUAACUCUCCACUAAAUUACAGCUCUUUCACUCUCUAGCAUAUUCAUAUACUGUAUUAUUUGCUUUUAUAUUAUAUUUUUAUGCUGGAAAAGAGCUCUUAUAUAAUUAGGUGGGAUUUUGUCUUUAAAGACGACAACUGGAAUCUGCUUAUUCUGUUCUGUAUUAGUUUUUGCUUGAGGUUUUGAUAAGAAGUAUUGGUGAAUUACAUUUUGUAGGGUAUAUGACUGAUGAGCUGAGAAGUUUUCUGGAGCUGAAUCUCCCGAAAGUGAAGGAAGGAAAGAAGCCAAAGUUUAGUUUGGGAGUGGCUGAGCCAAAAAUCGGGUCUUGCAUAUUUGAAGCCACAAAAAUUCCUUGCCAGAGCAAUGAGUUCGUCCAUGAGCUUCUUAGAGGUGUGCGCCAGCAUUUCGAUAGGUUCAUCAAAGACCUAAAGGUGCGAUAUUUAUUUAUGAUUUACCUUGUACCUAUAUCUCUGAUUGUUUUCGCUAUUCUUGCUCAAUAUCAAUUUCUAUAAUGUAGCCUGGUGAUCUGGAAAAAGCUCAACUUGGACUAGCUCACAGUUACAGCAGAGCAAAGGUGAAGUUCAAUGUUAACCGGGUGGAUAACAUGGUUAUUCAAGCUAUUUUCCUGCUUGACACGCUUGAUAAGGAUAUCAAUUCCUUUGCUAUGAGAGUCAGGUUUGUCUUUUUGUUUUGCCUUGCAGAUUACUAUCUUUGUUUUUACCUGAAUAAUGUUUUCUUACCUGCUUUUUAAAACAGGGAAUGGUACUCGUGGCACUUCCCUGAACUUGUCAAGAUAGUAAAUGACAACUACCUUUAUGCACGAGUGUCAAAGAUUAUCGAGGACAAGUCGAAGUUGUCUGAAGAGCACAUCCCAAUGCUUACUGAAGUCUUGGGGGAUGAAGACAAGGCAAGAGAGGUUGUUGAAGCUGGAAAAGCAUCCAUGGGUAAGAAACUGGUGGAGCUUGUUUCAUGAGAAUCAUGAUUUCUUAUUAAAUGUAUCUAUUAGCUCUCUUGUUCUAAAACAUUGCUUGGUUUCCCUACUGAAGGCCAGGAUUUAUCACCCCUUGAUCUGAUCAAUGUCCAGACCUUUGCUCAGAGAGUUAUGGACCUCGCAGAUUACAGGAAGAAGCUCUAUGAUUAUCUUGUUACUAAAAUGAGCGACAUUGCUCCAAAUUUGGCAGCCUUGAUCGGAGAGAUGGUUGGUGCUAGGUUAAUUUCACAUGCAGGAAGUCUGACAAAUCUUGCCAAAUGCCCAUCUUCAACUCUCCAGAUUCUCGGUGCUGAGAAGGCACUUUUCAGGUGCAUUUCAAGCUUUGUUCUGCUACGCAAGUUUAAUUUCACUGCAGUAGCUGACCUUUUAAGUAAAUUUCAGGGCGCUAAAAACACGUGGAAACACACCCAAAUAUGGUUUAAUAUUCCAUUCGUCAUUCAUUGGACGUGCAUCUGCUAAAAACAAGGGCCGUAUUGCUCGUUUCCUUGCAAACAAGUGUUCCAUUGCAUCCCGGAUUGAUUGUUUCGCUGGUAAAAAUCUAGACUUCCCUGAAUAAGAAGGAGGCGUUUGGGAUAGUAAUAAUGCAUUGCUGUUAAUUGCUAACUACAAAACCAUGGUGGUGUCGUAUGCAGAUAGCAGCAGUACAGCUUUCGGUGAGAAACUAAAGGAACAAGUGGAGGAACGACUUGAGUUUUAUGACAAGGGUGUUGCCCCACGUAAGACUGUUGAUGUAAUGAAAGAAGUGAUGGAAAAUCUUGAGAAGAAAGGUACAUCUAACUCUCUUAGUGACCCAACAGAGCUCUCUGAUCUUUUGAGGUAAACGGUUUUGUUUUAUGGGUUGUAUUCUCCUUUCGUAGAUGAGGGAGAAAAAACAGUGGAGGUCUCAGAGAAGAAAAAGAAGAGAAAGACAGAAAAUAAAGAGGAGGAAGAAGAGAAAUCAAAGAAAAAGAAGAAGAAGAGCAAAGCAGGAGAAGAAGAGGAAUUGACAACAACAGAUAAUGGUCACAGCAAGAAGAAGAAGAAAACUAAGUCACAAGAUGCUGAAUAAACAAACAAGCCUUAAACUAGUUUUUUUAGGUUUCUUUCUUCCACAUAGCAAAGAUUACUAAUUAUUUACUAUUGAGUCUUAAACUAGUGUCUUUUUUUUUUCUUCACUCUGUUUUUGACUUUAAAACAACUUUAAACAUGGAAGAGAAAUGAUAUCAGAUUGUGAAACGAACAAGGUUGGUUAUUAGAUUCCAGGUUAAAUUGAAGAUCAAAAUCUUGAAGAUCAAUAUAUGAUUUCUGUUCUUUAAAAAUAUCUGACUAGACAAAUUAACUGUACAAAUAAGGAUUGGAGAAGAUGAAUCAAACAUGUUCUUUAUUAUCUCAAACAAAAAAAAAGACUAAAAUUGCAGAAACCAGAGAAUUCUGCUGCGAAUCAUUACAAAAUGCGAAAACAAAAGAGCAAUGAGAAGAUAAUCUUAAUCGCAGAGAAUGAGUCUAAUCAUGGCGAGAACCAAACACGAAACAGAGAAGAAGAAGAGCGUCACGAAAUCCCUAGCAGACCAUUUCCUCACAGGCUUCGACUCAACUCUCAAACUCUUUGCUCUACGAAGAGCGUCUACUUCUUUGAGCAAAUCAAAUUCGAUACCUUUCUUCUUCAGCUCUUCAACGCAUUUGCGUAACAGCUUCGCAUCUUCUUUCUCCCUCUCUAGCAGCUUCUCAAGAUGCGAUUCCACUUCAGAUUUGUACCGUACCGCCCAAAUGAUCCCCAAGGAAGACAAGAGAGCGCAGAGUGAAGGGAUCCAUGACCUUUUACAGGCACUCGAAGCAGCAGCAACAGACGAAGAAGACGAAGCGUGGAAGAGGAGCAGCAGAGAAAUGGAGUGGAAGAGAAAGAAGAAGAUGUAAAGCUGAGUGAUUUCUCUACGAACAGAGUCGAUCUGAGAUUCUUUGUGAGAGACACGGCUGAGGAUGAGCUCUUCUUCUUUUAGCCAUUGUUUCAGAAGAAGCUUGUGUGUUGGCGUAUCUGCGAUCUGGUGAAGAGGAUGUCUCGUCUUCGCCUCCAUGAUCGUGCUCUGAUCUGACGCCAUUGAAGGUUUGUGAUAUAGAGAAACAGAGAUCGAGAGAGAAAUGUACUAGAGUUGUGUGAUUCGCUGAGAUAAAGAAAUGUGGAUUUUAUUAAUAACGCGAGGCUCUUUAGUAACGGCUAUUUUGGGUUUUUAUUUUAAAAUUUAUGUGCAUUUACAGAUUUGUCCUGAGCGUCUCUAACGGUCAUUUAAAAUGCACGGCUUGGCACCGUCACGCUUUCUUAAAUUGGCCCACGGAAUGUUUGGCCCAUGUAUGGCCCGUAAUUAUAAGUCGACCACUCACGUUAAUCUUGUAAACUAGUAACGCUUGAACCACGUGUCAUCAACAAUACAUAAUGCAACCAAUGGAGUUAUAAAAAAAGCAUUUUCUAUCUAUCUCCGAAUUCCGAACGUUACGAAAUCGUAACAGCACUUAAGGAGGCUAAGCACGCAGACAAUGGUGAUGAUUCACACUUACAUGCAAAUAGUGAAAAGAGCAAUAAAAGCAUGAACAAGAAGCUGGCUUUGCUUGCAAGACUUCUUCUCCUCACCACACUUGUAACAAGAAUAUCAGUAAUCACCAGAGCCGAUGAAGAGCUAAUGAUGCAAGAAUGCCAUAACUCUGACAACCCCACUUUGUGUCUUCGCUGUCUAAGCUCCGACCCCUCUUCUCCUGAAGCCGACAAAGUUGGACUGGCUCGAAUCAUCCUCAAAUGUAUCAACUCUCACCUCCUUACCCUUACCAAGAGUGCUUCCACUUUGGGCUCCAUGCACUACCGGAAUCCCAUGGCUGCAUCAGCGUUGAAGCAGUGCGGUUUGGGUUUCUCCACGGCUAAGCGUGGCGUGCGAGAAGCCGACGCUCACUUGAUAGCCGGAGACUACGACAAGUCUGCGUAUGAUGUCAGCGUGAAGGUGGUGGAUCCUCCGGUCUCGUGCAAAACCAGUCUCGAGACACUCAACAUCCAAGUGCCCUCAAGUUUUCGUUACCAUAUGGAGGUUUACUUGGCGUUGACUCAAUCUCUCCUCAGGAUCAUUGAUCGCUUCUAGAUAGUUUAUUGUUUCUCCAGCAAGUCAUUGUCUUAUCUUAAUAUCAUCAAGAGUCUAUAACUAUGUCUAAGCCUCCAACCAAAAUCCAAAUUGGCUUGUUCUUGUUGUCAUUUCAAGACUGAAUGCAAAAUAGUGAUACCUUAAGUUAAGAAGCUAAAAACAAAGUAGCUGAUGUUUUUAUAUGCAUGGUUUCUAAGUGGAAGGUUUGUAUGAAAAUUGGUGCUUAUAGUAUUUUAAAAACAAAGACAUUAAUGAAUCAAGAAUGAGUUUGAUCUUAACGUCAAGAUCAUCACAAAGUACGAAAUAGAACUCAGAAGUUUUAUGAUAACAUAAAAAAGCCACAAAUUGCCGGAGAUGAAGAAUUGAAUGUUUAUUUUACCUACUCUGUUUGUCGAAACAGAGUUUCUAACAAAAACUAAUUUAUCGUCUUCCACUUGAACAUGAAAGUAACUCAGGUAUGUCAUCGUUAGGUGACAACGUUUGGUCUGUUCAAAUCCUUCUAUGGGUUGUUUUUAAAAUGGUUCAUGUAUUGCUAAUGGUUCUGACUCAAAACUCAAAGCUGUAAUAUUUCAUUGCCUUUUUAGCUUUACUCCUUUUAAAUACAGUUGUUCCAAUCAAUGAAUAUGCAUGGUUAAUUACUCAGUAACAGAAACAAUUGGUAAUCUAUCUUCUAGAAAGAAAGAUAGAUAAUGUUUAGGUAGCAACUCGAGCACGGUUGCCGAAGCAUGUAGAACAAAAUCAGGACAUAUCUUCUCUUUUUCGGCAGCAUAUACAAUAGUAAAUGUAACUCUGUGGGGAAAAUAUACUCUUCUAAAGUGGAUUAAAUUUUAUGUGAAAAUAGUUGGAAAAAAAAAAAACAAAACUUUGUGGCUACUUUUAUUUUUGGUCCUUCAAGGGAACAGCUACAUGCCUAAAAGAUUCAUUCCUCAGGCAACAUGCACCAAUUAACAAUAGCCAAACACAACUUGCACGUUAAUAAGCUUUUUUUCUUUUCUUUUCAUCUAACUCUUUCAUUUUUUAUCUCUACCUCUCAGAUUCUUUUUUGCCCUGAAAACCUCGUUUUAAGAACAAAUACAAGAAAAUGUUGAAAUUAUGUGACAGUUUAUAAUACAUUUUUAAGGGAUUACUAUUAACUGUAUAGAUCAGUCUUUUUUUGAGAAGAAUGAAUGCUUCUUUCAAGUGUAGGAUAAAUAAAGGUAGGAAUCUUUUCUGAUAACAAAUAAAAGAUCGAACUAAGAUAUCAGUUUCGCUUUAGCUUAACAGAACACAUGAGAGUAAGAUUUUGCAAGAACCAACUUUUUUAAGUUUGAACGAAAAAGCAACCAAAAACUCAAAAUUACAUAUAUAUAUAUAUAAACAAUUCAGUAAAAAGGUAUCAGUACUUUGAAGUGCAGCACCAACACGACGCAGAGUUUCAGAUAUUGAUGUAGUUCACUGUUCUUAGAGAUAGCUGAUGAGUUUUCAUAAUUUGAGAGCAUAUAUAAUUAGAUCCACAAAUAGGAUAAGAUCGGAUAAUAGAUUUUGAAAUAAAUGAUAUUCUAUUCCUAUGCAUGGCAAUUUCGUAUUCACUUUUUUUUUGUUUUUGUUUUUGGUAAUAAUUAAUGUGAAUACCCAAUUCUCAUGUUGAUUUUAUUAGUUACAAUAGAUGACAUAUAAUUAACUGGCACGUUAUGAUGUAUAGUUUGAGAUAUUUGGAAGAUCUUCUUUUUUCUAAUGAAAUAUUUCAUUGUCUAGUCCAAAAGACGAGUUUGAAGCUUAGCAGAUCAUGGACAGAGAAUCUAAUAUCAUGAAGAAUUGUACAAACUUCACAGAAAACAAGAUAAAGGACCCAAAGAAAAACAUGUCUCACUUUAAUCUUUGAAUGCAUAUUCAGUCAUGUCAUGACCCAUCCAUCAUCUUUCCUUCGAAUCUCCUAUCUCACUGAACAUGUUUUGAGGCAGCCCUCCGUAUUUGAUAUCUGCGCUUAGUUAUGAUCUCAUUCCCACUAGCCAUAUUUGAUUACUUUAGUUUUUUUUGCAUUGUCUCAAUUUUUCAAAAAAAAAAAAAAAACACAUACACCAAUUCAUGAUGAUUUAGUGGUUGAAAUAUAUGUUAUACUACAACUUAGUUAAGGAUUUGAAUCAUGCAUCUUAAAUGGCAAGAAUCUUCACAGAUCCCAUAAUUUGAUUGGUGACCAAAGUUUAUAUAUCAGACCUUGCAUAAACAUAUACGCAUACAUGCAUGGUUCUCAUGCAAAAGCACAAUUAUAAAUUCUGCAACCAGGGCUUAUCAGCUAGACUGUGGAAAGAGGGGGUAAAUAGGCGCAAAUCUAAAGUUCAUAGACAAGAUUUGUAAAUAUUUAUAGGUAGAUUCAAGUCGUAGCAGGGGCUGUUUAGUUCAUGGGAGUGAUAAAUAAAUUAAAAAUGGUGCAAGAACAUGUGUUAAGAUUCUGGGGCUAGGCAUAGGGUUUCUCUUUACGUAGUUUUCAUAGCGUGUGUAUUUGCGUACGGCCUUUUGAAAAAAACGCGAAAACAUUUAUUCUCUCAUUUUUUUCUUUCUGUUUAAUGGAAAAAGUCGAGACAAGAACAUUGGCAACUGAGGACAACUGGUGUGGCUUAAAUUAGAUAUCUAAUUAUUCGCCUGUGCUCCAUAUAUUAUCUAACCUAUCACCAUUCGACAUAUAUGUAUCUUUAGUAUAUCAAGAUUUAUAUUCUAUCAAUAAUUAAGCUGUUUAUAUUUUUCAUUUUUAUCAUCUGUUUUUUAAUAUGUUGAAUACAAGAAGAACAAAAAGUCCUUAAGAGGGAUAGGUUGGAUGAAAUGUAGAAAGAAAGAAAGUGAAAAACUAACGAAAAAUAGAAACAGUUAGAACAUAAAAGGACAGAAAAAGCUGGUAAUAACUAAAGAUGUUAAGUUAAUUAGAAAAUGGUUUUGACAGCAUUAAAAGAGAGUGUUAUUAACAGAGCAGAGAGUCGUCUCACUAACUGUAAAACUCUGGUGUGUUCGGUCUCCCCAAUUAGUGUUACGGUCAGCCUGCCCGAACUAUCAACAAAAACUCCUAUAUAUAUACACACUUUGCACACACUCUCAUUUAAUUUCCUCCCAAAACAACCCAAAACUAAUUAACAAAAAUGGCAUCAUCUAUUCCUCAGUUAUACGGCGCUGAUUUCACAGCAUUUUCCGGCGAGACUUCUUCGCAGUUUCACGGCUCUUCUUCAUGUCCUGACGUGGACUCAGCGUUAUAUAGCUACCUUGACGACUGUUAUGGCUCCUUCAACACCUCUUCUUCUAAUCCAGCAGAAUCCAUCUUUUUACCCCAACUUUUUGGAAUCUCUGACGUCUCUGCGCCGCCUGAUGAAUACAACAACUAUUACCAGAAAAUGAGUGUGAAUAAUAAUGCUACACAAUACUUUCACGGUGGGGAUCAAGAAUACUACGGUUUUUCACCGGAGAUCAAGCCCUCGUUCCGUCCGGCCACAGGAGAGCAAUCAUGGGUACGUAUACACGUCCUCGAAAUCAUUAACUAAAGAGAGUGACAUGCAUGUGUAUUACUAGUUAAUUAUUAAUAUACGUAAGAAUUGAAAUAUGAAUAUGAAGCAGGGAAAUAGUGAAGGAGGGAUACAAGCUGAGCCAAACAUAAAAGUGGGACGCUAUUCGGUGGAGGAACGUAAAGACAGGAUCAUGAGGUACUUGAAGAAAAAGAACCAACGCAACUUCAAUAAGACCAUCAAGGUACGUAUACAUCACUCUCAUUCUUAUUUAGAUAAUUAUACUCGUUAAGAAAGACAGUUUUAAAACUAUAUGUAUAUAUCCAGUAUGUUUGCCGUAAAACCCUAGCCGACCGGCGUGUUCGCGUUCGGGGACGAUUUGCCAGAAACAAUGACACAUGUGAAGAACAAUCUCCCAUGUCUAAGAAUCACAACAACCAUUCUGAAAAAGAGGAAGAUAUGUUUUCAGGAUCAGACGACUAUCUAAUACAGGUAUUGUUUUUAAUUAUAUUCCCCAUGACAGUAUAUAUAUAUAUGAUAUGCCAUCAUCAAUUAUUAGUAAUUUGUAAAGCUAAUUAGUGCAUCCCUAUUUCAGCAGAUGGAACACGAUGACGGAUGGCUUCACGAAGCAAUGUCCAACCUCAUCCCUUUUCCUUGUGAAUUUGACGCACCUGGAGAUGCUCAUCAUUCAAACACUUGGAGCUUCUGAUCUUACUACCUAAUCUCAUUUACAUACGAAUCAAUGAAUGUCGCUAGCUAUUAAAUUUGAUGAUCAGUUAGUUUAGUUUGAUUAAUUAAGCAGCUUAUUUAUUUUUAUGGUAGAUUUAUCAUAAUGUACUUAGUUACUUAUUCCUGGGGUUAAUGAACACAUGAAGAUUCUGUCUAGUGAAUAAAAUAAAAGAACUUCACUUAAUCAUCAUCAUCAUCAUCAUCUAAUUAUGACGUGAGAAUAAAAUUUUAGCCAAUGGCGAUCUCAAUACAAGAGAAAGUUAUUAUGGUUCCUUUUGAUCUACUUUACCUUUUUACAGUGAAUCAAAGUUUAUAUAAUGUGAAAACCAAAAAGACGAUUCUAAGAUGAGUGAAAAGUUUGUUGAGAUUAUUUAAGGCAAACAACAUCUUUUUUACGAUCGAUGCGAAUAAAUUGGGUGAGGUCGAUAAGAGAUUAAAAUUAACUAGUAGUGGAUUCACGGAACAAUUGUGUAUUAAGGAAUAUAUGAUGCAAGUUUUAAUCAUAAGACGAAUGACUAAACGUAAACAUAUAUAGCUUGUGGCCUUUCUCUUCGAUGCUUACAUAUGAAUGGAUAUAAAGAAUAUAAUGCCGACUAGCUAAUUGGUCACAGGCAAAAACACAAAAACAUGAUAAGUUGUACACAAAAUUCUUGCAAUGAUAGGCAAGGAGCUAAAGAAUGCAUGUUGUGUCCACAAAUUAAAGCAUCCAAAUAAUUUCAUUUAUAGGGUUUAAUUAUUAAUUUUGAUGCAUGAUGAAAAUAUAGCUAGCUAUAUAGAGAGAGAGAGAGAGGGGGGUGGAGAUGAAAGACAUGAUACGGAACCAAGUUCCAAUCACUUUUUUAAGACAUAUAAUUCUUAUAACAAACAUAAUAAGGCUUCAAAAUCUGCAAAUUAUAUUCUCUGAAAUUUGUCCCCUUUAUUUUGUUUUCUGCUUUGACGAAUCUUUGUGAAGUUGAAGGCUGAAGGCUGAAGCCCUCUCGUUUGCUUUUACUUUUCCAUAAACCAUGUGCAUCAUUUUUCUUGGAAAAAAAAAAUCAGUUUUAUGAUCCUUUCUUCUUAUUUUAUUUUGGCUCAACUCAUCAGUUUUAUGAUCCAAAAUCCUAACACUGAAUAUGACAUGUUGAACUAAACAAGUUAUUAUAUAUGGAGAAAUGGGAAACAAACAACCUCUUCAUUCUUCAAUUUAUUGUAGGCCCGACAGCUUAUUAUUACUACUCGGGUCUCCACCGAAUUUAUAUAUGUUAAGGCUCACGAUUUGGAUCGAUCAUAGCAAACUAUAUAUUCAUGACACUGAAGUGUGUUGACCCUGCUUCUUGACGUUGGGAACAUAUAUUUGAUACAACCUAUCGUAUAUGCUUAGGUCAAAUUAAAACAAGAUAAUAAAGAUUGCAUCAAAAUAAUCAUUAAUUGUUAUAUUCAUUUUGUCAUUUUUACUAUCUCUCAAGAAAGAUAUCAGUGGUUACCCAUUUUUCAAUAAUUUCGGUGAAUUCCCACUAUCUCAAACUUUGUUUUUUGUCUUCUAUAUAUAAUUGGUCAACUUGAACAGGCAAAAGGCAAUAGGAAUUCAUUCAACUCUCUAAAACUCAAGUGAUACAAGUGUUCCAAUUAGUAUAAUGUACAAAUUCAAUUCACUACAAGUUUUUACGCUGGUUAAACCCUUAGUUAAUUUGGCUGAUAUAAUGUUGCAAUUUAGUUAAGAGUUUGUACGUUAUUCUUUGGAUUACUAGGGACAUUGUCAUUAAUAAAUUAAAAAAACUGUCGACAGUAUUGUACUUAUUUGCCAGUCUCUUAUAUUCUUUUCCUAUGCUUUUUAUUUUAUAUAUCUCCCUUGUUUAACCAUCUUUAAUUUGGUGGUUUUCUUGGCACUUUGUUGCCUUACUACUUUGUAUCUCCUUUGGUUUGGUGUAUUUCUUCCUUUUAUGUUACAUAUAGAGUAAACAUAUAUAAAGAGUAAAAAUGUUAAUGUUGCAAUUUGAUUAGUAUUUGAAAGACACACAAAUUAAUACAAUUGCGAAUUGUAUACAUAUAGUAUAACAUGCUUUUUUAAAGGAAUUGCGCCUUCACACAGAUUGUUGUGCUUGUGAUGCGUUGAAUUUAAGUAAUACAAAAUGCUUUUGUCCACUUCAAUAAAAUGUUACAAAGAUUCGGUGUUGGAUUUUCCAAUUUUUCUUAUGAAGCCUGUGUGUGUUACCGUUAGAGCAGUGAAGGUCGCUCUCUAUGCAUGUUGAAAACGAAAGCUACAAUCAACAACUUACCCCUUCAAUGAGAGGGAGAGCUAUAAUCUCUCUACUUCCAAGCCUCAAUCUAGUAUUAUUUGUGUUUUUUCUAUGCAUUUCUGAUAUUCCUAUAUAUCUUUUCGAAAAUGAUAUUUGAGUUUUUAUGCAUUUCUAAUAUUCCCAUAUUUUUUUCUGAAAAUGAUAGCAAACAGGGACAAUUGUUUUCUUAUGUGUUUUUUACCCCUUCCAAAUCUAAUGAUAUAUAUAUAUAUAAGUCAACGAUUAUGUUCUUUCGUGCAAUUUUAAGGAUCAAAUGUUUUAUUUUUAUACAUUUUUGGAUUGCAGAAAGUGAAACUAGGAUCGAUGUCAUAUAAUAAGAGAAAGUGCAACUAUCUUUUGGUAUAUGUGCAUUUUGGUAAGAAUAUUGAUUAUUCAAUUUAUUUAUGAGACGAGUAGUUUAAUUAGGGGGGGUACCGGGUACAUAUCAUCAAACAUAGGAUUAAGCAGAUGAUUAAAGUGAUGUAUAUUGCAUUUAAUAAAGAGUCGACGUUGAGAUCAACAGAGCCAUGUGUUAUCUAAUCAUGCAGCAAUUGAAUUUAACAUCUUCAAAAGAAAUAAAAGAAUUGUUACAUAUAUACUGUACAUGUGGUUCGUGGAGAUUUUGGAAAAUAAGAUAAUGCAACGAUGGCCACAAGACAGAGUCCGAUCCGACAGAAUCUUUAUAGAAAAUUAUACAUUGCUAGACUAGAUGAUGGGGUUGACCUUUCCCACUGAACUGGGAAAAAAAAUCUGACCCUUUUCCUUUUUCUAUGUAAUUUGAAAGCACUUAAAAAUCCAAUCAUGAAAACGAUUAACAAAGUUAAAAGUGGGAAAUCAGUAAUCUUCUUCUGAGGAAGCUAAUCAAAACAGCUAGGGACGUAGUUAUUGCAUGCAACUGUGUACCAAUAGCGACCUUGUUACCCAAAUGUGAGAUUUCACUUCCGUUUGUCUUUUUUCACAAUUUUUUUCUUCGAGACAAGACAUCCCUCUCCCAUCUUCUUUUAAUAUUUUCAAACAUUUAACUUUUUCAGUUUUUAAAAAGAUAUGUAGGAAUAUCAGAAAUUGAUUUCAAAACAUAUAAUUUACCUAGCUUCAAUAGCAUUUUCUUAGGUAUUGUGAGUAGACAUUAAUAUACUACUAAUACAAUUUGAGUUUUUUUUCGCAUUUCUUUUUUUUGGUGAGAUCAUCAACACAUAUAUUAAAGUCACACAAUUUUGGUAAUCCAAAGAAAAAAAAACAAAAAAAGUAAGAACAUACCGACAUAGGCAUCCGCUUUGGUGGGCUUCUAGCAGGAGUAUUUUAGCUUUCAACGUACUGGGCUUUCAAUUUAAAGCCCAUAACAAUAAAACAUAGCCCAAGGCGUUGACAUUGAAGGAGGGGCAUGGCUCACGGUAGCCCGCCGUUAAGUAGUAUUAUCAGGCGUGAUUUUUGAGUCAAACUAUUUAGAAGCCAAAAAUGAAAGUCUACUAGAAUUUAUAAUUAACUUCUUCUAUUCUUUUUUUUUUUAUUAAAGAGCUACAAGCAUAAUUUGCUUACGUAUAUCGGUAUAUAUAUACCCACCUAAAGAUGUAUUUGUUUACCUAUUUAAUUUUUCUUAUAUGUUAUAGUUUGAUAUGUGAAUGUCUUUGUGUUUAAUGGCAAGACGCACACCUGACACCACAUGUCCUCUUGUAAGAAAACUAGCUAUAGAUAACCCUAACGUAAGAUGUUUUUAUUUAAAUAUAUAUAGCAUUGAAUGGUUGAAGCAUUUUUAUACCAAGAAAAUGAAAUAAUUCAACGUUUACUUUUAUUUGGAUUAACAUGCAUCAAACUUUUAUGUAGAAUGGGGGUUGGUAAAAUGUUUGACAAACUCAUUGGCAAAACAUUAAAUCAAAUAUCAAUGAGAAGAUAUGUACCAUGUAGGUAGUUGAAAUAUAUUAAAACUCCCUCUUUCGAUACACUACGUACGUACAGAAAAUUAUAUCGAACUCUUGGCAUUAUGCACGCUUGGUAUUUUCGUUAGUAUUUAUAGCCGCUUCACUUUGUUACUUCUCAACAUUCAGUUUGCAAUCUAACAAGAGCAUAAAACACAUUCAAAAUUUCAAGCAGAAGUGUAGAGACAAUGGCUAUCAUCAACUUCGAGGACCAACCCACAUUGUACAAUUUCGUGGUCAAACAAGGCAACGGCGUGAAAGGUAUGAUAGACUCAGGCCUCUCCAGUGUUCCACAGCCCUUCGUCCAGCCUAUCUCUGAGCGAAUCCCGACCCAAAACGCCUAUACGUGUGAGGCUUCCCAGCCAAUCGAUCUUUUCCACCUAAAUGGUCCACACCACAAAGAGGUGGCCAAACAGAUCGUCGAAGCUGCCGAGACACUUGGCUUCUUCCAGGUAAAUAAUAGUUGACACAUAUCAUUUUGGUUGGUGUAGAGAUGAGCUACAUAUGUGAGUAAACAUGUAUAAACUUGAUCUGGAUGAUACAAUCAAUCUUAUCUUAUGAACUUACGUUAAAAAUGCUUGCUUAUAAGAUCGAGUGUCUUUAUCAAACUCUUAAAAAUGCAUGUUUAGUAAUAUGAAAACUGUAUCAUUCUGAGGAUGGAUUGCAAAUGGCAGGUGGUAAACCAUGGUGUUUCGGUGGAGCUGCUAGACUUGCUAAAAACAUCGGCUCAUGAGUUUUUUGCACAAUCACCUGAGGAAAAAGCGAUAUAUUUGAAAGAAGUGAGUCCAAGCAAGCUGGUUAAGUACGGAACAAGUUUCGUGCCAGAUAAGGAGAAGGCGAUUGAGUGGAAGGAUUAUGUGAGUAUGAUGUACACCAGUGACCAUGAGGCUCUCCAACACUGGCCUCAACCAUGCAGGUAUAUACAUAUGUACUAAACUCUACUUUAAACUUGUGUUAUAUAGAUAGUGUAUAAAUGCUAGGAAACUCAUGUUGAAAAUGAGAUGAAAUGUAAAAAAUAAUAUAUAGAAAGAAAUAAAUCAAUAAUAUUCAUUCGGUUUUGAAUCAUAAACUUACAAAAUAUAAACGUGUUGACAGAGAGGUGGCUCUUAAGUUCCUGAAGUCAUCGAUGGAAAUGGUGGAAAAUAUAGUUAACAUUCUGAUGGAGAAUGUAGGAGUGAAACUGGAAGAAGAGAGGAUGAAUGGUUUGAUGGGAACCAAGAUGGUCAACAUGAACUACUACCCCACUUGCCCGAGCCCCGAGCUGACAAUUGGCGUCGGCCGUCACUCCGACAUGGGUAUGUUGACUGUUUUGUUACAAGACGGCAUUGGUGGUCUCUACGUCAAACUAGACAACGGUGAAUGGGUUGAGAUCCCUCCUGUUCACGGAGCUUUGGUUAUCAACAUCGGUGACACUUUGCAGGUUUGUUUAAACGAAUUUAUAAUAUAUAUUUUACAUACUAUAUAUAUAUAUAUGCUGUAUCCAUAUUUAUUUUUGAUAUAUAUUCUAAUACAAAUAUGUAAAAAUGUCAACAGAUUUUGAGCAAUGGGAAGUACAAAAGUGCGGAGCAUAGGGUUCGAACCACAAACGUAGGAUCGAGAGUAUCUGUGCCCAUUUUCACGGCACCUAAUCCUUCGGAAAAGAUUGGACCGUUGGCGGAAGUUGUGAAACGCGACGGAGUGGCUCGAUACAAGGAGCUGUUGUUUCAAGACUACAUGAAUAACUUUUUCAGCCAACCACACGACGGCAAAAAAUCUCUCGACUUCGCAUGUGCCGAGUGAUGCUAUCAACAGUUGCCACGUAACAGCUACUCGCGAGCCUCUGUUUCUUUUCUAUCCUUCCUUUGUUCUCUUUUUCUAUCUUUAGUCCCACGUUACACGGAGUUGUUGUCUUGUUGUUUCCCUUUUUCUUGUUUUGUUUUGUUUUCUUUUUUAUGUAACUUUUUUUAAUCCUUGUUCGAUCCCCAUGUUUUUAUUUCGGUACAAUAAAAAAUGUCCUUCUACGUGUGCAUUCUGAAACAUAAUUGAUCUUUUAUCAAACUUUCAUGCGUGUGUUGGGUUGAAUGGUUUGGGUUCCUUUUACCAAAAUUUCAAAGUUAUUUAACUUUUUACCAAAAAAAAAAAAAUUCAAAGUCCCAGAGUCUGACCUACGUAUUGAUUUUUUUUACUGCAAUGAUUAUAUAACUUUUUACCAAUUCUCCAAGGACUUUUCCCUUCAUUAUUAUUUCCAUUUUUCAUCUCGCUUUCAAGGCAUACUAUACUUACGAUUUAGACUUAUUAUCGGCUUCUAGGUCGUUCUCGUUUUUUCGUUGACUAUUUCUAAAAAUGCAAAAUAUAUGGGACAAUUUUGAAGAAAGUCGAUAAUGACGUAAGCGGUAUGGGAUUAUGGGACUUUCAUGUUAUGACGUGAAUCGUGUUACUUCAAACAUUGUGACGUUAGAUGUUUACUGAUUAUUCAAACCUCGUGCUUUUUGCUUCCUUAAUUCUUCUAAUUAAAUUUUUGCUUUUUUACUUUUGUAUUAGAGUAAAUUUCCACUUACACCCAAUUAAAACUCGUUAACUCAGCCACUGAUUCGAAUAAUUCCAUGUAACUACCUAAACCACUUUGUUAAAAGUAUUUUACGUAUGUCUUACAUUAAUCUUAUGGUCGAUCACAUCGUUUAUUAUGACAAAAAUUCAUAUUAAUUAUUACAGUAAUCCAAAAACGAUAAAUCUUAUUGAUCAUUCUGCUGCAGCUUCUAUUCAAAUAUAUUUUUUCCACAUGAAACAAUUUAAGGUAAUUAUAACUUCUUAUAAUGCCUAAAAAAAGGUUAAGAAAUUAGAAUAAGACGGAGAGGAAGAUGUCCAACAAGAACAACUUGGGGUCAACCAUUGAUGACUCUGGUUGAAUUAUCCUUUGACUUGACCAGCCGCUACGAAUUGACUCAACAAAUUGAAACAAACUAUUAAUAGGGGAUAUAUGUUAUACUCAUUCUCCGAUUUUAAUUCUAUCCUUACAAAUGAAUUUAUAAAAAAAAUUCAUGUUAUUCAUUUUUGAGUGAAAAAAUGAGUAUCUGAAAUACAAGAUUCCCCUUUUUAUAGCGUUUUCAUGGAUCCCCCUUUUUUCUUACUUCUAUUUUACAUCAAAAUUAGAUUAGUUAAUAAUAGUAGUACUAGUUUCUUUUGUUGAAAGGUAAAUGCUUGUGGUGGAGGAUGAUUCCUUUACCAAAAGGUUAUCUAAAGAUGUGGUAAAGAUUUGGACAAAAAAAGUCAGGGAUCAACAUUAGCUUGAACAACACUUUCUCCUAGAGUGAGUUUUGACAAUGAGGAGUAUAUAUUAAUGGGAGACUCUUUAGUGCAGUGGAAAUUGCGUUUUAAUUAUUAGUAGUUCCACUUCUUUUUACUAAUUGAUAGCAUAUUUGCAAAACUUUACUCACGCUCAUCGGAUCAAACUUUCGCCUCUCAUGGUUUGCAAAUAUAGUUACAACAAUCACCACUGCAUACAAUAUAAUAGGCUUUUUCGUAUUUAAAAAGAAGACAAAAACUGUAGUGUACAUAUUAUGGUAAAGCAUGUUUGUCAUAUAUGUAUCUUGACAUUUAUGCGUAUAUCGGUAUAUGCGAUUAUUGAUUGACACUGUACAUGAUCAUCCAAACAAUAUAUAUCGAAUUUAAUACAAUUCUAGAAAGGAAAAUAUGAAUAUCUAUUUUUGUAAUUAUAAAUAAAUUUGACCAAUUCAAACAACGUAUAAUUGUAAUUUCAGAACAUCAGCCCACUCAAAGAAUUUCAGAAAUUUCUGGUUGUAAAAAUUGUAGUGGGAAAAUAUCCAACAAAGUUUCAUAUGGUGGAAACUAACUCUUCCACAUAUGUUAAGAGUUUUUUUUUUUUGUUUUUUUGUUUUUGAUAAACCUAUCUGUUGAGCCGGUCAUGUUAAGAGUUAAAAGUAAUGUGACUAGAUAUUUUUUUAUCCAAAAUUAAUAUCGAACUUAGAAUAUUUGUGAACUGAAAGUCUGAAACUAUCCCGUAACUGUAGUCGCAAGUACUGAAAACAUGUGACAAUAAACGACUUAAUUACCUGUUUGAAGUGAGAAAGGAACUGACGGGUAUUAUUCGGUUUUUGAGUAGGUGGCUUUGUCAUUUGUCAAUUUCAGAGAAACUGCCAAAUAAGUAGAAAAAUGUAACAUUAUUCAUGUUUUUUUUUUUUUACUUUUUCUUUUGUUGAUUUCCCCAAGUUAAAAAAUUUCAAACGAAGCAAAACAAAUCCAACCUUUACGAGCACAAAGUCGGAGUUAAUUAUGCGUUUAACGUCAUGAUGGUUGAUAGAUGUUUCGUGGUGAGCGCGGUAUAUGCGAAGAAUAAUGAUGAUGAUACAAGAAGUUAAUGUUUACUUAACCUUUUACCAAAAAAAAGAAAAGAAAGAAGUUUUGUAACGUUGAAUCCUCGUCAGACACUUUGGAAGAGGAAAACACAAACAUCUAAACUUGGUGUGAAAGGUCAGUCCUCUCCCUGGCGUUUUCUUGUGCGUUCUAAUAAUAUGAAUGGUAAAAGCGUCAUACGUAUUGCGUCUACGACUCCACGUAUUGCGAUGCGAAAAGACUGAUUCUAAAAUCUCAAGCCCGAAAGACUUUUACCGGGUCGGAUCAUUGAUUGCAAAGGAUUUGUAAGUCAACAGACAUGACUUGACCAAAUCGGAUAAUUGAUUGGAUUAUAAAGGAUUAAUAAGACACACACGACACAAACUCUCUUUAUUAUAUAAAGAGCGCAAAAGGAGAAAUAGUAAAACCAAAUCCAUCCAUCUAUGGAGAAGAUGAUGGGAUUACGGGACAACAUAAGAGUAUCAGAAGAAGAUGAGAAGGAAGUGGUAAAGCUUCCAGGAUUCAGGUUUCAUCCCACGGACGAGGAGCUCGUAGGGUAUUAUCUUUCUAAGAAAGUACUCCUCAAGAAACCGAGCAAGAUCGAUGAAAUUGUCAGCCAAAUCGAUAUCUAUAAAUUCGAUCCCUGGGAUCUUCCAAGUAAGUUUUGUUUUACACCCUCUAGCUAAUUUCUUUUGUUUUCUUGCACCAGUACUAGUCCAGACCAUGCAAAUACAUAUCAUUAAUUAGGUCUUAUACGCUUACAAGGGAGAUUACAUGUAUGCAUGUUUGUGAACUGAUGAUAAAACGUAAUGUUUGUUUGAAGGGUCGAGCAACAUGGAGAAGGAAAACUACUUCUUUUGCAAGAGAGGAAGGAAAUACAGAAACAGCAUAAGGCCGAACCGGGUGACUGGUUCCGGUUUUUGGAAAGCCACGGGGAUAGACAAACCUGUCUAUUCCGAUGGACCUAGUAAAACUGUGAUCGGUCUUAAGAAGACACUCGUGUAUUACCUAGGAAGCGCCGGGAAAGGAACCAAGACAGAUUGGAUGAUGCACGAGUUUCGUCUCCCCACAGCCAAUGACACAAUCCCCGGUGGACCUACGCACUCUAACCCUACUCCAACUUCCUCACUACAAGCAGUAAGUUUGCAUACUCGAUCAUAUCAUGCAUAUAAACUUGAACGUUUUAAACGGCAAUCAUAUAUAUAUUACUACCUUUUUUUUCGAAAUUAAAGUUUUUGGAAGUGUGGUUGAUUCUCACUCUAGUAUAUAAAUCGCAGGAAGUGUGGACGUUAUGCCGGAUAUUCAAGAGAAAUGUGUCUAGUCAUAAAUACACUUCGGACUGGAGAGAAUUAGCAAAUGGUAAACGGGUGAAGCAGCAACAAUCUAAUUACAAAGAAGCAUACAUCAGUUUUGGUGACAAUGAAAGUAGUAGUAGUACCAACGUGACCAAAGGGAUCAGUUACGAGAGAAGUUUUUUCCAGCUUCACCAAACUCAUCAACAACAGGACCAGCCAAUUCCUAUGGACACCACACAGGUUGAUUCGCUUCACGAUUUCUCCACCGAUAUUAACACUGAUCACCAUGAAACCUACGACGACUGGGACGAGCUUCGAUCGGUUGUGGAAUUUGCUUUCCCACCUUCUUCUUUUAGUUAGAUCUUUAAACACACUAGUUAACUUACUCGCAUAUAUUAUGUUACUUGGACGUUUUGUAUUAUUAUAUAUUAUAAAUAUGGAUCUUUUGUCUGUAUAAUGAGUGCACCUGAUUACAUAUUAUUUGUAUAAUUCUCCUUUGUUUUAUGUCCUACAAUAUUUAUUUGCAUAGUUUAGUCUUGGUAUCUCAUUGUACAUGUGAUGCUGANNNNNNNNNNNNNNNNNNNNNNNNNNNNNNNNNNNNNNNNNNNNNNNNNNNNNNNNNNNNNNNNNNNNNNNNNNNNNNNNNNAAUGAAAUUAAUCAAAUUAUAAGGCUUAUGAUAAAAGUGGGAAACACUCGGAUAGAGCUUUUUUUUGAAAAACAAGCCCAUAUAAUAUUUGGGCUUAUUAGAUUAUUAGAGCCCAUAGGAAGUGUUACGGGAGUUUUAACACUCGGAUCCUUCAUUUGUUAUGGGAAUUAGUUAAAACAGCCUUACCUGUAAAGGAGUGAAAGAAUUUGGCUUUCUGUUUCCAUUAAGCUUCUUUCUUGCCUUUUUGUUUCUUUUUCCUAGAAUUUUUGUUCUUGUUUUUGUAGCAAUGAUGCAGUUCAAGUGACAGAUUUGAAUUACAGUUUACAACCAAUCAUUUUGGUAUGUUUAGUUUAGAAGAACAUAUUAUCUCCUCCUUAUUUGCUUCUUUGUAGAACAUUUUGUUUGUUGCUUUUUACUUAACUUGUUAAGUGUUAACUUACGAUGAUGAGGAAUCUUUCUAUGUUAUAGAUGGUUUAUAUAAUAUUCCAGGUCAUAUUCUGUGGACGAGCCUUCUUUUGGAGAAGAUGAAGAAAACAGCUAAUGAAAGCAAUAGAGAAGGGAGAAUUGUGUUACAAUACUUUGCAAGCAUAUGGUCAAUCAAAGCUCUGUAACAUUUUCUUUUUGAACAAUUAUGAGCGUCUUUUGACAAAUCUCUUCCCAUGUUUUUUUCUUCAGGACUUUGCUCUGAUACCGUUGUGUCUUGAACUCCAUCUUGCCAGUUAUUUGAUAUUUUGACUACUGAUUUCUCAAGACAAAUACCAAUGCUCUCAUGCCUACAACAACUCAGACAAUUCAGAUCUUUCAUUCUGCACAUGUUUUCACAAUUCUGACAUACAUGGUUAUGUUUUCAGCCCCUUUCACAUUAGAAUAUGAAUUUGUGAAAAAUCAGAAACUGUAAUGAUAUAUUAUGAUCACAUGCACCCGAAUCAAGAAGCCACUUAUCAUUUUUAUGAAAAUCUACGUUAAUAUCAAGCAAAGAGUGAUGACUUAUUAAAUCAUUCUCACAUGAAUAAACAGAAUGAAAGAAAAAACUUAACCUGCAGUUUGGUUGAAUCAAUAGAUGUCUCGUUAGGUCCUUAUAAGUAAUAAGAUCAAGUUUGGUUCAGUCAAGUUAGAAGAUUGUGGAACCUGGUUUGGUGUGUUUGUGUCUCACUGCUUGACUUAGUGCAUUUAACAGAAUCAUAAGGAUGAUUACAUAAUAUAUAUUGGGCUUACAGGUAUGGUGUUCCCCAACUCAUUUCCUUUUACGACCCAUUUACAAUGUUGUUGUACUGUCUUUUUAUUUCUUUGACCUCAAAGAUGUGUUCAUUCUUUGUCUUGGAUAAUCUGUGUCUAUAGACCAAAAACAUAUCAGCUUAACUAGAACAUAUCAUCGCCUCCACAUAGUGGAGAUAAAUAGUAGUGACAUGUGACUGUUUAAGUGUCAAGAACUAUGUGAGAAUACAUGUCACAAAGCUUAUAUCAUUGCCUAACGAAGUUAGAUCAGCACUAAUAUCCCACUCACUUGUUAAAAGCUAAUUUUUUCAAAAAAAUGUGAACAAAGAUACGAUUGAUUGGAUACUGCAGAUGAUAAAACUCUGUCACAAUCAUCCAACUUAGGCAUCUUGAUUUUGUAGGGACUCAAUCUUAAUGGUCCAUUGUUGUGGUGGAUGGGGUCCAUAAUUGCUUUCUUGAUUCAAUUAAGUAAUCGUGUUCCGUUGUUGUCUUGGCCUGCUGGACACUAAGGACACCAUUCAUCCAUCACUUCACAUCAUUCAUCUUCCUUACUGCAGUGCACCACUACAAUCAUCAAUACUAUUAUUACUUUGACAAACUCUUAUUGUAUCUUAAAUUGCAUAUAUCAUAAUCAUAAUCUAUGUAUAGUGAUCCUCAUUGUUCUCUUCUCAUAAACAAAUCAAAUAAUACUCCAUUCAAUGAGUUCUUAAUUACUAUCUUUUUAAUUAUAGAAGUGUCAUCUUCGACCUCAAGUCUGUCUUUUACUAUUUCUUCUCCUUUAACAAAAAAGUAGCCGACGCACAUCUUGUUUUUCCCCCACAUAUACCAUAUUCUCUAUCUAGUGCAUUGAUUCUUCUUCAUACCAUCAUUGCGUUGCUUUACUCUUGUUUUGAAAUUUAUAUUGCUUUACACUUGUUUUUGAAACUCAUAUGUCAUGAUAAUUGUUUGAAUUGAAGAGUCCAAUUAUAUCUAUAUCUAUCGACAUUGUAUUAUACUUUCCCACUUGCCCCCACUAAAGAACCAUACACGAUAUUAAUAGUUAGAUUUUGUUUAUUUUAUAUAUUUUAGUGGGUUGUUCCUAAUGUGGACAAUAACCAAACUAUUUCCUCACCUUUUUUCAUCCAUACGAAAGUACAGUCUUUUACUUGUAAAUGUUUCAUGUCUUGUUUCUUUUAUCCAAUAUAUCAAUGUCAUGUCUCAACCAUAUAUUGUUUUUUUUUUUCUCUGAUAGUAACAUAAAACUUCUAAUUACAUAUCUUAUCUAAACCACAUGCUCUUUUGAUAUUUUGUACCAUUUAGUGGGUGAGAAGAUGAUGAUAUUUGCAUUGGUACAAAUUUAAUCAGAAUAUAAAAGAUUAGGUCAAGUGGGCAAUAGUGGUAUAGGCUUACUCCUUUUACUUUAAAAACCCUUGAUAUCCUCUUCUCACCUCUCUCUAUCUUUGUGUUGUCCAUUUAGAUCUGUCACUAUAAUGUUUAAAAUUGUUACUAGUAUAUCAUGGAUCCAAGAUCUGACCAACAAGAUAUGUCAAGACAUUUUUAUAUUGUAGCUUUGGCAAAUUGAUACAAAUUAUCAUAUGAUCAAAUAGACUUAUGCAUAUGUGAUAUGUCUCACACCAUGAAACAAAGACUCAUGUCAAGCUUAUAUAGUGCAGAACUGAGGAUCAUUUGCCUAUCUUUUUUUUAAUCUUUCUACGAUUAUUCAGUCCAAAUUACUGUCUCACUUGGCCUAUAUAAAACCCUAAUAUAUAAGGUUAAUUGUUUAUACUCGUUCAUCUUCUGAUCCUUCAGUCCAAAAGUUUUCCUUCAAUCCAAUACUAUUAGUAGCUAUUGUUUUUGCGGAAUGUAAAAGCAAAAGCCAAUUAAUGAAGACAUUACUUCUAUUUUUUUUAAAAUUUUUUUUUUUUUUUGUCAUCGAAGACAUUACUUCUAUUUUAAGACUGUGUUUUGGGUUUUGACUUUUAAUAAACAUAAUGAUAUUAUAUGCAUACAACAAUACAGCACAAACAUGACACAAAUGCAACAAUUUUCAACCGAAAGAAAUAAUCAACAUUGUAAUCACAAUAAACUAAAUUUAUCGACUGCGUCAAUGACUAUGGUCUAUGGACGACUUUGAUAAAACCAAAAAAAAAAAAAAAAACCGAAAGUUGUGUUCAACUUUGGUAUGAAAAGAAAAGUAGAAUAUUUAAGUAAAAGAGUUGUGAGAAAGAAGAAAAGAUAAAGAAACAAGGCCAUCAAUGUCAUUGUUGUUCCAUGGUUGACAUGGUAUACCAUUCUUUAUCAUGAAUAAAUGAGGUCUCAACUAAAUUGUUUUGAAAAACAUAUAUAUAUAUAUAUCGAUUACUUUUAAUAUAGCAAUAUGAUAAGUAAUGAAGUAGGGACGUUGAUUUGUUAGAGGUUAGCUUAGACUAAAGAACAAAUAAAAACCGACCCACAAAACAAAUCAAUCAAUUUCGAAAUCAUGAUGACAUUAGUAAAUUUAUUUUCGUCUAGUGCCGUCUUUCCCUUGGAAAUUUCUUCUUUUCCCUAAGAUAACAAAACAUUAACAUACAAAUCAAGUUGUGGAAUAUUAUUACUAAUCUUUAUAUAAAAGAGGAAUCAUAUUCAUUUCAUCUUUAUAUACAUGGGAAAGCAUGUAUAUAAAAAGAUGACUUAGAUAGUUUCCAGUUCUUCAAAAAAUGAAUGAAUAAAAAACUUGUCAUCGUGACCCACUCGGAAAGGAAAUCUAACAAAUAAUUAUAUAUUAGUAAACUAUUCCUGUUUACUAUAAUGUGCCACUGUAUUGACUUUUCUGAAAGCUUAUUCGAGGGUAAAAGGAAAGAAAAACAAAAGUCAGAUUGUUCAAUGAGAUGGUGAAGAUGACUAGACAACAACAUAGGAAGGUGCAUGAGGUUAAUUAGCCAUUUCAUGACAAUGUAGCCCACUUUCUUAGAUUAUCACAUUAGAAUUAGAAUAUAUAUAUACAAGUUAAAAAAUAUAUACAUAGUGAGAUGGUUAGUCGUCGGUUCCAAAACCACAUCAUAUCCAUCCAGUCGGUCAAAUAAUUAAUAUUUUUGCGGGGAAUAUUAUUAUGAGCAAACAGCAUGACACCUGGAUGCUGCAUACGUACGUUUACGUUAUAAUGAUAAACUCGGCAUUGUUUGACAUGAAAAUUGAAGAUUAAACUAUUACGACGACUCUACUACUAUUUAUAACUGAGGGUUUAAGCAAAGACGAAAUAUAUAAGAUUUAGCAAAAAAGACGAAAUAUAUAUAACGUGUAAUGAAAGAUGGGUAGUUUUUUUUUGUUUGGAUACUCAUACUAGAAUGGAGAGGGGAAAGUUGAGGAAAGUUCCAAAGUGUGGAAUCAAAAAAUUCACGUGUUGGGGAAAUAUAUUUAAUUAUGCCAAUAUUGUUUUUUUAAGAAAAAAACCAAACGGUCCCCUCUCAGUGGGCCCAUUAACGGCCCAAGUAUUGUUUAAAAGAAGAAAUGAAAAUUGUGGGCCCGGCGGUGCGAUGUGGAUGUGCUCUUGUGUUUUUUGUUUAUGUUUUUUUUUUUCUUUUUAAAUGCCGAUUUUGGCUUUUUCUGUCUUUUUUUUUUUUUUUUGGUUGCUUGUGGGAGUCCACUUUAUAGAUUUGUUUCCCUAAGUUAAAAUAAAUUGGUUCUCUACCGACAAUGUUCUUUUCUCAUCCUUCCUUAGAUUACUGGUGUGUAGUUGCGUAGGUGUCGCCAUACAUGAUGAUACAUGAACUUAACUAAUUAGAAGAUAUGUGAUCUUUUCUCAUAUAUAUCUUAACAUGUGUUGUGUUGAGAGAGGCAAAGCUAAUAAUACAAGUCAUUCAUUAUUAGUAUUUUCAUUUUCCUUGUGUUGUGUUGUGGUUGUCGAUAAUGGAAAAGUCUAAGCUGUGUACCGGUAGUACAGCUGCUGAGAUUUUUAAAAUAAAGAGAAGGAGAUCAGAGGGAGUGUAAUAGUUUUGACGUGACUUGAUAAUCACAAAUGCAACGUUACGUCCGUAUAAGUUUAAUAGGGGGGCACAAAACUACAACACAAAAGUAGCGUGAAGAGACCGCAAUAAUAAUGUGAUUGCUGGCUUAUAGUAUAUGAUCCAACCCCCUCCGGGACCAUUCCACGAUAACUUCAGAGAGUCGUGCCUCUCAAUUUAUACAUAUGUAAGUAUAUACGACAUCAUCAAUGAUAAAGUGUUAUUUUAGCGGUGAAUUUCAUACGAUACUCUUUCUAUUGAAUGGAGUAUAAUUUUUUUGCAGAUUUUUUAAAUUAAAAAAAACUCUUGUAUCCAAAAAAGAUGUAAACAAAAAGGACAAACAUUUAAAAUCAUGAUAACUAAAGUAUCAAAAGAAAAAAAAAAGGUGGCUUGAAUGAGAACGUGAACCAACUGCAUUUCACAUGCUUCGAAAAAAUAUUAGAUAGAUGUAUUAAAAAAACCGUACCCUCUCUGAUUCCUCGAACCCUCCUCUCAUCACCAUAUAGCUAAUGCGUGAUUUAACCUUAAGUUAUACUACUAUUUCCAACGUAUUCAACCCUUCAACUUCUUCUUAAUCAUCUAUAAACCACUGGUUAAGUAAUAAUGAUGGUGACGUGGUUGAUUGCAACGAGACCAUUAUAAAAAUACAUGCAGCAUUGAAUUAGUUAAACAACAAAUAUUGACAUUCGCAUAUUAUAGAACGAGGACAAAUAAGAAGGGUAUUUUUAAUUAACUAGUACUAUAUAUUAGUAAUAGUAUUAUUAUGAUGUUUUAAUACGAAAAGAAGGUGGUGAUUGUGUUGGGUGGAAUGGAGGCAGUCAAAUACACUCAACUAGUUCUAACAAAAAAAAAUUCGCAUCUCUUUGAUAUGAAAGGGACAAGACGGAGGACGUGGUCUUCACGCGUCUCGAUUCUCUCAUUUCUUCCCUCUCCCCCUCACCUCACCUAAAGCCAAAUCUAUCAGCUCAUCAUCAUGCCCCUUUGUAUAUUUUUAACACGAUUCACAUCUGAACCCUUCUUCUUUUUUUUGGUUAAAGUUCCCAUUUAAACAAAACUAAAUUUCACAUCUAAAUCUUUUUAACCCUUAUCUUCUCUUUUUUUUUAAUUGUUUUUUCACCGACCUGCGAAAUGAAUAAACUACACAACAUCUUCUUGUGUUCCUUAACUCAAGUAUUUCGAAUAUUUGGGGUCCAAAAACAAAAUACAUAUGCGUUUAUAUUAUUCUUACAUCAACUAUUACUUUUGGUACUAUAUUAUUUUUUAAAUAAACCCUAAUUUCUUUUUGAUAAUAAUCGGGUAAAAAAAUAACCAUUUUGGGAAGUUAAGAAAAAGGCCGGAAGAAGUGGAACAGACAGAACACACACGAGACGAGAUUUUAUUUAUAGACUUGCGAGUUAACUACUCUAACACAACAAGGGUAAUUUUGGAAAUUUCACUUGUUGUCCAGCGAAAUUUGCGCGCGCUCUCCACGUCAGCUUUUUUUCCAUUCCAGCACCACCGUUAUACACGCGCCAAUACAAUUCUAACGGCUAGUCAAACCUUGUUCACUAUUCUAUCUUGCGCUUAAAAAUUUUCUUACAGGCUUGGCUAACUUGCACCGUCCCACUCCUUUACGUCUUUUUUUAUUUUCUUUUAGCAUCAGUUCUCUCUCGAGUCUCGGGUUUAGAGGAAAAGUUGAUUUGGCUUUUUUCGUUUUCAUUUUCUGCUUUUGGUUUAAUGGUCUGUCACGCAUAACCCUCCCACGAUUUCGACCACUUCACUUUUUAUUUUAUCUUUGGUAUCGAAUAUUAAAACAGAUUUCUAGAAAAAUACACACAAAUAUUAAUAAUCGAUUGGACAAAAGUGAACCAAAGCUUGUCAAAAGUGACGUUAUACCCCUACUACUACUACUACUAAUGUUAAAAGACUAGUAGUUGAACCACACUUACAAAAACCUUUCCACUUUUUUUGGUGAAAAUUUCAUACGAAAGAUGGGAAAUGACAUUGAAAGUGGGUGUAAACCUAACCCACGAUUCUUUUUUUUUUUAAAUAGCAACAGAUAGAGGUCCCUCCUCGUGAACCCCCUUACGAAAUUUAAAGAUCUGACACAUAUGUCAAAGAUUCGUGUUCCAUCAUCAUCAUCACUAUCCAGAGAUAAAAAUAUAUAUUUUAAAAAUGAACAGUUCUUUUAUCAACCAAAAAGAUGGAUAGAUUCUUUCUUUUUUCAACUAUUUACUUUUGUUUUUAAGGACAUUUACAACUUUACUAGGUGAUGAUAUUUGGGUUAGAUCCCGCUAAGAGGAAAGAUUAACAUGAAGACUAGCGUUCUUAGGAGAUUUACAGACUGGACAAGUGUUGAUUGAAGACCCGCACAUAGUGCAUAGACACAUGUGUCUGCACGGUAACAGUAACACACUUGCUUCUCCUUUUCCGCAGUUUCUACACAGAGUCGUCGCUUCCCUACGCAUCCUUUUCGUAUCCUGCGCCUCUCCCGCUAACUUCCACCUCUCUUCCUCGCUAUCACCCUCGUCGCUGCUCCCGCAACAAGACUGUGCGUCGUCAGCCACCGCGGGCGGCUCCUCCCACCUGUUACGCUCCACGGCGGCGAGAACUUGUUGCAAGUUUGAACGGAGUGCGUUUACGGUGGCUUCAUUAGACUGUGCCACGUCACGCCAUAUCUGAUUCUCAACGCACAAAGACUUGACCUUCUCUUCUAGAAAGAGGUUUAGCUUCCCGAUGUGAUUGAUCUCUUCGUCUUUGGCCCUCAGUGUCUUCAUCAACCCUUGUUCAACUGCUUCCACUAUCCUCCUCCCUUGCGUUUUUCUCUUCUCUUCAAUCUCAAUUCUCAUUCUCUCAACCUGAAGAUCAAAUCAUUGAAGAGACCGUUCAAUCGAUGUGAACCAGGAUAAAAAUCUAAAAAUUAAUACUUGUAAUAGAUCAGAUGAAAACUUACGUGAGUAGAGAUCAAACGGUCGAUAUCGAAGUGAUGUUGUUGGACGUUAGAAGACAAGUCUUGGCCAAGAAACAUGAGAGGAUCGGUGGUGCUUUUGAGGCUUUGCAUAUAAGCCGGAGUAUUCAAAACAACUGAUUCUUCUCUGGAACGUUUUCUCGACGACACAGGACGGAGGAAAUCGACGUUGUUAGCAUUAUUCUCGCUGUUGAAUGUGACCGAACUGUCAACGGAUUGUAUCGUCGGUUUCAUGGAUUGAUGAACCAAACCAUCAACAGGUGCGAUGUUGUAUAAAGGAGGAUUAAACAGAGAAGUUUGACAUUCCACGGCGGGGCUAAACGUCGGAACAGUGCCGUAUCUCAUCUGGGUGUUAUAAACUAAGCCGUCUGCUUCAAUAGGGUGGAUCAUUUCUCUGUUAAAAAUAAAAAAUCAAGAGCAACGUUACAAUAUUGAAAAAAACAGAGGAAACAGAGGAAGAGAAAAGGAGAAGAAGAAGAAGAAUUUGUUUACCUGUUGGAAGAAAACAGAGUGUUCAGAUGGUGAGCUUCAACGGCCAUCGAUGUUUGUUGACUAUAGUGAAAACUUGUUCAAAAGAUGUUUGAUGGGGUGAUUCAGAGAACCUCAAGAAACGUGAAUGCAACGAAAGAAUGGAAGUAGAAGUUGUUUUGAGAGAGAGAUGGGGAAGAAGUAAAAAAGAAACAAAUAUCAAAGCAGAACCACAACACACUCUUGUCUGCCAAUUUAUAGAGAACAGAGAAGGAAGAUGUGAUGUUUUUAAUAUAUUUUUAAAAUUUUGCAUUUGGUUGUUUUCUAGUGUAGCAUUUGUUUAAUAGUAUAAAUAAAGAAAACAUUAAGCAUGAGGAUUCUUCGGUUAUCCUCCGGCUGACCAGUGACCAUUAAAGUAGUUGCCUUUUUCAGCGUUUCUUCAUGAGUAAAUAACAAUAAUAAAUUGAAAACUUUGACAAGGACAGCUGUAAAAUCUUUUGUUCAGAGUUACGGUCAAAUUCAUGAUAUCUGCUCUUUCUUUUUUUUACUUUCUCUGGUUGUUUCUUUUAUUUUUACUCUUGUUAAAAGAAGUUCUGAUUUCUCUUUUCUUUCGCCUAACUCAUCUCUCGUCUUUAAUAUCACUGGUCAAACCUGACAAUUUAAUAAUAGUAGGAUCUAUUGGUAACAAAUAUGUUCGGUGUAAGUAAAGUAACUUACACAGUGUAAGAUUCAUUGUAUACAUACAUGAAAAUGAAAUGCAUUUACGACGAAUGUGUGUAUAUAUGUUUAUAUAAACGCCAAAAAAUAAAUAAUAGAGGUGGCUCAUGUGAUAUACUCGUAUCAAGAGUCCUCUCAGUCUUGUAACUAUCUAAAAUUAUUUAAUAAAUAAAAAAAGAAACCGAUCGAAAUGAUCAUAGUUCAAGAACCACUGUUUAUUCAAAGACAUGUCAUUGUUUAUCUAAUUUUAACAUCAUCCUCUGUAGUGAAUUUGGGGAAUUACUCUGUACCAUUAAUUGCUUUGCAUGCAUGAAUGUUGAAAACUGAAGAGGCUCAGAAAUUUUCUGAAACAAAAUAAUGUGAGGAGUGGCUUAUCCGUUUUUGGAGAGAGAGAGAGAGGACAAAAUCCCGUUAGAUUCCAACGGAGGGGAGAGGGGGUGGCGAAUCCGUAAAAAAAGAGCCACACCACAUAAGACGGCCACUGACAGCGCCACGUGGCAAUACAGACAAAACAUAAAGAAGUGGGACAUAUGGUCCACGUGUGAUUGAGUUGCCGGGAUACGAGGGUCGCAUGGGCACGUGUGUACUGCCAGCUUGGCACUAUCCGAAUAAUUCGAAUUAUAAAAUAAAAAAAAAUUGCAGCCGUUGAGAAAGGUACGGUGUACCCACCGCUGCUGCUUCUUUACCUUUUUUUCUAAUUUUGUUUUGCCUUUUUCAGUUUUGAUUUAUUAAUAAUUAUUAAUGAUGUUUUGUCUGUUACUUUCAAUGGUUCUCUUUGCCACGUCUGUUUGGAAACUAACCUCCUGCCACGUGUCCCACAAACCUUUCCUCUUUCUUUUACUUAUGACUUCAAUUGCCCACAUUAAUUCAAUAUUUGAUGGCUAACGUUUUUAAUUUAUUUUGUGUUUAAACUUCUUUUGUCAAUGUUUCUGAAUCAGAAGGAAGUGUUUGCGUUGUCCUUCCAAUACUUCGUCUAGGUGGGGAAUUGAAUGGGGUUUCCGUUUGGUUUGUUUUUCCAUUCAAGAAUCGGAUUAGGUUAUAAAGAUGUUAUUUUCUAGUUUUAUGUUAAGUUUUGGUUAUCUAAGUCUAAGUAUAUCUUGUAAUUGAUAUCAUAAUAAUACAUACUGUAGACUUUGGUAUAAUAUUGCAUGCUGGCUUGCACCCUAUGUAGAAGCUAUAUAUAUCUUUUCUUUAUCACCAUUAUUGUUUUUCAGUUGUGAUUUAUGUUACAAGAUCAACGCAUCAUGUUAACACACAAAAAUUUAAGCUAAUUACACACAUAUUUUAACUUUGAUUUUUCAUAAUUUUUUAGUAUGAGAGACUUACAGCUUUUUGCCUUUGCUAAUCUAUGAUGCAUGUGUACACCUUGUUUCUUUGACGAUUCAAAUACUAAUCAAAACUAUAUAAUGUCGAAUUAUAUACACUUUUAAAGUUAAAUAAUGAUAAUUAGUCGGGGCACUAUCAUCAUGUUUCGUAUAAAUAAAAAGCCACCGGCAGAUAAAUUAAGUUAUCUUGGAAAUAGUAAAGCACGAAGAGAGGGAGGGGCAUAGAAUCACGAGGUUAGCAUAGCAAGCGCAUUAAGAUUGGCAUGUCUUCUUUUUGCAUCAUCUUCUGCUUUUCAGACAUUAUCUCUUUACCAUUAUACUAUUAAUACAUUUUUUUAGUCGUAUCAGGCAUUUUCUUAUUACUAUUUCGUUCGAUCUGACAUCGUACAACUAUUAUUUUUAUUUUUAUUUUAUUUUCGCUGACAACUCAAAAUAUAAAAUAAGAUAUAUACAAGUUGCCUAAUAGCAAAAGUCGAGGCUCAUUCCAAAAGCUAUUACUAUUAUUAAUGUCCGUGGGAUUAAUUAAAACCAUAAAAAUUUGCAUAACCAACGGAAAACAAAAGAUCAUUUGAAUGAGUCCUCACGUCUAAACUACUAAAUUUUUUAACAACUUUAUGAACUUUGGGGCAACAGAAGUGGUCUAAUGCAAUCCACAUGCUCAUCCUCUCAUUCUUUUAGCUAGUUUAGAUUAAGGUUCAAGUUGGUGACACAAAACAAAACAAAACAAAAUGAUUAAGGUUCAAGUUUCUUUCUUCUGUUUAACCCUGAAUGUAUGAAACCUAGAGUGACAAUGGUAUUCAUGAAAGGAAUGAAACUUAAGAAAAUAACAUCCAUUCCAGGGUCUUUUCUUGAAUAAAUAUAACUUUGUUUUUUUUUUCUUCAAUAUGUACUUCCGUGCAUAUUUCAACGUAUGGUUUGAUUUCUGUAACUUUAACAGGUAAGUGUGCAGUGAGGAAAUCAUGAAAGAAAAUAUCAAAUAGUACUAAAAAGAAUUGAUUUUGGUUUUGCAACAAGUAAAGAAUAUAAAUGUAUACUCCAUGUAGGUGACGGUUUUGGCGUGCCUGCUUUUGAGGGCAAAGGCAUGACCUCCAUUGAGUUUGAUGAUAAAAGUAAGUUUCUUCUCUUUUCUUUUUUCUUUCUUUAGUUGAAAUUAAACAAAAAAGUCGUUGAUCUAUUAUUUUCUGCACAUCAUCUCAACCGCUCACCAUAAUGAGAGAAUCUCAAUGUCACACAAACACAUAAUCGUAUUCGUACCCUUUCCUAGCUAGUUUUGUAUACAUAACAAACACUUUAUUAUUAUUCUUUUUUUUCUCUCUCGAGGGAAUCUCGUUUUUAUCAUCCCUAGCAAUAUUUAUAAUAUAUAGUGUUUGUAAGGUCCUCCUCUACCAUACAUAUUCUCGAUAUAGACGUCAUAUAUGCCAUACAUAGAGGUGUGUUAAAUUAGAGAAUAUGGACAUUUCUUGCAUAUAUAUAAAUGUAUGGAAAUAUGGCAUCAUUGGCAUGUAUAUAGAUAUCGAUAUACGUAAAAUACGUGAAAGCAAUGCAUCGGAAAAGUUGGUUGAGCAAAGAAUUGGAUACGGCUCGAGAUGGCAUCACAUGUAUUGGAAUAAGUGGAGCAAUGUGUCAUUAUNNNNNNNNNNNNNNNNNNNNNNNNNNNNNNNNNNNNNNNNNNNNNNNNNNNNNNNNNNNNNNNNNNNNNNNNNNNNNNNNNNNNNNNNNNNNNNNNNNNNNNNNNNNNNNNNNNNNNNNNNNNNNNNNNNNNNNNNNNNNNNNNNNNNNNNNNNNNNNNNNNNNNNNNNNNNNNNNNNNNNNNNNNNNNNNNNNNNNNNNNNNNNNNNNNNNNNNNNNNNNNNNNNNNNNNNNNNNNNNNNNNNNNNNNNNNNNNNNNNNNNNNNNNNNNNNNNNNNNNNNNNNNNNNNNNNNNNNNNNNNNNNNNNNNNNNNNNNNNNNNNNNNNNNNNNNNNNNNNNNNNNNNNNNNNNNNNNNNNNNNNNNNNNNNNNNNNNNNNNNNNNNNNNNNNNNNNNNNNNNNNNNNNNNNNNNNNNNNNNNNNNNNNNNNNNNNNNNNNNNNNNNNNNNNNNNNNNNNNNNNNNNNNNNNNNNNNNNNNNNNNNNNNNNNNNNNNNNNNNNNNNNNNNNNNNNNNNNNNNNNNNNNNNNNNNNNNNNNNNNNNNNNNNNNNNNNNNNNNNNNNNNNNNNNNNNNNNNNNNNNNNNNNNNNNNNNNNNNNNUUUUUUGACCGUUGCACUUGAUUUCAUGCAACCCAUGUGGACCCAACCUAAUCUAUCUGAUAAAGUUGAUAAUUGAGUAGAGAGAGAGCUGCAGCAAAAACUUCAUGAAUAUUUUCAAGUCUCUUUACACGUUACGUGGAUCCAAGGCAAUUUGUGGAUCGAGACGGGGGCCGUAAUAAUCGAGGACGCAUAUGUAUAUUGUAACAAUUUAUAACGUAUAAAACAAAACAAAAAGAAAGCACAGCUCUCUAUUAUGUGUGGUUUACUCACUCAGCCUUUCACCUAAUCCUUCUGACCCAUCCCCACGUUAACGUUGCUCCAUUUUGGAAUCAGAUGCCACAACUAAUUAAUCAACCUCUCUUUCCAUGUUUGACAUGAUGAAUCAUGUUAUAUAAUAUCCCCUGUCGUCGAUAGCUACAAAUUGACUAAGUUGUCAUAUAUAUUUAUAUUAAUUAACUAUAUAUAGUGGUGUUAAUUAGCUGCCAAGAUUGAUUAGCAUAUAUAUGUAUGGGUUGAAAAUAUUAAAGUUUUUUUUUGGGUGAAGAAGAUAAGGGAAUCACCUCACCCUCCCACCCACUACGCAUAUAAACAGAAAACAAGUGAAAAAUCUCGAUAGGGUCUUUUCUCUUUUUUUUUUUUCUCAUUUAAAAACUAUUGAUGAUAUUGGAUUAUAAUAUUAAAAAUUUUGAAAUAGAAAAUGUGAGACCAAGAGAAGACGUGAAUUCACUGUCAACUUUUUUAAGAGAAUGCAUGAACAUGUAUGUGUACAUAGAACAAAUAAAACAAAGGGUCGGCAAACAAAUGAAUGGUUCUUCCCACUCGGCCAAUUCCAAUACACCACAUCUCUCUGUGGGUUUAUGUCAAUAUCUUUCAAAAAUCAUGUGUGUUUAGUAAUUGAGGAGAAUAUGUGAUAUAUAUGUAUAAACAAAAACAAAAUUGUCAGAAUUUGUAAUGAACAGAAACAAAUAAAUGGUGGUACCUCCUCAUACAAGAGAAAAGAAAAGGGUAAGAAGAGAUAUUAAUAAUAAAAAUGUUUGACAGGGAAGGUAGAGAGAUAGGUGUGUGUGAGGUUGUAUUAUUAUUAGCAGUGUCCCUCUCUUGCUCUAUAAUUUACACAAACUUGUCCAAUUCAUCACACUUCCCCAACCAAACUUGUUUGCUUCAUAUAAUUCAUUUUAUAAAAAUAUGUAUGCAUUGCAGGCAGAGACAUGUGUGUGUCUGUCUCUAGGCUUAAGUAGCUGCUACCCUCUUUUUCAUAAAUUAUAUCGAUUGAUUCCGUGGGAUAUGAUAUGAUAUGACCUAUGUAAGACUGUGACAUUUGUGUUUUUUUGGCCCUCUGUGUUAUGUACUCAUCAUGGAAUGCGACAUUUUUUUUUAUAUAUGUAUAUGAUUAAUAAUGAUCAAUGCCAAUUUGGGAACUCUAGUAAGUAUGCUUUUAGUGGUCCACCCCCAUUUCUAGUCUUAUCUUUUCGACCAUUUCAUAUCUCAUUUAUUCCUUUCUCAACAAUCCAAAGUUAGCUUUGAUUUUUUCAAUUUCUAUAUAGAACAUUCGGCUUAUGGAAAUAAUUAGAAGUUGACUACUACAUGUUUGUUAUCUGAUAUAUUUCGGCCCAUUAGGCAUUUUCUUUAUUUAUUCGUCGACACUUAGAGGCCCGAGAAUUAAUAUAUUAUUAAGCCCAUGACAAACGUUUUUUUUAAAGUUGGGAUUACGGGUUAGUGCUAGAAACCUUAUAUAUUUUCUGGUUCUGAUUACAACUUUGUGUUUGGUUGAUUUCUCCAAGCUUUGAGCCUCAGAUAAGCCCACCCUACCAGUAGCCUUGUAUACACUACUUAUUGAUUGGUUUAAUUUCUUUGCACUAUAAAAACAUUUACUGUAACGCAAGAAAACAAAUCUUUCGAGUAUAAAUAAUAGAGUGAAGAAAUGAUAAAGAUAAAAGCUUAGUGAUAAGCUCGUUAUCGAAUUACGUUUGUUUUGACGAAAUUUUCCAAUGUUAGAACAUGGAAGUAAUUAAUAUAUAAAAACUUUAUACUCGUACAGACCACUACGUUAUGUGUGACACGAAACAUAAACGUAUUAAUAGUCAUCGGAUUUAAAUAAACACACUUUGGUAGGACGUCUUGUCCUUCACCAACAGAAGUCAUUAACCUUCGCUUGUCGGUAAACUUUACAUUUCAGGGGAAAAGACAAAGAUUUAAAGUUAUAAUUCGAAAUUUCGAACAACGAGAAACUUGUAAUUAUAUUUAUAUAAAAAAAAAAAACAAGAACAAGACAAACCUCCUAAUCAAGGGGAGAGAUAGAGAUGGGCAAAGUCAUCUAGAGACUCCAAUAUGUGACUCUGGUCUCCGUUUUCGAGCAACCACAGAAGAUGGUCGAACAAAACGACCUCACAUUUCACCGUGAUUAUACAACUUCCAUCCUCUUUAUCGUCUCCUUCGUAUCUCUGUUGCUUCUCUACGAGAGCGUUGAGCAGGGGAUGCUUCAGGUGUUUCUUACUGAUCAAGUAAGGUUUCUUCGAACGUCCAACCAACACUGUCUGGUACAAAAACGGUGUAUGGCCUUGGUCGACGUCAUGGAGAUGCUCUUGGCUAUCUCUCCUGGCCGAUUGGGAUCUGAGACUUGUGUAAGAAUAUGAACGACCCAAUUGUGUGGACACGCUCUUGCAUCUCCUGAGCAUCAUCAUUAACCUCAUCUUCUUCAUCAUUGAUCCAAAUCUACUGGCCCUCUAUCUCUCUUUUAUUUUGCUGUUUUAAGAAGACACUUGAAACAUACUCAGAAAGUGAGAAUAGUGUUUAUAUUUAAAGAGGAGCGACAAGGUAAGGUGCUACGUCUCUCGAUUCUUAAACAAUUUAAUUUAUAUAAUCAAGGUUAGCAACUAAUUUUUCUCCACUUUAAGUCUCAUAAGCUUCAAGAUUACUUUUCAAUCAGGUACAUUCCCCAAAUAUUAUCUUUAUGAUUUGUGUGUACGUUUUUUUUCAUCUUAUCUACCAAAGUACAUACUUACAUACUAAGAAAAUGCAUGUGUUGGCAUUGCAAUUCAAAGAGAACGUGUCAAGAAAAGAGAAACGAAGAAGAAGAUAUGAAGCCAGCACGAAAGUCCCGAAACGGACACGUCGAACCUGUCUCCCUUUAAAUACGACGGCUCAUGCCCACUCGUGAUCCCCUUAAAACCUAAAAAUGGCAAAGAACAAGGACGACAUAGAGUAUGCAACGGCUCAAGCCAAGCUUUCGGAAGAUGAACCAAUCCGUGUAAGCUACAAACACGGGACACCAUUAGAGGGAGGCAAGAUUGCAGAGUCCGAGCCUGUGGAGCUGUUCUCGAGUGCUCAGAGGAUCGAACAGGGAAAAGAUCAGUCAGUCUCUGGCGGUCAAACACAGAUGCAACGUGACGUUAAAGAUCUCCGCGGAACACGUACAGAUGAUAGUCCUCGUUAAAGCUACAGUUUGGUGGGUUUGCUUUGUUCUCUAUGUGUACGAGUGUAGACAACUGUUGCUGUCUUAAUAAAACGGACUGGAGCAUGUUUAUAAGAGCAAUCGAUAACUUCAAUCUCUAUUCUCAAAUAAACACAUCAUAUAUGUAAACCGUUUCCUCAGAAACAAAAUCUCAGUUUAGCCAUCACUGCAUCUAGUAUAUAAAGGAAUGAACCAAAAUAUGAAUAGAGUGUGACUGGGAUUGUUCAACAAAAGCUUAAUGCAAAAAUCACAAAAGGUUCAAAACUGAUGCUGUUUUAAAGUCGAGAAACUAGAAAGAUAUUACACAACAGAGAUAGUCUUCGAACUACUUAGAUCGCUGUCUCAUCUUUCGGCGCUUCCUCUUUAGUCUCCUCAUACGCUUCUUCUUCCACUGUCCAAAACAAAUGUUCAAUCACAACAAUAACAUUAAUACAAUAUAUUAACCAGAGGCAAUAACCAUAUCAAGACUAAGAAUUUUAAUGGUCAAAAAGCUUCUACAAACUUGUAAUGAACGAUACAUAAUCUUAUGGAAAAAAACAAAAAGUCAUCACUUAUCUAAGUAGAUCGCAUUGAAAUCGAUAAGCAAAGCAAAGGCUAGAGAUUACCAAUUACAUCAAACCUAGUUCUAACAAGCGUAUACUCAGUAACCAAUCUAAUAACGUUGCAACGCUAGAUUUGCUCUAUAUAUGUAAAAGUAUCAAAUUCCAUAAGAGACUAAAAAAAUUGACAAUGAAAUCUCUAGAGCAGCAAAUAAAUAAGAACAAUCUGCACAUCCAAGAAUCUAUGAAACAAUCAUUGGCAAAUUAGAGGAAAUGAUCAUAUACCUUGGCUCUCAUCUUGCAAUCGUCGUUUCGCUCGCCGUCCACUCCACUUUAGGGAGGAAGAAGAGUCUUUAAAAUAUAUAGCUAGGGUUUUGCUUACCUCACAAAAAAAAAACUGAAAAGGCCGUGAUAUUGUAAAUGGGCCCUAAAAACUUAAGGCCCAUGUAACGACGAGAUGAUUAGAUUAAAUUAGUAAGAGAAAUGAGAGAGAGAGAGAACAAAGAAGAAGAAAGUACAUAGAUGUAGUACAGCGAGAUAGAUUGUGAGAAGAAGACAAGACAAAACAAAAGUGCUGUUUUCUUCUUCUUCUUCUUACCCAUCAACACAUACUUCCAAUUUUGACUUUAACAGUGAUAUAACUCAUAUAUGUCCUCAUCAUUAUUGCCAUUGCAAUCACAUCUAUGAUAUUUUUGUAUGUUUGCUGCGUUCUGAGCUCUUUAAUUUAUUAUAUAUAUACUACUGUAAACAGUGAUAUUAAAUACAUAUGUCGCAUUUGGUUCACUGUAAAGAACAGCUAAGAACCCAUCUCAAGCUGCCCUCUCUUUUCUUUCUGCAGCCAAUAUGUAUGUCCCCUUGUUUCAUUCACAUUUCACCACCCUUCCCUAAAUGCCAAUACAAGAGAGAGGAGAGAGAUGUUCCAUAUAUAUACUUACUAUAUUAUAUGGUUGGUCAGAGACGAGAGAGGGAGCUAGGGACUUACCACCAACCUGAUUUAUUGCAAUGGUAUUAUUACCAUUUUAUGCAUUAGAGAUAUAGCAUCCUAGCUGUUGAUCUUUUAUCACACUCACACUAUCUAUACUAUAACAAUUGUUGCCAGUUUAGGAUAAGGACGUGCAUUGUAUAUCAAUUUAUAAUAAAGUUUUUUACAUGUACAUAUUCCAUAUAGAGAACGAAUUAAACCACUUAACCACACAUGCAACUAACUAUGCAAACAAAUCCGAGAGUUUAGCUAGGUUUCACGACGGGACAUGUUAAUAUAUGAAAGUCUAGUAGCUAGAAACAACAAGACGUACGUGGCUUACCUAAGGUUUUAUAGGGUUUUUAAUACUAUUAGAUUUUUGUCUAUGGGUGGUAUUAAUAAGUCUUUGUCGUCCUAGGAAAAGUGAAAACUAGGACAUGUUAAUGUCCAUUUGACGUACUAAAAAAAAUCGGGUUAUCUAUUUCUUCUAACUAAUUCCUCCUCUCUUGUCGGCCUUUCCUGUUUAGGCCACUUGUCGUGGCUCGUUAUCACGGUAUAAACAAUAUAUAUAUAUAUAUUAGAUGUGGAAACAAAUAAAGUAUAUAUAUAUGGAGAAAAGAAAGAGGCAAAGAGACAUAUAAAUUUAAAAAGCAUCAUGCAUGAGAAUCAAAUAAGAGAGAUAGAGAAUCUAUCAGAGGGCGCAAGACUGGGAAGCAUCACGUUCUCUUCUUCAUUUUCCCCACCUCUUCUCUUCUUACUCUUUAACUUUUCUAUCCGUUUUUUUUUAUUAUUAUUUACUUUUGUUUAUUUGGUAAAUAUAUAUAUAUAUAUAUAUGUAGACAAAAUAUUCCAAAUACUUCUGUUACAAUUAUUUUAAAGUUGUAUUUACAUCAUUUAUAGAUUGAAAAGAAGAAGAAGAAAAAAAAACACAUAAAAGGACGAUUCAUUCGUUCAGUUUUUUUAUGUUUAGGAGUUUACCAACUUCUCUAAAUUCAUAGAUUUUAUGUAAAAUUAAACUGUCCAUAUCAUGAGUCUUAAGUAAAACUAAAACUUCUAUAGAAGAAUCCAGUGUUACUAUUUAACGAGUUGAAGUAUAAAAUAUCUUAGCCACUUCAAUUAUUUUACACCAUUUGGAUUGAAGGCGACUCGUGAGAGGAAACAUCCCUUGAAGUUGGUGAGUAAAAAUUGUAGUAUAAUGUGUGGCUGAAAAGCUUUAAUAUUUAUAUAUGUGAUUGAAAAAACAAAAAAUGUAGUAAUCAGUGAGUGUUAAACACUGUUUUUUACGCUCCAAAAUCCAAAAAUAAUUGGCAAGAGGACGAUGGGUCCCUAUUCAAGACCGGUCAAAAGACCAUCGCAGAUUUUUGUUUUCAGAGUCUGUUUUGUUUUUAUGGCGUAUAUAUUGAAAAUGAUAUUUCAAAAACAUCAAAUUGCAUGCUUAUACAGAUUAACUCUUAAUGUAACCCCCCCUUUACGUUCAUAAAUUAAAUGAAUGUUUGAUUUUGCGAAAUGAAGGAAACUAUAUAUUAUAUAUCUUCUUAGGGUUCUCAUUUUACCCAAAUGCUACUUCUUAGUUCAAGACCAAGAGUAACUUUCUAAAGACAUAUCUACAUAUUAGCUAGGUAAUUAAUAACCACUAGACUUGUUAUAUAUGGUUAGUUUGUCACUUGUCAGCAACUAAUAACAACAUUUGACAUAAAUUUAUAGGAGUAAUUAUCUUUUGAAUCACUUCAAAACAUUAGUUUCAAAUGGAUCAAACAAAUACAGACUAAUCCUAUUGCGAAUUGUAAUAAUUUCAUUAUUCAUAGAAACUAUUCUACAGUUAUGCCAUCAGUUUUGUCUAUGAACCAAUUAAGAACUAUUGAAAAAUGGUCUACAACUGAAUUAUUAUUUGUCCCACGAGUAAAGUAGUCUAAUUCACAAACAAUUUUUUGAACACUAGUUUGAUAUUUAUAUUGAUAAAGAAAAAUGUUUACAUAGUCUUGAAAUAAACAAGUAUUUGGGAAAUAACUUGUUAUCCAUGAAUAUUAGCUUAGCCAAAAUGUCUGCAACUUAAUCCGCUUUUAUACGUGCAACGAAUGAAAAACAAAUGAUAAACACUUAAACAUAAGCUCGUAGCCUUCUUCUUCUUGUAUGUGUGAUGUGUGUGCUUGUAUACUUAAACACAAGCUUAUGUACUUGUAUAUAUAAUUGUGGUCACUACAUUGAGGUGAGGACGGACGAAGGAAGGAAGCAUCCAACGGAUGGGAUUGAAAACACAGUGUUCGAGAACGACCAGCAACUUUUAUUUGUGAUGUAGCUGCUCUUUCUCAUUUAUUUUGUAAUGUACGUAAAUUUUUUUGAAAAGCUAAAUUAUUGGAGCCAACUUCAAUUUUUUUACUCGAAACAUUUUUACUGACAUCUUUCUUCACGCUUUGACACAUUUCACCAUUUUACCCGUCAGUUUUAUGGUUCCUUUUUUUUAAUGUCCCUCAGUUAUAAAAACAAAUCCCUAAUACUAUUAUUCAAUCAAAGCUUCAAGUAAUUAUACACGGUUUAUGAAUACUACUAUUAUAUACGCCGGAGAUCGACAAGUAGCAAUACUUGAUCUGAGCAAACAUGGUAACAAAGCUGUCUCUGAAUCCUUAAACAAUAUAUUAUUACACAAGAAUAAGUUGUUGAGACUAGACUUAAAAUAACGAUGAACUAACUAAAGGCGAUACGGAGAGGAUUUGCGUUUUGGAUUUGUCUCUCUAAUAUAACAUGCAGGAUCAUUAUUAAAGUGAUUAAUAAAAAGGAGGAGAACAAAAGCUGUCGCUCCCUAAAGUGUAAAUACAAAUUUCAUGAUAAAGUACACACAGACUGACUGUGCCAAUGUGUCAAAAAAACUAGUUUAUAUUAUCUAAGCAUGUGGUUAAUAUCUUCGGAAUCCAUCUCUGAACAUGGGAAGCACUUCCUCUCGCUACAGUAAUUAAUGACUACUGACUUGGGCUGUAUCGAACAACCCGCUCGCUCUCUACGUACAAUAACCUCAACGGAAAAAAAAAUACAAUACAACUCUCAAAAUACUUAAACCUUAAUUACAUUCUGAACCCAAAUUCUAAUCUCAUCUAACGAAACAGCCCCAAUUAUAAACUAAAAGCGAAUGUUUUAACCCCCUAAAAUACAAUUUAGAAUCCGGUUCGGUUCUUUAGAGUUCACUGGUCGGUUCAAGUCUGGUUCGAUUUGUACGGUUCUUUGUGUUGUUGCUCUGCAGCUGAGCUCUGUUUCCGGACGACGAAGACGAUGAAGAAGAAGCGAAAAGUUGCCCGAAGAAGAGACCUGAUUUGGGUCCGCUACGGAGAGAAGAGACAGGAACAUUGAGGACAGGAGUGAUUCUUACAUUAGCGGAGUGAGAUCUCGGCAUUCCAUGGUGGAGCUUCAUUCUUGGUCCUCCGGUGAAGUUACCGGGACUGCUUGAGCUUCUCUCCAGUCCAUGAAACACGAUCUUCCCUGAUGCAUUCAGUCUUGGACUAUCAGCCGUCACCGUCAUUCCCCUUGACUCGACACUACUCUCUGUCGAUUCAUCAGCCGGCGUGUGACGUCUUGGCUUCCUCGGAUGGUUCAGGUUGCGUAAGUGGUGGUGGUGGUUGGCACGUGGCCGAGCGAAGGGGUUUGGUGUUCCGGGUUUGUUGUCAAGAUCUAGAGAUAGUCUUGGAAGGUCCUCGAGCUCGUGACCGGAGGACGAAGAAGACGAGAGCGAGAGGCGCGACGAGGAGAUCGACGUUGACGAAGACUCCAUGACGUCUGAGUCUUUUCCCGGCGGCGGAGGAGACGGUGGUUGAGCGGUGGAUUUGGAACCCCGGUUGAGAAAAUGUCUAAACGAUGCCGUUUUCGGGUUUGGAGAAGAAGAUGACAAACGCGACGAAGCUGAAGCUGACGCUUCUUCUUGUGUUUUAGCGAGUCUCUUAAGACCUAAAAGCUCACGCCAUCUCACGGUGCAACGAGGAGCUCUCGGAGAGAAGAGGUAAGGAUCGGCGACGCCGGAGAUCUCCAUCUCUAUUCUUCGGCAUGGUUUAACCGUUGUGUUAACCUCCGACGUUAUAGGCUUCUCCUCCGAAUUAGUCACGCCGGAAAACUUAAGCGGGACUAGCUUUCCGUCGGAGAAAAGCUCGUCGGCGGACAGCAUUGUGACGGGAUCUUCGAGAAGAAACUCAAAGUCGUCGGCAAGAUCUUCCGACGGUUGAGAUUCACGGGUCAAUGACAUUUUGGAGCUCGUCCAAGAGUGACUCGCCGAGGUACCAACAUUUUUAACGCAACCCGACGCCANNNNNNNNNNNNNNNNNNNNNNNNNNNNNNNNNNNNNNNNNNNNNNNNNNNNNNNNNNNNNNNNNNNNNNNNNNNNNNNNNNNNNNNNNNNNNNNNNNNNNNNNNNNNNNNNNNNNNNNNNNNNNNNNNNNNNNNNNNNNNNNNUAGAUUCUCACAUCCAAACACAGACACGUGUUCUUUUUUAACUUGAUUCACUCGCUUUUGGGUAAAGAUGCGGGUCGGGCCGGGUCUGAAAGUAAUAACCAAUUUGGUUAGAUAUUUAUUUUAUCCUCUGUUACGAGAAACAAUAUAAAUUGAAUGUUAUAGAUAUUUUGCAAAUAUAUUGACCUCUUUUAUUUAUAAGAUGAAAAUAUAGGGAAUGGUUCGAUUGUAUUCAGAAUUUUACUCUAAUGAGAAAUAUAUCUUACCUGCUGGAGUCCAUUUGUAUAUGGUCAGAUUCAAAUACCACGUACCAAUAAAUCAAGUCCGAUCAUUCAUAAGUACAAGGAAUUUUUAUGAUAUUUUUGACACACCUAAUCUAUUUUAUGUUUUUGAUCGGUACAUGUUAGUCUUAACAUGUAUUCUAACAUGCAUUCUCGUAUAUUGUAUGUAAUUAGCAAUGUGCCCUUUUUGCAUGGUUUGGGACUUGCAAAGUCUUUGUUUUUGUCAAACUUAAGACUCGUGCAUGUGUUCUAUAUGGUUUUUGAGAUUAAUAUUUUGCUGGGAAAUAUUUAUAUUACAUGCCCAAGCAAAUAUACUUUUCCGUGUAUAUAUAAUAUUAGAGCAUUUUAAAUGGAUCGACUGUUGUACCACACAUCCACACCCACAUUCUCCAAAGAUUUAUGUUACAUCCAAUCCAGUAGAAUAGACAAAUUUCUCUCAAAGUACAAUAAUAUUACACGAAAACGAGAAUGGAGUUUUAUUUUAUUUUUGUCUUCGUCGAAAGUAGCAUUAAAAAGUAUGCAUUGAAAUUUAGGCAAGUCAAAGAUAUUAAUUUGGUUUGUCUCCCAUAAUUAAGCUGGUACGAUACGAUCAUUCCAUAGAUUUACCGAUUCACCUUUAACUUCAAAUGACAGCACCAGAUAAAACUUAAUGUCAUGGCCCAUAACGAAACGUGACUUGAGUGUUAAAACCAUAAAUGGUCCGACUCGUUAUUACUUCUGUACUUUUGCUUCUUCAGACUUUUUUUUACUGUUUUUGUGGCGACACAAAUUAUUUCGUACAUCAUUUACAUAUUCAAUGCUCAUAACAAAAACAGCUUGAUUUCAUUGAUGAAUUAAAAGAAAAAAGAAAAAAAACAGCUACAUUGUGGAAUUAAUAUCAACCUGUUAAAUAUAUACUGCUUCUCUUUUAUUUUCACAAAGGCAGAAAAAAUUUAUCGAUUUAUUACAUAUACUGAGCAUUAAAAAUGGCCUAGAACUUUUGUUUUUAGGAUAACUUUAAAAAUUUGAUGGGUAAUGAAAUUUUAAUCUUAGAAAUUAAUCAAACUGAAAGCUACAUAUACUUUUAUUUUGGCAUUUAAUAUAAAAUAGUGGUUAGUUACAUGGAGGAUUACAGAUUGUAAUAUUGAAGUUGACUUUAUGGGUUGCUAAUUAUUUAUACCACUGUUCCUCUUUCCUCUUCUGAUCCUCAAUAUAUAUACUCCUGAAUCCCUGAUAUAUCCUCUCAAUCUCUCUCGCGCUCUCUAUCCCCUCUUUAUUAACGUAUCAUCAUAAUCAUCAUCAGAUGAUAUAUAAACACUAGUUAACUAAAAUCUUCAUGAUAUUAAUAGAAAUGGAGAAUAAAGAAGAGAAGAAGGGCUUUAUAAGUAUGGUUGAGGCCAACCUACCUCCUGGGUUUAGAUUUCAUCCCAGAGACGACGAGCUCGUCUGCGACUACUUAUUGAGAAGAACCUCUCGCAACCUUUAUCAACCUGUUGUCUUGAUCGAAGUCGAUCUUAACAAGUGCGACCCCUGGGAUAUUCCUCGUAAGUAACUUUUUAUGGUUUCUGAUCUUUAUAUCUCGUUUACUCAUCACCGAUUCAUUUAACUGAUCCAAAACGUUAUAUUUGUAUAUACCAUUCGAUUGUUUCUUAUACUAUAUACUAUUAUCGAGUACAAGAUGAUCAUCACUUGUUGAUAGAAACAAUUAAACGUUCUGCUUGUGAGCCACCUGCAAAUUAGUAUAUUUAUAUUUCUUCUUAAGGAAUUUCUCGUGAAAAUAAUAUUUAACAGUGCAAUUUAUUUAUACCAGUUUACAUAGUAAAAAAAAAAAAAAACCAAUCAUCCUAAUCCUACAGACGUGUUGGAUGCAUAUUGGAUGCUUUGGUAAUUAGGAAAUAGGAACCUAGUGGCCGUUUUAAGAUAUGAUGCGGAUAGAAAUCAUUUGGAUAUUAUUGAAUACAUGUCAUCAAGAUAAAGACAAUUCUGAAAAGAGAAUUCCCUUUAUAUCUUAUCAUUAUAAGUUUCCUAAUAUAUAUCGGAGGAAACAUUCAACGCCUGACUUCUUAUCAAUGUUUUAAGUUCGAUGGUACAUUUAAAAAAGGAUAAUUUUCAGAAACGGCGAGAGUGGGAGGAAAAGAAUAGUAUUUUUACAGUCAAAAAGAUCGGAAAUAUGCAACAAGGCAAAGAACAAACCGGGCUACGGUCAUCGGUUAUUGAAAAGCCACCGGAAAAGAUAGAGUAAUCCAAAGAAAUGGUAGGCUCGUUGGUAUGAGAAAAACACUUGUGUUUUACCGUGGUCGUGCCCCUAAAGGUCGUAAAACCGAUUGGGUCAUGCACGAGUUUCAUCUCCAAGGUUUACUUCUUCACCACCCUCGUAAUUAUCUCAAGGUAAUUCUUCUCUCCUUUUUACUCUGUUUCUUGUUCCACAAUAAAUUACGUUUUAGGAUUUACCGUAACUUUAAUGAACUUAAUAAUAUAUACUUUUAUCCUACUUACUUAACAAUAUAUAUAUAGUUGGAAUUCGAAAAGUCAAUUUGAUUAUAAGAGACAUAUAAGAGAACGAAUUUUGUGAAACAAUCAAUAUGAAAUAAAGGUUCUUCUGACGGUUUCACUAUUUGUGGCUGAUCUAAGAUGAUCUUUGACUUGGCACACAUAUAUGCUCUUAACCAUAAUUUUGACAAAUUUGCUUUCUUGGAAAAUGUUAACAGGAAGAAUGGGUAUUGUGUAGAGUUUUCCACAAGAAUAACAACAUAGCUGAUAGAGACGACAACACAAGCGGUUCUGAUGAAACAACUACCACAUUGAUGGAAUCUAAUUACAUCAACUUUGAUUAUGACAACAUCAUCAAACAGCAUGUAUCAUGCUUCUCCAAUUUAUCACAUAACCAAAUCAACGGCAACCAAUCUAGUUUAGUCUCCAAGAACUCCAACUCGUUGUAUAAUGCUUCCUCUGAUCAAAUGGUUCUCCGAACUUUGCUAAAUCAGUUCACCAAAAAUGUCGAGAAAUCGCAGAGUUACAGAGAAGGAAGCUCAUCAGAGAGCCAGUUGAGGACAUUGGCAUUCCAAGCCACACAUAGAAUUACUGAUUAUGGUUAAGUGUUACCGUAGCAUCUCGAUCACUAUGUAGAAGAAUCAUAUUCAUGGUUGGAAACAUUUAUUCACCCCUCUUAUGUAAACUUUUAUACCAUAAUGGAUCACUCGACACUCAUAUAACACACACGUAUAUAAAACAUAUAUAUAUAUAUAUAUAUAUAUAUAUAUAUUUGUUUUAACUUAAUGUAACUUUAAACACUUACAAAAAAAGAAAAAUAAUAAAAUCGUACGUUACAAUGAUAUUUAAUAACACUUUACGUUAUGUACUUAUGUAUAUUAAUGAAAAGUUAAUAAGAUCUAUUAUAUUGAUCGCGUUUACUGUUUGGGCUAUGCAACAUCGUCCCGUUACGGAGGUCCAAAAACAGCAAGUCAAAUCAAAUAACCCACCGAAAAUUACGAAAUUAGUCAUAUCAUUAUCGGGUGAAAAAAAGGGAACAAAUCUGAGGUAGAUUUAUACUUUAAAUAUGAUUUUGACUUUUGUGGAUGAGAGAGAAAACAAAAAAAAUAUUCAAAGGCUUCGGUCUGAAUAAUUUUUCCGAUUGGGUAAAAAAAAAGUAAGAAGAUCCGGGUGUUGAUGUGUUCUGUCCGUUGGAUUUAAUAAUAUACCUUAUUAACCUGUUGAUUUUUUUUUGUUUUGUUUUCCAUAAAUCAUGAUUAUACCUACACUACAAUAAGUUAGUUGGUGGUAAAAAGGAAAAGGAAAAAUCGGCGUUUAUGCACCAAAAAGGGAUAUUUUGUGGUAAGCCGGUCAUAAUCCAAAGCCCACCGACCUUUCCCCUUCCUCCGUCGUCGUUCUUCUUUUGUCUUUCGCCGUUUGUUUCCUUAUUCGGCAUCCAGUUUUUUUGUCCCCAUCCUCUUCCUCCGUCGUCUUAUUGCGAAUUGCCUUUUUCUCUAUUGGAAUUGCUGAUUUCCCCCAAGUAUUGCAGGUUUAGGGUUUUUUUUUCUUUUAUGGUAUUGUUCCAUUCAUUAAUUCAACUGGUUUCGAUCUUGAGCUAGGGUUGGUGUUGAAAUUACAUAAUUUCCCCAAAAUUCGAUUUAGUUGGAUGUCAAUGGGAUGAAUUUUUCUAUCUGUAUGUAACUUGGUGUAAUUCACGAGCUAGGGUGGUGUGCGUUUCCUUCUGUAUUUUUGGUUACUGUAUCCUCUAACUCAAUUUUGUUUUUUUAAUAAUAAUUGUAGACUGUGUUAGCUUAUCGUAGUGGUGAUGAUCGUGUGUCUUUGUUGGCGGGGCUUUUAGCUCCACAUUCUUCUGUUGCAAGUGUUUUUGAGUCAUAUUGAGAAUGGCUCAGGGGCAGAAUAGGAAUGUUCUUCAGCCUGGACAGAUUCAGAAUCCUGCUUCCAGUGUUUCUUCUCAGCAUAAUGCCUCUUCUCGUGAUACUCUCGGAGUACGGCAGGAUAUGCUCAAUAGAAUGUAAGAAUGUUUCUCUCUUGCAUUUUUACUUCCUUUUGCUGUCUGCUUUCGUGUAUUGUGUUUGCUGUCUAUUCCAUUGUAUAUCUUGUUGUUCUCUAGUGCACAUAUGAUAUUACUAGUCGUUUAUGAAGUUAAUUUCCUUCUCUCCUUUAUCAACUUUUGGAUUGGGGUUUGGUUUUGUAACUAGUCCUAUGGUCUUAAACCUUAAGGGAACUCGUGCAUUCACUAUACUCUUUAUUUAUUUGAUUGUUGAGUUGAUCUUAUGUUUUCGUAAAAUUUAUGUGCAUGGAGAACGCUCUUAUUUAUUUGAUUGUUACCCAUUAUUUCUCAUUCUCCCCAGCUACGCUUGGUUACAGCAGAGGCAGCCUUCAAAGACUGAUGAGGCCUCCAAGGCAAAGUUGUUUGAGGUUGCCAGACGGUUAGAGAAUGCAAUGUUGAAAAUGGCUAAGUCAAAGGUUCCCCCACUUUUGAUCUUCUCAUUUCCACAGUUUGUUAAAUGUUUUCUAGCUAGUCGCAAAUUAUACUUACAAACAGAAUCACUUAGAUGUUUUAGUGUUGCACAGCUGGUCAUUGUUCUUGAUGAUAAUUUCUUUUUGCAGGAGGAUUACUUAGAUUUCAGAAGUUUUGAGGCUCGCAUAGAGUCCACUCUGAAACAACUGUUUAGUCAGCGCCAUGCUAAUCCUUCAAGCUCGGUCAGUACGAUGGUUCAGACACCUGGGGUUUCGCAUGGAUGGGGUCAAAGUUAUACAGCUACCCCUAUGGUGGAUAUAAGCACAGUCAAUAGCAGUAAUAACAUACCGGAUGCAACAUUUGAAACUGGAAGGCUAUUGCCAACUAAUCGCAUGAACCGAGGUAAUAUCAGUCAGAGAUGAUGAUAAGUUCUCCGUAUGCCUGUAAGGUUUGACCCAACAAAGAGCCUGUCCUGAUUCAAUCUUCAUACACUUUUUUUCGACAGGUUCAGUAAAUAAUGGUCGCCAGCAAUUAUCUGCAGUUGGCCAGAUGAUUCCUACUCCUGGAUUUGACAAUAGUGCUAGUACUGAUGUAUAUCACUCUCAUCGAAAUGACGAAUACGCUAGAGAUCCAUCUCAGCUUCUUACUGCUGGGUCGGACUUUGGAAAUCCAUCCCAGCUUCAGAGGCUACGUCCUACUGCUUCAAAUGACCAUAUGCGUUACAACCUUGAUCACCAAUUGGGAGGUGCUUUCAGGUCAAAUCUUCAUCAGAAUACAUCUGGGAUGACCAAUAUUCCUCUAAAUGCUGGUGUAGGGAUAAGUGGGAACAAUGUACACCUUGCUACUGGGCCCAGGACUUCUGAAGUCCUCAGUUCUGCACAGUUUUCAACUUUAUCCCAACCCUUUCAGCAGCCUGUCGAUCAGUUGCAGGUGUCACAUGCGAACAGUAAAUCUCUCUAAUUUUCCUUUUAUCUUAUGCUAUUUAAAUUUCAAUGCUCUCUUGAUUGGCUCCCUUAGCCUUACCUUUCUGGCGAGUAUGUAACUCAUGGUGGUAUGCUAAUUGGAAGUUGCUUUCAUCAUGUGAAGGAUACUCAAUGAGCAACUCUAAUACUUUUGGGUCUGGGGAUCUCUAUGGAGCUCUAACAUCAUCUGGCUCAAUGGGAACUGCUGUGGAUAUGAAUUCAAUGAGCCUGAAUCCUAUGCGGAGAGUUGAUGCUUCUUUUGGUAGUAAUCAGUCAAGCCUGCAAGCAGUGGAUAACAAUCCGUUGCUAAAAUCUCAACUACGUCCUCAGUUCGAGAAUGGGAAUUUCCAAUCUUCUUCCAAUUCCAAAGAAACUUUGGCUCAGGUGAGUCAUCGACCAUUAGAACAUCGUUUCAACCAACAAGUUCAUCAUGGUCAAUACCAUCAACAAGAGCACUUACUGAACAAUGACACGUAUCGUCAAUCUCAGCUAGAUUCAAAUUUAGUUAGUAAAGUUAAGCAUGAACCACGCGUGGAAUACUACAGUGAAGCUUUUCAGAUGCAGGCUAUAAACAAAGUAGAACAAUCCAAGUCGCAAAACCAGUACAAGCAGAAUGCUGUCAAAGACGAGUAUGGUGGUGCCCAGAGUACACCAGUUUGUAGUAGCCAGCUAAAGAUUUCUCCAUCAUUUCCACCACGAAGUCAACAGACGCAGCAUCUAUCACAAAGGAAAGAUUUGAGUAACUUCUCAGCUGGAGUGCAGCCAGUAUCAGGUCUGGGUCAGUGGCAUUCAUCUUCGCAGAACUUAACACAAGUAUCAAAAAAUUCUAAUGAAGAGAGAGAACGUUUUGGGGUAAGAUUUUCUAUGCAUCAUGAAGGAACUAAUAAUAGUUUAUCUGUUAGAGAGUCUACAAAUUGCCAAAUUGUUGCUCCUGAAGGCACCUUGGAGGCUCCACAUCUCUCAGAAGGAAGCAACGCCUUGAGUAAACAGCUGAAUGGAGAUUGUGGUCUAAGUUACAAUAAUCAGAGGCGGUGGCUUUUGUUCCUGCUACAUGUACGUAAAUGCAAUGCUGUGGAAGAUAACUGUGAAAGCAAGUAUUGUUUUUCUACGAAAACUCUAUUGAAACAUAUCAAUUCCUGCAAGGCCCCUGCUUGCGCAUAUCACUAUUGUCUUCAAACCCGGAAAUUGAUUCAUCAUUACAAGCACUGUGGGAAUGAAGCAUGCCCAGUCUGUGUUUUUGUCAAAAGCUUCAAGGAGAAACAAAAAGAAAAACGUACCUCCUUCCAAAGAGCUGAGCUAGGCUCAGCUAGUUUAAACCAUGGACCCAUAGAAUCCUUUGAGCCUAUGCGAACUUCUAAUGAAAGUGGCUUUAAAGAUCCGUUUGUUGUUGAUGAUCUGCAACCUUCUCCGAAGCGCCUGAAAGUAGAGAAACACUCUCAAUUUGCAAAUCCUGGCACACAGAGCAUCCCAACGACAAUUUCACCUGGUGGAACUGAAGCUUAUUUUUCAAUGGGUCUGCAAGAGAAAGAUAGGCUACAAAGUGAUGUCUGCAAAACGGUCAAAACAUAUGUGCCUAUGAAUGCAGAUAGUUCCGAUUCUACAAGGAGGCGUGUUCCUGUUUCUCAUGAGUUGGAGAAGCCUGUUGGUAAAGAUACUCCUAUGGGAAGACAUGGUGGUGGAGAAUCUGCAGUAGAUGGUAAAAAUGUUGGUUUAUCAGAGCAAGAAAAACCAAAGUGUUCAAACGAAAUAAGCGCACCCAAAGAAGAGAAAGCGGAGCAGUCUGUGGGCGUUGUAUCUGCAUCUAAUAACGGAAAGUCAAAGAUCAAAGGAGUCUCACUGAUUGAGCUGUUCACUCCAGAGCAAGUAGAGGAGCAUAUCCGUGGUCUUCGUCAGUGGGUAGGCCAGGUAAGCUAAAGAAAAUUUAGAUGCAAAUCUUGUUUGAUAUGAAAGAUUGAGUUUGACUAAGAAAGAUUUUCAAUUUACAUUUACUUUUUUAGGUCUCUUUGGUGUUGUCUGAAUAUUUCUACCUUUUUGUGCAUAGCUUUUCGUUUAUAAAAGACUUAGAGUUGCAUAUGGCUGGUAAUAGUGGAUAAUGCUAGUUAUUCUUUCUUCGUAUUUUAUUUCAGAGUAAAACCAAGGCAGAAAAAAAUAAAGCAAUGGGACUCUCCAUGUCUGAGAACUCUUGCCAGUUAUGUGCUGUUGAGAGGCUUGCAUUUGAGCCAACACCUAUUUACUGUACACCUUGUGGUGCACGUGUCAAGAGAAAUGCUAUGCACUAUACGGUUAUGUCUGGUGAGUCACGGCAUUAUGUCUGCAUUCCUUGUUACAACGAAGCGCGUGCAAACACUGUUUCUGUUGAUGGAACUUCUGUGCCGAAGUCAAGGUUUGAGAAGAAGAAAAAUGAUGAAGAGGUUGAAGAAUCGGUACGCCUCUUCAGUUACUGAAGUUCUGCAAUUGCUUUAUAGAAUUCCCUAUUUUAUACUUAGCUGCUCUACUCUUUUUGAACCAUUGAUUCUGUGCAGUGGGUGCAGUGUGAUAAAUGUCAAGCAUGGCAGCAUCAAAUUUGUGCUUUGUUCAACGGCCGUAGGAAUCAUGGGCAAGCAGAGUACACCUGCCCUAAUUGCUAUAUACAAGAAGUGGAACGAGGAGAAAGGAAACCAGUAUCACAAAGUGUUAUUCUGGGGGCAAAAAGUUUGCCAGCCAGUGCUCUUAGCAACCAUUUAGAACAGCGGUUGUUCAAGAAAUUAAAGCAGGAAAGACAGGAGAGGGCUAGACUUCAAGGAAAAAGCUACGAUGAGGUGAUUAUUAAAUUUCGAUAAAUCUUGGGUUAUUUUCCACUGCAUAUCUCUAUCGUGACUGCUGCCGGGUUUAACCCCACAUUUAAUUAUAUCAUGUUGAUUUUUUUGAAAGACAUAUCAAGUUGUGCUUACACACAGGAGACACGAAAUCAGCUAGUUUAUGCCGUCUAUUGUUUGAAAAUUCACCUAUAUGGUUAAAGCCUAUUUUCUUAAACUGCUCUUUCCUAUAACAAAGCUAAGUAAGAUACCAAUCAAAUUUCCUUCUUUGUUGAUAUAUCAGGUUCCGGGAGCCGACUCACUUGUUAUCAGAGUUGUGACAUCUGUCGACAAAAUACUUGAAGUAAAGCCACGUUUCCUUGACAUUUUCCGUGAAGAUAAUUACUCAUCAGAAUUCCCUUAUAAGUCUAAGGUACAGACUACAUAUGCUUGGUUCUUAUUUGUUUUAUGUUUUCUAAUUAUGCUCUCCUUCUACUACAUAAGGUCUGCUAACUAUCAACUUCCGUACUAUUCAGGCCGUUCUGUUGUUUCAGAAGAUUGAAGGUGUUGAAGUAUGCUUAUUUGGCAUGUAUGUCCAGGAAUUUGGAACUGAUUCUGCGUCUCCCAAUCAGCGGCGGGUAUACCUUUCCUAUCUGGACUCAGUUAAGUACUUUAGACCUGACGUUAAAACAGUGUCUGGAGAAGCCCUCCGUACGUUCGUAUACCAUGAAAUUCUGGUGAGCUGCUUUUCUUCUGACAGUUGCUUACAGGCACCUGUGUUGCUGCACAAGUCUAAUCAGCAAUGGCCCUUUUGGAUUGCAGAUUGGUUACCUUGAUUACUGUAAGAAACGUGGGUUUUCAAGCUGCUAUAUAUGGGCAUGCCCCCCACUUAAGGGUGAAGAUUAUAUUCUAUAUUGCCAUCCUGAAAUUCAGAAAACGCCAAAGACUGACAAACUUAGGGAAUGGUAUGCAGUAUAUAUUUUAUUGUGAUACUUGUUUUUCACGUGGAAGAGAGAAAAUUACAUCAUUAUAUGAUGCAUAAUACUCCUUCCUUAACAGGUAUUUAGCAAUGCUAAAGAAAGCUUCCAAGGAGAAAGUGGUGGUUGAGUGUACAAACUUCUAUGACCAUUUUUUCGUUCAGUCUGGUGAAUGUAGAGCUAAGGUAACAGCAGCACGGUUGCCAUAUUUUGAUGGCGACUACUGGCCAGGUGCCGCUGAGGAUUUAAUAGAUCAAAUGAGCCAAGAAGAGGAUGGCAAAAAGUCCAAUAGAAAAUUAAUGCCCAAAAAGGUCAUAUCCAAAAGGGCUUUAAAAGCAGUAGGUCAGUUGGACCUUUCUGUUAAUGCCUCGAAGGAUCUCCUGCUGAUGCAUAAAGUAACUUUUUAUACUCAUUGUGUUUUUCUGUUCAUUCCUUUGUUAAAGAAAGAGAAUAUCUCACUCGCCUGUAACUUUUCAUUGUUUUCUUUCUCUGUAGCUGGGUGAGAUCAUCCUCCCAAUGAAGGAAGAUUUCAUCAUGGUUCAUUUGCAACAUUGUUGCAAGCAUUGUUGCACUCUCAUGGUGUCUGGAAAUCGUUGGGUGUGCAACCAGUGUAAGAAUUUUCAGAUUUGUGACAAGUAAGUUUUACUUAUUGGCUCGCUUUGUUUAUUUGUUGCUUGAUAGUUUAAUUAAAUCAACUAUAUUGGGGUGCAAUAUAAAUUCAAAAUCUCCAAAAUAAUGAUGAAAUAGCCAGGAAAAAUGAUUUUUCUUCGCUGAACUAAAAAGCAAACUCUAGUACAUGUGCUGGAGGGGAGUCUUGUUUUAUAAUGGGAGCCAAUGUUAGCUUUAAUGCACUUGGCGUUUUCUGAGUUUGUUAGGUUAGAUCUGAUAGGCGUGCCUGGGAGGUGUAUAUAUUGUUUGGCUGCAUCUCACUAGCUUUCUUUUACCACAGGUGCCAUGAAGUGGAAGAGAACCGUGUGGACAAGGAGAAACAUCCCGCCAAUCAGAAGGAGAAGCAUGCACUCUUUCCUGUAAGUUUCUACGGCGGAAGAGCUCUAAGAAUCUUGUUGUUUGUCCUUUUUGGGAAAAUGACAAGGUUUUGGUCUCUGCAGGUUGGCAUUGAUGACGUUCCUACUGAAAUUAAGGAUAACGAUGACAUCCUCGAGAGCGAGUUCUUUGAUACUAGGCAAGCUUUUCUGAGUCUUUGCCAAGGUAAUCACUAUCAGUAUGACACACUUAGGCGGGCAAAACACUCUUCUAUGAUGAUUCUCUAUCAUCUUCACAAUCCAACCGUCCCUGCAUUUGCAACGGCAUGUGCCAUCUGCCAGCAAGAACUUGAAACUGCUCAAGGUUGGCGUUGCGUAGUUUGCCCUGACUAUGAUGUUUGUAAUGCUUGCUACUCAAAAGGCAUCAACCAUCCACAUAGCCUCAUUAGCCGUCCAUCUGCCACAGAUUCUGUUGUACAGAACACACAAACUAAUCAAAUUCAGUCUGCCCAGGUAUUACUUCUCUUUCAAUCUUUUAGAUUUAGUCACAUAAUUGAUUGUCCAUAUGCGUAUUCUUGUUCAUUAUUAUUUACUAAUCAAGCUGAAAUAAAUAGAUAGGCUCAGCUCCUCGUUAGGAUUUAUUAAAAUUCCUUUUGGAUAUGGUGUAGCUAGCUAAGGGACGGUUAACAUAUGUUUAGAAAAUCGUUUGCAUCCCUUGGUUUCUCUUUUCCUUAUUGCUAAAUACGGUUUGCCUUAUUGGUACUGCAGUUGAGAGAGCUGUUGCUACACGUGGUUGCAUGCUGCACUGUCCAGUGCCAGUAUCCAAGGUGUCGCCAUAUUAGGCGUCUCGUCAAGCACGGUAUUAUAUGCAAGAUCAGAGGUUGCGGCCUCUGUAAGAAAAUGUGGGCCCUCUUCAGAUUGCAUGCCCGAAACUGCAGAGAUCCCGAAUGCAAAGUCCCCAAAUGCAGGUACGUAAAUCUAAACUACUUUGAAAGCAGAUUGUCCUUGAUUAGUAGAUGUUUUGUCAAGAAGUUGAUUUGUGUACUAAUGAUCUGACACGUGUUUUGCAGAGACUUGAGAGCUCAUUAUAGUAGAAAGCAGCAACAGGCAGAUACAAGACGCAGAGCAGCGGUGAUGGAGAUGGUGCGGCAGAGAGCUGCUGAUGCAACAGCUUCCACUCCUGACUGAUGAACAGAUAGAUACUUGUUAUCUCUCUGUCAAUGGGGUCAAUGGGUUCGUGCCAGAAGUAAGGAUGCAAAUGGCAGGCGAAUCAAGAAAGAAUGAAAUAUUUUUGGUUGAUUAAUUUGGAGAUUCGAGAAGCCAGUUUAGGAGAGCUCAUGAGAAAAUGAGCAGAUGCUCUUCCACAAACUGCUAAUGUAGGUUCCAUGAGGAGGUACAUAAAUAUUUUUUCUUACAUUGUAUUCUAUAGGGUAUAGACAUGUGACUCUAUUUUUGGUGAUUCUUUUAACUGAAUCCAUUUGAAUUCGACUACUGAUAUAGAUCUCUUAACUCAGUCGUUGAUCCAGUCGUCUUGUAUAUGUAGUAUUUUUGGCAAAGCUAAUAAAUUCCAGAUUUUAAUUAUAUACUACAAACAAGCAGUGCGAGUUUUCAAUUUGAUAUUCAACUAAGGUUAUAUAUCCCAUGCAUGAGGUCCAUUAACCAUAGAAGCAGCUCGGAAUCAACAAAAAAUACACUGCAAACUAAAAAAAAACCAGAAUUAAUUUAAUGAUUCGGUAUAUCAUGUACUUUCUUUGUGAUUCAUACAAGAACACACAGAAUUCAGAAGAACUGGAUCUGACAGUUUAGCGAAACUCUGGGAAGCUUCUUAAGAGCAUUGACGAUUCUCAGGUACCUUUUAGCAUCCUUGUCUUGAUCCACUGCAACACCCAACCUUGACAGUUUCAAGACAUUUCAAAUUUCCCAAGAAAUGACUCAUCUGUUUGAGCUCUCCUCUAGCACCAUGAUACCCUGAAAUGUUUAGCAAUUUCACUUGACAUGUCGAUAAACAGCAUACCCGCUCCUCCUUCUUCUUCUUCCUCUGAUUCUUCUUAGCCCUCUUAGGGAUGCAAGCGCAGGCGUCCCCGCAUUUAUAUGUAACUUCGUGCACAAGACCCUGAAAGCAGUAGGAGAUUCAUGUACAAUAUCAAAGCAAAGGUAACUUUAGCAAAGAAACAGAAGUGUGUGUUGAUUGAACGAAACUGAUGAUACCUCGAUGACUAAAGUUCCUAGAUUUGGAGAAUUGUUGAGGAGAAGUGGCACCACUUGCCAGCCUCUUAAGGAGGUUGUGAAACACCGGCAUUGAUUGACAGCACAAGUAAAAUACCUGGAUUUAUUAUUGGCCUAACCAAGAAAAACAUGAGAGAGUUUGCUACCUAGCUAGCGUGCACUUCAGAUUGAAUCAACCAAAAGAAGGAGAAGUAGCAGAAACAGACCUCAAGAGAAUCAGCAGACAAGUGAAGGGCUUUAACAUUGCUUAUCCCUGUAACCAGACCCGUAACAUCACCAAAAACAUCCUCUUUUUCACCAUCUUCAAAACUCUCAUCACCAUCUGAAAGAUUAUGCUCCCAUGAUUGAAUAUGGAGUCUAGCUUCUACAAGGGAACUCAAAUCAACCUUAUAAUCAAAUCAACCCAGUAAGGUUUCAUUACCCAGAGCGUUUUCCUUUUGGAUCGAUUUCUUUUGAUUUAAGGAUUUGAUUUUGUUGUUCUUUGUUUUCAUGGUGUAGGUUGAAGCAUACAACCGUGAGAGUAGCUCCCAGAAGGUGAAGCGUCAUCAUACUUUGGCUAAGUCCGAAGUUUCUGGACCUACUGUUGUUGUGUAGGAAGAGACAAAAACAAAAGAAGUCCUUAGGUUAGGAAAGAGGUUCAGAGAUAUCUCGAGACCAUUUCAAAAUACCAAGGAGCUGAUUGGUUGUGGCUGACGUUUUGUCAAUUGUAACUUCAAAAUUUUGGCGGUAAAGAUUUUAGUUGUAGAUUUCUGAUCAGCAACACUAAAUAGAAACGUUGAUAUGAUCAAAAAUAAUGUAUGUUGAGACUUCUCACACUUACUGUGUGGUCCGGAUUCAUAAACAAUGUUAUUAAAUGUCUUGGAAGCCGUUAGAUAAGAAGGUAUGUUGGGUAAUGAUCAUGAUCAUGAACAGCUACCUCCCGCUGUUCAUUCUUAUGAAAUCUGUUAAAGCUUUUUACAUAUGACAGUAUUUAAAAUGUUAUUACAACAAGAUGUUGUCGGGGAGAAACAGGUAUCUGAAACGAGAAUCGAAGGGGAGUAUUCCGCAGUUACGUGAGGCGAGAAGGCUUUGUCUUCUCUGAGAGAUGCAUUGCUCCACAAAAGCCGCUUGAUGCGGAGGAAGGUACCUCGAUAUCCAGACCCCCAAGUUCGAAUCCUCCACCAAACUCUUGGCGUAACAAUGGAGCAUUUUGGGUACUAAGAGUUUCCCUUUGCUACUCAGUCCUACUGAUGCUUGUAUGAAGUCCCUUUGAGCUUCUAGUAGCUCUUCCUUCACUCCAUUCGCUGUGUAGAUCCUCACCUGCAACAAGAGAUAAAAGUCUCCAAUCUUUAGACUUCACAUUACACAGUUUACGUCAAAAAGGUGCCAUAUAGUUAGUUAGUUACCGCAGGGGAUGAGUACAUUCCACAGCUUAGAGCAAAGCCGAGAAGAGGCUCAUGUGUAUCAAUGCUUGCCUUGCGCUGUUCUUCUGAUACUUUCAUCUUGUGGAUGGCAAGAAGCAGAGCCUGCAUCAGCAGAGUAAAUUGAUUAACUGAUUCUGAAAGAGGAGAACAAAAAAUCCUCAAAGAUGAAGCUGAGUGCAAAGCUCAUACAAUUUGUGGCCUGUGCAUAGGCGGUUUCAUCUUCAGUAUCACAUAUUCCAUUGCCGCCGCAGUAUAUGAGUGCCCUCCAACUGUAUAGGCCGCCUGUGGAGCCAGCACAAAGGAAUCAAAUAAGGCAAGAGAGAAAUGAAAAGGCUGAACAGAACAAAACUUGUGUCAACUGAUAUAACCUUUUGCAUCAAUGAGAAAAGCUUCAGGUCGCUUCUUGGGACACCAUAAGCUAAAUACGCCUACGUACGUAUAAAAGACCAUCACUUCAUAAGCAUUCAUUUCAUUAACAAUGGUUCUUGACAAGAAGAGGGGGAAAAGGGACUAACAUGCAUAAUCAAUGCGUUGUAAAGGUUAAUCCAGAAAGCUAGCUUCUCGUUACAACUCAAAUGAAUAGGGUUUACUCUAGCUAAUUGCUCCACCAGUGUCCUAUUCACAGAAUCAGCCAUGUUCAUGUAUUUGAGUCUUACAGUUAAAUCAUAUUGACAAAACCAUUAAAAGAAACUCCAUUACCUGAACUUCCUCAAUGCCCCGGAAGCAUAUUCCAGCUGUUUCUUCCCAACAGACAUCCAAGAAACCUCGGAUGCCAAACUAUAGUUUCCAAUCUCCGCCCAGCUUAACUUCCCUCGAACUCUAUAAGGAUCAAAGACAUCUCCCGUGGCCAAAACAUUGGCGUUAUUUUGGAUAUCUAUUUGGGGGCUUUGCACCCAUGAAGAGAUCAUUGACCGUUCUGUUGAAGGCCACCAGGAGGCUGAGCUUGAUAGAUGCCCGCGAGGUGAUACUGGUGAGAGUUGGCUCUCGUUUGAGGAUGCUUUUGAAGUUGCUGUUGGAUCAGCCAGAGACAUAAAGAUAUUCUUCAUACAUCUCACCAUUUCUUCAGACAAUAGAUUAGGAUGAUCCCACAGGUAUUUUGGUGGUAAUCCUCGAGGUAGUUUCUUCGCAUUUGUCUUUCUCGUUAGCCUCUUUUCAAGAGAGUCAGUACUUGGGUCCAAUGUUUUCUGGUUUAGUAGGUGCAAAAUGUCAGAUACGUUUCUUCUUUCAUGUAAACUAUAUCUCUACUUUUAGACAGAACCAACCAAAUCUAGGAAAGAGGAAUAUCAUUAUAUCAGUACCUCCGCAAUUGAUUCUGCUGGAGAUGAUUCAGAUGAAGAUUCUUGGUUUGGGGCUGUCAGGUCUUGACAUGGACUGUCUUCUGUUGAUUGAUGGAAUUCUGAAUCCGAAUGAUUCAAAUAUCUUAAGGAAGAGGAGGAAUUCUGCAUAACUAAGACAUAGUUAAACACUAACAAAGAUUACAAAGAAAGAAACAGUGAUAAAUUAAAUAGGAGAUACAUACUGGUGGAGAAGCCGAAUGUGUCAAAUGGUAUUCUGCAAGUCUCCUCUCGUUUCGUUCUUGGCUAAGUUGGAAAUUCAGUGACAUCAUUUCUUGCUCGAGCUUCGUGACUGCAGUCUCUAGCGAAACUAUAUUGGAAAGAAGCUCCUGAGCCUGCCAAAUUAUCAGAAUCAUAAGCGAAAACAAAACAGUAGUUUUAAAAUGUAAUCACAACAGCAUGAGUUUAGGGAAACACACAGGAUGUGGAACACUAGAAGAAGUAGAUAACUCCCAAGGAUCUUUCUCCAUGACACUCUCUAAAUAGGUAUGCAAAUCUAUUUCUUCUUGGAGUUGCAGUUGUAAUCUUUUUACCUGCAACAGAGAAGUUCUUUAAACACUAAAAACAUUCCACAUAAUCAUCACUACUCUUAUUGAGUUCAGAAGCUCACAUCCUCUUCAAGUUGAAAUCUAUAUGGAAAAGCUUCACCGCUCGUAGAUUCUUCACAAGUUUCUAUGCCCUGAACAAAUUCAGUAAGCAAGCUCUUAUUAUAUUUCAAGGACUUCAACAAAUAAAAUCUGGAGUAAGUUUCUGAAUUGAAUAUAUGUAUGUUCAUACCUCUAACAUGGUUACUGUGCCCUGGGAUUUCUUUUUAGAAUGAGAACGUCUGAGAAAUGGAUUGGAUCUGUUGAAAAUUCAGUCAACGAGUAAGGAGAUGCAAAAACAAAACUCAGAAGUAGUAAACAAAAAAGAACAAGAGAUGGUAGCCCUUACUUGGAUUUUAAAACUUGAGAGUCAUACAUCCUCUGGAGUUUGGCAGUUAUUACCAUUAAACCAAAUGAUGAAGUUCUCCAACAAAUGUACUUCAGCCAAUUCUCUCAAGUACAAAAGAGUUAAAUUACAUAGUCCCUGCAGAAAUCAGAUUCACAUAAUAAAUGAGAUAGGAUAACAUUUAGAGAAAAAAACUAAUGUUGUUGUCUACUAAGCAGUAAGCACAAGACAUUAAACAAAUUUUGGAAGUUGACAAUGGCUUUACUCAGCACAUGGAAUCCAAGUACAAGAUGAAGAGACAAGAGAAGACACUGUUACACCUGUGAACAUCUAAUACGGACAAAUUUAAUUAAAAUUACACAAAAGAAGCACAGCAACAUGUCCUUUUUAAAAACGACCAGACAGCAAAACCAGGCACAUGGUCAAAAUUUCACAUUGAAAGGGUUUGAGUGUUGACAGGUUAAUCAGUUAUUGGUUCAGGAUAACACAAUGACCAGCUGAAGCGAGAAGAUGCAAUCUCUGAACAUGCAAAUUCUAGAUUUGGUGGCUAAUGUGUGUAGUCAAAAGGUUGAAAUUUCUUGUGGUAAUUUGACUGAAAGCUAAGAUAUUUCAAUCUGAAGUAUUCAAUCAUACAAAAUUGAUGUAAAAUUAGACAAAAUUGAUGUAAAAUUAAACUUUUUUUGAAAAGAGAAGAGAUAAAAAGGAAGAAGAAGCUAAAGACUCAAUCCCUAAAUGACAGAUCAAGUGGUCUCUGAAAAAAAACAAAUCUUUCUAAUUGGCUUCAACAAAAGAAUUAUACCAAAAUAAUUGGGUCCGAACAAACAUAAAAAAGGAUUGAAACUUUGGGUAAUUCUGCAACAAAAGAAAAUUGAAACAAGGAGAAAGAAGAGAAAAGAGCAGCUGUGGGGACAAAAGCAAACCUUUUUCUAGUUCUUGCAAUGACUGAAAGAGAACAUUCAAGAAUCUGAGAGAGAGAUAAAGAAGAAGAAGAAGAAGUAUGUGAUUCAAGAAACCAAACCCUAGGCUUCUUCUGCUAGAUUCUCCCAAUCUAACUCUCUGCCUUAAUUUCGAGUACAAGAGCAGAGAGAACCAUCCUCUUAUUUAUUUUCCAAACUUAGAAAAAGUUUCUCAAUUUGAAAUUCAAAAAAACUUGUCAAAUGUGUGUCAGCAUUUAAUGCUUAACUAAGAAAGACUCUACUUUUUUUCUUCUUAUUAUUAUCCAAUUAUUAAAAAAAAAAAAUGAAACUGGGGCAGAGAGUACAACAAGACAAAGAUACAGUCGAACAGAACAGUAGAGAAUCUGUAACACUAGUUUCAAUUUACACGGGCACUUAGAUUUUGACGUCUUUUUCUCGAUUUUUUUUUUUACAAGUUAUUUUUUUUUAAAUUAGUUUCAAGUUAUUAUUUUUAUUCAAGUUAUUCAAGUUAUUUUUAUUUUUUUAUUUUUGUUUUUAUUUUUAUUAGUUUCAAGUUAUUAUUAUUUUUUAAUUAGUUUCAAGUUAUUAUUUUUAUUUUUAUUUAUUUUUAACCAAUACCCCUAAAAGUUAUUUAAAAUCUAAAAAGAAGAGAAGCAAAAGACCAAACUCACUUUAAUUAAACAACAACAAAAAAACCAAACUUGAAGCCAUCCCCCAUUUGUCAUUAAUCACAUGCAAUAUAUAACUCAUAUGUUUUAUACAUAUUUUUUUUGUUGCUUUCUAGUCAGAGCUUAGUGGACUGGAGCCUGAUUCCCUUUUUCUGGUUUUUUUGUUUUCUUUGUUGACAAUUUGACAUUUCAAUAUUAUUUUCUUUUUAGAAACUGUUUAAUAUUCGAAAUUUGAAAAAAAAAAAAAAAAAACACUUUCCCAGAAAAUCAUGGUGCUACUUUGUGUUGAAAUUAUUGUGUUGUGUAUUCACCACGAGUCUUUUUUUUUUUUUGUCUUAAAAUCUUUUUAGAUUCUUGCGAAUAUUUCUCUAAAUCUUUUCACUUUGGAGCUUUAAGUUAGUUUAAAGGAGGAAAAAAAAUGUAAUAUAUAAAAAGUUGAUCAUAGUCGAUUCACCACCAGCAUUGAAAUUUCGUAACGAUGGGAUUUAACAAAUAAUACAAAUUUACAAAACUAAAAAAAGCUUUGGCUUUGCAUUUUGCGCAAUAUGAAGUUUGUAAACAACUUAAUUUUGUCAAUCUUUGCAAGAAUACCAAACACAUGGAUCUUAUCUGGGUAAAAAUGUACUCUGAUCCAAUGAUAUUGUCUAAAGCUUGUGAUCAUGGAGGAGUCACAAACAACUCUUCUUUUCUCAUCACUUACUAUGGCUUUGUAGGUGGAGAUUGUAAUGAACAAACGCCAUCUCUUCCAGAUGUUUUUUCUCACAGUGGCUCAUUCCUUCAGUGAGCAGCAGCUUCUCUGCUAAGCCUCUCUUCAGCUUGUACUUCCACGCACCUUCACAUGUCUGGCUCAGAAUCUUAACGGCAAAACUCUUCAGCUCUGCGUGUUGUCCCCCGUUUUGAGUCCACCAAUCAACUACGCCGCAAAGAGAACAAAUUAAUCAAAAUGCAUGCAAACAGAACAACUAUAUCAAAUAAAUAAAAAACAAAAAAGCUCACUCACCUGGAAAGAUUCCAGAGAUCUGAUCAGCUUGACUUGCCUCGUUAAAGCAAGAUUUACCGAGUCUGUACAUACCAAUCUGUGCGGCAAUUGUUACUUGCAGGCGAGCUUCUUUUACCAUGUGAACCAUCGAGAAGGUGAGACCAGUGUAUACUUCUUGACUAAGAUGGAAAUUACCUGAGUAGUAAGCCGUUGGAUUGAGAAAGUAACCAGCACCAUGGAGAGGAUUGUAGAGGUGAUGUUUCCACACAUCAUCCACCACAUCCCAUACCGGCUGAUAAAUCUGUUUCUCGUUCUUGAAAUUCAACGCGGUGCUCAGCUUGAUGCUGUUGAGAAUGUCAUAGACAUAUCCAAUGUGCAUGUUGUUGGCAGUUGAUAACCUGAGCAAUCCAUGAACCAGAGCAGAUGUGCAUCUCACAACUCUUUCAACAGAUUCCCAAAAAGAGGAAUCACUCACCAAACUAAGUACUGCUACGAUGUUUGCUUCUUCUUCCUUCCAAUAAGAAGAAGCAAACAUUCCUGCCAUCUUCGCCCUGAACAUAUUCUCUACAGUUAGAUAUGGUGUAACAAACUCAAACUCGGAGGCAAGUGCAGUUACGUCGACUCCAUGACUGUGAGCUCUGAAGAUUUUCAGCAACGAGGAGUUGUUAUGGAUGGACUCCUGAAUGAUAUUGACCUUGUUGAGUAUGUCUCCAAAGGAAUGCAUUUUCCCAAUCUCCACCAGCAUAAGCUCGAUGCAAUGGGAUAUGCUCACUGACCAGAAAACUUUCAUGUCGUGACCCGCAAGUAGCUUCCCCAAUUCCCCAACCCAACCAGAAGUGGAACAUGCAACAAUCUGAAUCACAUUGUGCACCCCAACUUCCUCAACGAUACCAUGCACUAGCGACUUUAAGGCAGUGACAUCGGUUUUGAUACCCGAAACAUCCGAGGAUUUCAGAUAAACUGCCCCAGCUGGAGAGUCCGCAACGAAAGAAACCAGAUCACGGCCUUUCUGGUCGAUCCAGGCAUCCAACAGGAUGCUGCAGCCUGUGAUCUCCCAUGAAUCUUUGAUCUCCUUCACCCGAUCUUGCACUUCCUUCAGUGCUUCUUGAAGCAUCCAACCGUUUAAAUCACGAGAGUCAGGGAUCUUUAGCGCCAAAUUACCACCAGUUACUGUCGUCAUCAGCUCUUGAAAACUUGUUGAAUCCAAAGCGGAGAAGUCGACACCGUGUUCAUAUAAGAAACGAGCAAGGCACCUUUGUGAUUGUUUGUCAGCUUCCACAGCUGCAUUCUCGUUCUCAGGAGAAACACGUUUUCUGGGUCUUCCAGGACUAGGCUUAGCUGCAUUCACGUUUUUAGAAGCACCACUUUUUCUAGAUCUGAGCUCCAUAAGCAUCGUAUAAAACGCCAUUCUCGUAGUCAAUGAUACUUGUGGGCAGUAGGUUACGUCUUUACCUACAUAAGCCAAAUGCAGCUUGAGACGAUAAAAGUUUGUCAUUCGCUUUCCACAGGAGUUGCACUGAACCCGAGUUCUCCCCUCCACCCAAGUUCCAUGCUCAUGAAUAUUCAUCUUCACGUCGGUACCACCAGCCAUUGAAAACAGAGAAUGAACCUGCCUGCACCAAUCUUCAUAUAUAUAUGGCUUUAGUUUGACAUACUCACAUACAUUUCCUCAACUUAAUCGAAAUUAAUACGUGUCUACAAAGAGAAGAAGAAAACAACCGAAACUUCAAAUCCUACAAUGACCAUAUAUAAUGUUCAAACAACCACCAAACGAGUCCAAAUUACGAAAUGGAAGACCAUAUAUAUAACUUAUCCUAAAAAUUAUCGAAAUUUGUUUUUCUUUUUGGGUAUUAAGAAUUAUCGAGAUUGUUCAUCAUCAGUUACGUCGUCCAUGGUGACACAAAAGAUCAAACAAAGCAAACAAGUUUAUAAAUUGAAGAACCGGGAAGAGCGACAGUUCCAGUUUUCAGUAACGAUACCAAUAAACAAAACUCCUUGUUAUUAGAGCGAGAGAGUGAAGUACCUGAUUAAUGGUUGUGUCAAAAGGGUCGGAGUCCUAGCCUCAGGGUUGGGUUACAAGAGACAAGGAAGACCGAAGAGUGGUCCAAGUCACAAACUCUUUGUUGGGAGGGGGAGAGAGAUAGAUUUGUUUUGACUCAGUAGAUAAUUGUGUUCAUGAGAGACCACCGGCCUUUUUUUUUUGUUAAACAUGACACGUUGACACUAGUCCUUUUUUCAUUAGUCAAAACUAGAUAAGAAAUCUAUUAAUUAGGUUUUCUUAGGGAAAGUUAAUCUCUUGAUUUUAAAUUUUAACUUGGGUAAUUUCCCACGUCUUAUGCGUGUAUGUGCGGCAAGUAAAUUUUUACAUUUACUUUUUUUUUUUUUUACCAAUUUUUUUACAUUUACUAAUGUGGAAUGCAACUACAUUGACCAUUAAUACUUCUCUCCUUAGCUAAAAGAAGAUCAGAAAUGCAUUAGUUAGGCUUCUAUUUUAAGAAAAUUUAAACCUAAAAACUUGUCAUUAAAGAUGCUCUAACGGAAAAUAAAUAUUUUACUUACAAAUUUUAUACUAAAUCAUUUAACGGUCUAUAUAUACGUGUGUUCUACGGCAAGUUAUUUCCACACUUUAAAGCGAUGCGAUAGCAUUGAAAAUUUAGUCCCUCUUUCAUUAAUCAAAAGAAGAUAGAUUUCUAAUAUUUUACCUUUAAAACUUGUAUUAGGUAAUUUCCCAUGCUUUAUGCAAUCAUAUCAAUUAUUUUUGUUUUCAGCAUAUUUAAAGUCAUGUAAUUUUAUUUUUUUGGGGUCUCAGGUAGAUAAUGAAAAAUAUCUAGAUAAAAUUGUGAUUUUUAGUUAACUGGGAUUAAAUUUUUGACUAUAUGCAGACGAGGAAGUGAAUUUGAGUUUGAAAGUGAAAUAUUUGUUUUGACUCAGUAAAUAAUUCAUUUGAAGUAGUAAAUCAUAUUCCAAAAGGGAGCGUUGUAAAAUGAAGACAUACUCACUUUUUUGGUAUCGUUUGAACGAAGAACUCACAAUUUUGGUAUAUUUGAAUAAAAUAAGAUUUACAGUCAACUUCUUUCCACCAUUAGGUGAUUGAUUAAUUGUCAAGUGAACGUAAGAAAAUGAUUCAACCACUUGUGGUCUCUUGACAGCUUUCUCCAUGCCUUUGUACAUAUUAAGCAAGCAAAGCUCAUCUUCAGAACCUAUGUCAAUUGCUUUUCUCAGCACAUGGAGUCUAGUACAAGAUGGAAAGGCAAGAGAAGACACUGAUAUCUCUAUACCUGUGAAAAUCUAAUAAAGACAAAUCCCCUUCUAAUUAAACAAAAUAAGCGCAACAACAUUUCAAUAUAUCUGCUCGAUUCAUCAGUAUUGGUUCUAAAGAUGAGCCUUGAUGAAUAUACAAACUACAAAACUAAACCUGCACAAUUGACAAAAGCUGAACGGCAUCAAUCCAUAUAAACAUCUGCAUCACAAUCUCUUCACUGCUCUUCACUUAGUUUGGCUUUGCAGCUCUGUAGAUGAAGAUUGUAAUGAACAAACGCCAACUCUUCCAGAUGUUUUUGUUCACAAUGACUCAUUCCUUCAGUGAGCAACAGCUUCUCUGCUAAGCUUCUCUUCAGCUUGUACCUUGAAGCACCUUCACAUGUUUGGCUCAGAAUUUUAAUUGCAAAACUCUGCAGUUCUGGAUACUGGCUCGCUGUUUGUGUCCACCACUCAGCUGCAGAAAGAAUUUGAAAACAACAAAACCCUUUGCUCACCAAUUCAACAACAAAAGCGUCUACAAACAAAAACAACUAAAUCAAAAGUCAAGGAGUUUACUCACUCGGAGAUAUUCCAGAGAUCUGAUCAGCUUGACUGGCCUCGUUAAAGCAUUCUUUACCGAGUCUAUACUUAUCAAGCUGUGCGGCAAUUUUAAUGUGACCUUCUUUAGCCACAUGAACCAGAGAGUGGGUAAGACCAGAGGCAACUUCUGGAUCAAGAUGGAAAUCAGUUGAGUAGAAAGAAGUCGGAUUCAGAAAGUAACCAGUAGCAUGAAGCGGAUUGUGAAGGCGAUUGUUCCAGACAUCAUCUAUCACAUUCCAGAACGGCUCAUAAUAUUGUUUCUCGUGACUGAAUUCCUUCGCUAUAUUCUCCUUUAUGCCGUCCAUGGUGUCAUAGAUAUAUCCUACAUGCUGAUUGUCAGCAGUUGAAAACAAGAGCAGACCGUGAAUGAGAGGAGAUGUACAUUUCCGAACUCUAUCAACAUUUUCCCAAAACGAGGAAUCAUUCACCAAAUCGGAUAUUGCUUUGCCCUCUUCUUUCUUCCGAUCAAAUGAAGCAAACAUGGCUACCAAGUUUUCCUUCGCCUUAAAAAUAUUCUCUAGAGUUAGAUACGGCGUAACAAACUCAAACUCGGAGGAGGAGACAGUUGUGACUAUUCCAUGGCUGCGAUCUCUGCAAACUUUGUUGUUGUUGAUGAACUCCCAAAUGUUAUUGACCUUUUCAAGUAUGUCUCCAAAGGAAUGCAUUUUCACAAUCUUCACAAGCAUAAGCUCGAAACAAUGGGAUAGACUCACAGACCAGAAAACUUCCCUGUCGUGACCCGCAAAAAGCUUGCCCAAUUCACCAACCCAACCAGAGGUCGAACAUGCAAUAAUUUGAGUCACGUCACGUACUCCAACAUCCUCUACAAGCCCACUGACUAGCGAUAGUAAGUCAGCUACAUUGUGUUUAAUAUCUGAAACAUGAAAGGAUUUCAGAUACACAGGACCCGCAGGACAGUCUGCAACAAAGGUAACCAGAUCGCGGCCUUUCUGAUCAAUCCAAGCAUCCAACAAGAUGCUGCAUCCGGUGAUCUCCCAGGAAUCUUUAAUCUUCUUCACAUAAGCUUGCGCAUCCUUGAAUGCUUCUUGAAGCAUCCAGCCGUUUAAAGCAUGAGAAUCAGGGAUCUUAAGCCUCAUCUGACCGCCACCUGCAGCCAUCAUCAUCUCUUUGAAACAUGGGGAAUCCACAGCUGAAAGGUCGACACAAUGUUCAUAAAAGAAGCGACCAAUGCACAUUUGGGCUUUGUUUGACAACAAAUCCUGUUUGUCAGCCAUAUUCCCGUUCUCAGGAGAAACACUCUCACUUGAUGAAUCUUGGCUUUUCCGACGCUUAGGAGAAUUACUCAUUUGGAAAUUCCCAACUCUCUUAGAUUUAUCCUCCAUAAGUAUCGCCCGGAACAUCUCUCUAACAGUAAGCGAAACUUGGUCACAGUGAGUUACAUCUGUACCUACACCACCCAAGUGAAACCUCAGACGAGAAAAGCUAUUCAUCUCUUUCCCACAGUGAUUGCAUUUAACACGAGAUUUCUUUUUGUCCACACAAAUUCCAUGCUCAUGAAUAUCCGUCACAGAAGAACCAGCCAUUCAAGAUUUCGUUUACUUGACAAAACACAGAUAAUGAAUCAAAAUUGGAAGCAGUUGUCGAUUCCCUCAACUCAGACCCCUGUCCGUUACCUACAGCCU
RNAcentral lists this long non-coding RNA (93616 nucleotides) under Capsella grandiflora. RNAcentral's name for it is "long non-coding RNA (CGRA_LNC001385)". The record is from RNAcentral. Lineage: Eukaryota; Viridiplantae; Streptophyta; Magnoliopsida; Brassicales; Brassicaceae.